GAUUUGUUUUUUUUGAAAUCUUGAGUUUUGGUGAAAUGAACUCGCCACAAGUGAAAGAAAGAAAAAAAGAAAAAAGAGUUUCGUCAAUACUUUACUCAAUUUCUACUGCGUUAUCAUGUUUUUGGGCAUAAAACUCCAAAAUAUAGCCCACGAAACGUAUGAAAGCUAAAAAACCAAAAUAAUCUUAGCGGAAGAAACAUAGCUUACCCCCAUCAUACAAUUUUUUGCAUACGUCUCCCUUUAUAGUUCUCAUUUUAGUUUACCGAUUUUCAACAAUGUGCGCUGCAAACUUGGGGAGUAUUUAACACGUUUUGCUUUGGCUUUCUUAAAAUUUCACGGCAAAAUAUGAAAAAGCAUCUUUAUAUUUCAGCUUCAUAUUAAUUCGCAGAUUAAGUUUCGCAAACCUACCAUUAGCAUUCUGAUUACGUGUAAGAGCUGGUCAUAUCUACGAAUUUGUCAUAGCAUUCUGAUUACGUGUAAGAGCUGGUCAUAUCUACGAAUUUGUCAUUUUCCUUCCGAUCUUGCCACUUUCACCAUUUCAAAUUCACUCAAUAAAACUUCACUUGCUAAAGCCCUAACCUGUCGACCCACCCACUGCGCCACUCCUCCCUUCCCAGCAUUGCCAAUGCAAGCUGCGCCGUCGCCACCCACGCCAACCCCGCUGAGCCAGAACUUAGAUCUGUUGAGUUCGACUCAAAUCUGAGUCUCCAAAUCUAAGUCGAGCUCCAUGCCGAUCGUCGCCAAGAAGAGGGAUACACAGAGAGAGAGAGAGAGUGCACAGAGAAUUCAGUAGGGUUCGAUGGCCGCAUAGCGUUGGUCGGAGUCAAUGGUGAGAGCCCAUUGCAGGGAGAGAGCAAGGUGGGAGAAAGCCAGAGCAAGUGCUAGAAAAGAAAGAGGGAAAACGGGGGAAUGGUUCAAAGGUUUGGAUUAGCCAGAGGGUGGAUUGAUCUUUUUGAAUUCGAAGAUUUUUAUUUUCUUUGGCGGAAUUUGAGGAUCAUGCUAAGAAGUGCAAAUUAUAGGUUUUCAAAAUCUAGGAUGAAAACUGAUAUUGGAAUAAAACAUUGAGAUGGUUUUUGAAAUUAUUCCUAUUUUACAUCUAAAAUCUUGAAAUUAACAGGUAAAGUCACAUCAUGUUUUACAUAAAUUUUCUCAAAAUGGCAAUAAGAAUUUUUCAGGAAAGUCGAAAGAGACUUCUACUUGCCUUGUUCCCUUAAGAAAAUCAAUUCUGUCGAUUGAGCCAAAAUUCCAUCCCCAAAGCAGAUACGCCAAAGAAAUAACAUCAAAAAAAUAAAUAUCACAGACUACGGUACUAGGCUUCAACUUCGAGUACGUACCCUUUGGCGGCUUUCAACUCGUAACCCGCCUUCGCUAGGGCACUCCACCUCUUCUGAGCAUCUGUCUCUGUCUUUCUCCUGCUUCUGAGAGCUUCCUUGAAUUUGUUAUUACUCGCCAAGUUUGAAACGCCUGCCCUGUCUAUGUAAAAGAUGGGAAUUACCACGAGUUUGGGGUCUUUUUGGCAGUAGAGGAUCUCGACCAGCUCGUUCAGGCACGGGCUGGAGUCAACAUACUUCUUGGAGAACACGACAAGGGCGAAGGCAAACGUCAGCCGGCGGAUUGCAUGGAGGCGCUCGGCCUCGUUGUUCUUUGUAGCGCCCUCUCUUUUGUCAUCUACGAAGUGGCCAAUCCCCACCUGGUGCAGACGUUCGAAGAGGUUUGAUAUGAAGGUCUUUCCCGGUUCAUCCUUCACGAAACUCACGAAUACGUCUUGUUUCCAUGGAGGAUGAGACAUGGUUCCUCUCUUCUUUUAACUCGGCAUAGAAACUUUGAUUGAGAGGUCGUAUGUGUACUUAGUUUGAAUGACAUUUGAGAGGAAACCGAUGUCUUUUUAUAGCUGAAGGUACAUGUCUCGUCGUGGUACGAUAAUUUACCAGGUAAAAAAAAUAAAAAUUGAUGGGAUGCAACUCUUUGAUCAAAAAAAUUAAACUUAAUUAAAGACUUGUUCAUGAUUGGUUUGGGGAAAUUUGGAGUCUGACUUGGAUUCACUUGACAAAUUUGAUCAGUUCUCAUUGACUUACAAUUAUUAUUAUUUUUUUUUCCUUUUGGUCAGGCGACAAAAUUAGGUAAGGAGCUAAUGCUCCUAGAAAACAGUGCGAGAUGCUCAAUUCGUUUUUUUAAUGUUCUAUUAAAACUAUACUAACAUUAAGCAAUAAACGUGAGUGUAUGGAAAUAUAGAUGCAAUAAAUGGAUAUGGAAUCUCAAAACAAAAGAAACACUACAUUAUCAUGCACGUCCAACCCCAGAGAGAAAACAACGCAAACAAGUCACAUUUUCUUCCCGUGAUCACGGCAAAAUUUGUCUAGAUCCAGAUUCUACAGACUUGAAUAUCUAUGGUUGAUUAGGUGACUCUUUUAUUAGGCCCACAUGAGAUCCAACAGCCGUGUCGAGCACCCCAUGCAUUCACCAAUAAGGAUAUACAACCUUAUAUAGAAUAUAGCUACACCAUAUAUGUGCUUAAUCACACUCAAGUUUUUCACAUGCAAUUCUUAGCAUAGCAUAGACUACCCUAAGCAUAAAAUGCAAAGGUUACGGAAUCUCAAAACAAAAGAAACAUUACAUUAUCAUGCACGUCCAGCCCAAAGAGAAUAACGCAAACAAGUCACAUUUUCUUCUUGAGAUCAUGGCAAAAUUUGUCUAGAUCCAGAUUCAUCAGACUUGAAUAUCUAUGAUUGAUUAGGUGACUCUUUUAUUAGGCCCACAUGAGAUCCAACAGCCGUGUUGAGCUCCCCAUGCAUUCACCAAAAAGGAUAUACAACCUUAUAUAGAAUAUAGCUACACCAUAUAUGUGCUUAAUCACACUCAAGUUUUUCACAUGCAAUUCUUAGCAUAGCAUAGGCUACUAUAAGCAUAAAAUGCAAUGGUUACGGAAUCUCAAAACAAAAGAAACAUUACAUUACCAUGCACGUCCAACCCCACAGACAAAAUAACGCAAACAAGUCACAUUUUCUUCCCGUGAUCAUGGCAAAAUUUGUCUAGAUCCAGAUUCGUCGGACUUGAAUAUCUAUGGUUCAUUAGGUGACUCUUUUAUUAGGCUCACAUGAGAUCCAACAGCCGUGUCGAGCUCCCCAUGCAUUAACCAAUAAGAAUAUACAACCUUAUAUAGAAUAUAGCUAUACCAUAUAUGUGCUUAAUCACACUCAAGUUUUUCACAUGCAAUUCUUAGCAUAGCAUAGGCUACUAUAAGCAUAAAAUGCAAUGGUUACAGAAUCUCAAAACAUAAAGAAACAUUACAUUACCAUGCACGUCCAACCCCAGAGAGAAAAUAACGCAAACAAGUCACAUUUUCUUCCCGUGAUCACGGCAAAAUUUGUCUAGAUCCUGAUUCGUCAGACUUGAAUAUCUAUGGUUCAUUAGGUGACUCUUUUAUUAGGCCCCCAUGAGAUCCAACAACUGUGUCGAGCUCCCCAUGCAUUCACCAAUAAGGAUAUACAACCUUAUAUAGAAUAUAGCAACACCAUAUAUGUGCUUAAUCACACUCAAGUUUUUCACAUGCAAUUCUUAGCAUAGCAUAGGCUACUCUAAGUAUAAAAUGCAAAGGUUACGGAAUCUCAAAACAAAAGAAACAUUACAUUAUCAUGCACGUCCAACCCCAGAGAAAAUAACGCAAACAAGUCACAUUUUCUUCCCGAGAUCACGGCAAAAUUUGUCUAGAUCCAGAUUCAACAGACUUGAAUAUCUAUGGUUGAUUAGGUGACUCUUUUAUUAGGCCCACAUGAGAUCCAACAGCCGUGUCGAGCUCCCCAUGCAUUCACAAAUAAGGAUAUACAACCUUAUAUAGAAUAUAACUACACCAUAUAUGUGCUUAAUCACACUAAAGUUUUUCACAUGCAAUUCUUAGCAUAGCAUAGGCUACUCUAAGCAUAAAAUGCAAAGGUUCAGAAUCUCAAAACAAAAGAAACAUUACCUUAUCAUGCACGUCCAGCCCAAAGAGAAUAACACAAACAAGUCACAUUUUCUUCUUGAGAUCAUGGCAAAAUUUGUCUAGAUCCAGAUUCAUCGGAGUUGAAUAUCUAUGGUUGAUUAGGUGACUCUUUUAUUAGGCCCACAUGAGAUCCAACAGCCGUGUCGAGCUCCCCAUGCAUUCACCAAUAAGGAUAUACAACCUUAUAUAGAAUAUAACUACACCAUAUAUGUGCUUAAUCACACUCAAGUUUUUCACAUGCAAUUCUUAGCAUAGCAUAGGCUACUCUAAGCAUAAAAUGCAAAGGUUACGGAAUCUCAAAACAAAAGAAACAUUACAUUAUCAUGCACGUCCAGCCCAAAGAGAAUAACGCAAACAAGUCACAUUUUCUUCUUGAGAUCAUGGCAAAAUUUGUCUAGAUCCAGAUUCAUCGGAGUUGAAUAUCUAUGGUUGAUUAGGUGACUCUUUUAUUAGGCCCACAUGAGAUCCAACAGCCGUGUUGAGCUCCCCAUGCAUUCACCAAAAAGGAUAUACAACCUUAUAUAGAAUAUAGCUACACCAUUUAUGUGCUUAAUCACACUGAAGUUUUUCACAUGCAAUUCUUAGCAUAGCAUAGGCUACUAUAAGCAUAAAAUGCAAUGGUUACAGAAUCUCAAAACAUAAAGAAACAUUACAUUACCAUGCACGUCCAACCCCAGAGAGAAAAUAACGCAAACAAGUCACAUUUUCUUCCUGUGAUCACGGCAAAAUUUGUCUAGAUCCUGAUUCGUCAGACUUGAAUAUCUAUGGUUCAUUAGGUGACUCUUUUAUUAGGCCCACAUGAGAUCCAACAACUGUGUCGAGCUCCCCAUGCAUUCACCAAUAAGGAUAAUACAACCUUAUAUAGAAUAUAGCUACACCAUAUAUGUGCUUAAUCACACUCAAGUUUUUCACAUGCAAUUCUUAGCAUAGCAUAGGCUACUCUAAGUAUAAAAUGCAAAGGUUACGGAAUCUCAAAACAAAAGAAACAUUACAUUAUCAUGCACGUCCAGCCCAAAGAGAAUAACGCAAACAAGUCACAUUUUCUUCCCGUGAUCAUGGCAAAAUUUGUCUAGAUCCAGAUUCGUCGGACUUGAAUAUGUAUGGUUCAUUAGGUGACUCUUUUAUUAGGCCCACAUGAGAUCCAACAGCCGUGUCGAGCUCCCCAUGCAUUAACCAAUAAGGAUAUACAACCUUAUAUAGAAUAUAGCUACACCAUAUAUGUGCUUAAUCACACUCAAGUUUUUCACAUGCAAUUCUUAGCAUAGCAUAGGCUACUCUAAGCAUAAAAUGCAAUGGUUAUGGAAUCUCAAAACAAAAGAAACAUUACAUUAUCAUGCACGUCCAACCCCAGAGAGAAUAACGCAAACAAGUCACAUUUUCUUCCCGAGAUCACGGCAAAAUUUGUCUAGAUCCAGAUUCAACAGACUUGAAUAUCUAUGGUUGAUUAGGUGACUCUUUUAUUAGGCCCACAUGAGAUCCAACAGCCGUGUCGAGCUCCCCAUGUAUUCACCAAUAAGGAUAUACAACCUUAUAUAGAAUAUAACUACACCAUAUAUGUGCUUAAUCAUACUAAAGUUUUUCACAUGCAAUUCUUAGCAUAGCAUAGGCUACUCUAAGCAUAAAAUGCAAUAUUAAAAAAAAAAAAAAACACCAAAUAACAUAUUAUGAUAAGGGGUGUUCAAGAACAUAAAUCGAAUUAGCUAGGGCAUGAGGAUAUCGCAAAGAAAACCGAGGAGUACUCUACAUACAACCUCUACUUCUCCAAACUUAUAGGGCAAUAUGGCAAAUAAUGUCAAGUGAACUGACGAUGACCGAUUACAUACACUGUCAUGUUCUAAGAAUGAUGGACGAUGUACCCUUGUGCAAACGCAUGACAUGUAAAAUCUUAGGCACACAUGGUCAGCUCUCCAUAAUGGUGUCUUACAUGCACACUGAGCGAAGUGAGGAGUGUUGGAGAAAUCUUCUUGAAGUGUUUUGAAGCUGACAAAUCGUUUCCAUCAGUCUAGUCUGAAGGCUUGCAGACUCUGCUGUUUAAAGUCUGAAGACCUCCGGACAGCCAGACUCAAGACUCAAAGUCUAUCCUCAUUGACAGUCUCUAAUCCGCUGAAGAAAGGUUAUCUAGAACUGGAUGUUUCGUUAAGGAUUUAAUCUUAUCAACUGGAGAAGAUCUCAUGGCUGGAAAAGACAUAACGGAGUCCUUUGAUUGAUCGAAGAUUGACUCGAUAAUUGAAGAUCCGGUGAUUGCCUAAAUAUUAUUGGAAGGUUCUACUUAUGGAAACCGAGAUCCUGAUUGUAUGGGCGAACAUGAUUGAUAGGCUAUCGACACGUUCCUUUAAUAGCUCGAACAAUCUUCCUAAUUGAUUCCGUCCAACGGGUAGAUUGGAGGAAUUCCUUUGGUAAGUGCCAAUGGGUAUGAUGGCAUAAAUGAGUAUAUAAGGAAGACGGUCUUAGUUGUUCAAGGUGUGCGCGAUAGAAGAAUUCCAAAGUCUGAAGCUCCUUUUUGUUUAGACAAUUCCUUUGAGCGAAUACUUGUAUACAAAAUAGAGUCUAUAUUUGUGAGAAAUCUUGAGGAGGUGUGGUAGAACAUCUACACUAUGGAAUCAAGGCAAAGCUGUGCUGUAACUUCUCUUUUGUUCAUAGUGGAAUCCAGCCAAUAGGCUGUCAGUGAAGAAGAGUGGAUGUAGGCUUGAUAUAAGCCGAACCACUAUAAACCGCGUGUUCAAUUUUCUCUUCUCUCAGUCUUACUUUGAUUAUCGUUUGUCUCAAACCCAUCAACUGUCUAGUAUUGUGCAAUUAUCGAAGAAAAAUCUUUUAUAUACCUAUUCACCCCCCUCUAGGUACUUAUACUAGCAAUAUCAAGGAGGCUUCGAGAUCUUCCAUGAAAUCCGACAAUAUUUCCACCAGUUGAAUGAAAUGAAGAGUACUUCCCUUUCUCGAUCCCGAAUGGUCCUUCAGCUCUUUUGUUGCUCUGAGAUGUGAGGGAGCAAAUCACAACAUGUCCAAAAUCAUCUCUUAUGUAACCAGAAUACGAAGUCAAAUUCUCUCCAGGGUAAUCGAGCUUAAUCUGCAAAAAUUGAAAGGGAGAUAUUUCAAUGAGAAGCUCCUCACUGUAGAGUAGUAAAAUCUCCAAAAACAGACCCCCACUGAUUAACCAAGUUAGAAUAAUAAGGCACAAGAUCCGAGUAGAACAUUUCAGUGGGUCCAAUUUUGCGUAUGAGUUUUUAACAUCGAGAUAACUUUUCAGCGUUGGUCGUUGUAAAAGUUAAUGCCCUCCAGUUCCAGCCGUUUCAAAAGGUGCGAUAUGAAGGUCUAUGUAGCACAGACACUGUCUAGAAGCCUUCAUGUCGUGUCCGACACUCCAACACAUGUCCAACACGCUCCGACACGUCCCGACACGCUCCGACGCGCGGUCAACGAGUGUCGAAAAAUCUGACACGUGGUCAACUUUCUCCGACACGCUCCGACAAGCGAUUCCAACACGCACAGGGUCAAUUUUAAAAAUUUCUAAUACUUGAGGAGUCAAAAUAUAAAUAUAUACAAAAGAAAUAAUAAAAGAAGUAAUAAAAUUGCUAUAAAUAUACAUGCACGGGGUCAAUUUCUUUUUUCAGUUUUGUUUUUUUAGAAUUGUUUUAUUUUUUUAAAAAGUCUUUUACUAUGAAAGAAGUAAUAAAAAAUGCUAUAUAUGAUAAAUAAAUAAAUUUAAAAAUAUCAUUUCAGCUUUUUUCUUUAAAUAAUGUUUUUUUCCUCUAAGUUUUGUGCAUUAUUGUAACAAAUUAAAAUAAUGAAUGGUAUUAUUUAAUAUUUUUCGUGUAAAUUAAUUCUAGGCUAUUAUUAUUAUUAUUAUUAUUAUUAUUAUUAUUAUUAUUAUUAUUAUUAUUAUUAUUAUAUAUUUAAUAUAUAACGUAUCGGAACGUGUCAAAAUUCUCUAUUUUUAAGAAAUGACGUGUCGACGUGUUAUGUCAUGUCGUAUCGCAUGUUACAUGUCUGUAUUGAUGCUACAUAGAUGAAGGUCUUCCUCGCGUCGUCUCUGAAACUCAUGAUUAGAUCAUGUUCCCACCGAGGUGAAGUAGAAGUAGAAGACAGUUCCUGUCUUGAUGAUACGUGGUGGAGAAACUAUGAUUGAGAGGCCGUACGUGUAUUUGGUUAAAAAGACAUUAAGGGGAAAGGCGUGGCUUCUUCUUGUACGCGCAUGUCUCCUCGUCGGACAAUAAUUUACCAGGGAAAAAAAAAACAACGGUCGGUGGGAUGCGAUUCUCUCACAAAAAAUGUCAGUUUAGUUAAUCAGAGAUUUAAGGGACAGAUUUUAUCAGUUCCCAAUGGCAUUUAUGGAAGAAAAUGGAUUGAAUCGCAGGAUCCGAAUCUCUUUCUCUCCGAAGAUUCUAUCAACUUCGCAAUGUGCGGAACCUAGCAUAAAAUAUUUGCACGUAAAACCGACAGCACUUUAACUAGAGCUGCAAUAAGAUGUUGACACUUCACCGUUGACUUGCAAGAGCGCAUCAUCCGGAUCUGGAUGAUAUUAGUCAGGGAGCCAAUGGUCCAGGGAUAUAGUGCGAGAUGAAAAUUGUUAUUUUAAUGUUCUAUUAUAAUCAAACUGGCACGUGAGUGAAUGUUAAAUAUAGAGGCAAUUAAUAGUUACAGAAUUUGAAUACAAAAGGAAACAUUAGACUCUUUUGCCUCUCCAAUCCAGGAGAGAAAGUAAUCCAGAGUAGUGACAUUUUCCUCCUGAAGUCACGGAAAAAUUUAUCUAGAUCUAAUUCGAUGGGAUUUGAUUUAUCUUAGGCAUUUGUUAGAUGAAACUUUUAUUUUGAGGCCCACGUGAGACCAAAUGGCUGGGGCCAGCUCCCCACGCAUUCGCCAAUAAGGAUUCAUCCUUGUAGGUGGAAAAUAGCUACACCAUAUUUGCACUCAUUUACAACCAGCUUUUUCGUGCGCACUUCUUAGCAUAGGCUAAUCUAAGCAUAAAAACUGAGAUAAAAUAAACAAGACCAAAUGCCAGGUGUUGAUAAAGGGUAUUCAAGAACAUAAGCGGAAUUAGCUAGGGCUUGAGGAUAUCAAAAAUUGAUGGGAUGCAACUCUUUUAUAAAAAAAAAAAUUAAACUUAAUUAAAGACUUGCUCAUGAUUGGUUUUGGGAAAUCUGGAGUCUGACUUGGAUUCACUUGACAAAUUUUAUCAGUUCUCACUGACUUACAAUUAUUAUUUUUUUUCCUUUUGGUCAGAUGAUAGAAUUAGUUAGGGAGCUAAUGGUCCUAGAACGGUGCGAGAUGCUCAAUUUGUUUUUUUAAUGUUCAAUUAAAACUAUACUAACAUUAAGCAGUAAACGUGAGUGUAUGGAAAUAUAGAUGCAAUAAAUGGUUAUGGAAUCUCCAAACAAAAGAAACAUUACAUUAUCAUGCACGUCCAACCCUAGAGAGAAAAUAACGCAAACAAGUCACAUUUUCUUCCCAAGAUCACCGUAAAAUUUGUCUAGAUCUAGAUUCGUCGGACUUGAAUAUCUAUGGUUGAUUAUGUGAAUCUUUUAUUAGGCCCACAUGAGAUCCCACAACCGUGUCGAGCUCCCCAUGCAUUCACCAAUAAGGAGAUACAACCUUAUAUAGAAUAUAGCUACACCAUAUAUGUGCUUAAUCACACUCAAGUUUUUCAUAUGCAAUUCUUAGCAUAGCAUAGGCUACUCUAAGCAUAGAAUGCAAUAUUAAAAAAAAAAAAAAAACACCAAAUAACAUAUGUUGACAAGGGGUGUUCGAGAACAGAAAUUGAAUUAGCUAGGGCAUGAGGAUAUCACAAACAAAACCGAGGAGUACUCUACAUACAACAUCUACUUCUCCAAACUUAUAGGGCAAUAUGGCAAAGAAUGUCAAGUGAACUGACGAUGACCAAUUACAUACACUGGCAUGUUCUAAGAAUGAUGGACGAUGUACCCUUGAGCAAACGCAUGACAUGUAAAAGCUCAGGGACACAUGGUUAGCUCUCCAUAAUAGAGUCUUACAUGCACACUGAGCAAAGUGAGAAGGCUUCGAGACCUUCCAUGAAAUCCGACAAUAUUUCUGCCGGUUGAAGGAAAUGAAGAGUACUUCCCUUUCUCGAUCCCGAAUGGUCCUUCAGCUCUUUUGUUGCUCUGAGAUGUGAGGGAGCAAAUCACAACAUGUCCAAAAUCAUCUCUUAUGUAACCAGAAUACGAAGUCAAAUUCUCUCCAGGGUAAUCGAGCUUAAUCUGCAAAAAUUGAAAGGGAGAUAUUUCAAUGAGAAGCUCCUCACUGUAGAGUAGUAAAAUCUCCAGAAACAGACCCCCACUGAUUAACCAAGUUAGAAUAACAAGGCACAAGAUCCGAGUAGAACAUUUCAGUGGUUCCAAUUUUGUGUAUGAGUUUUUAACAUCGAGAUAACUUUUCAGCGUUGGUCGUUGUAAAAGUUAAUGCCCUCCAGUUCCAGCCGUUUGAAAUGGUGCGAUAUGAAGGUCUUCCUCGCGUCAUCGUUUCUGAAACUCACGAAUAGAUCAUGUUCCCACUGAGGCGAAGUAGAAGUAGAAGACAGUUCCUGUCUUGAUGAUACGUGGUGGAGAAACUAUGAUUGUGAGGCCGUACGUGUAUUUGGUUAAAAAGACAUUAAGAGGAAAGGCGUGGCUUCUUCUUCUUGUACGCGCAUGUCUCCUCGUCGGACAAUAAUGUACCUGGGAAAAAAAAACAACGGUCGGUGGGAUGCGAUUCUCUCACCAAAAAUGUCGGUUUACUUAAUCAGAGAUUCAAGGGACAGAUUUUAUCAGUUCCCACUGGCAUUAUGGAAGAAAAUGGAUUGAAUCGCAGAAUCAGAAUCCCUUUCCCUCCGAAGAUUCUACUUUCAACUUCGUAGCAUGCGGAACCUAGCAUAAAAUAUUUGCACGUAAAACGACAGCACUUUAACUAGAGCUGCAAUAAGAUGUUGACACUUCACCGUUGACUUGCAAGAGCGCAUCAUCCGGAUCUGGUGGACAUUUCGACGCCUUUUGAUAUUUCUUUCUAGUCCACGAAUUCGAGAGUAGGAUUAAAUGCGGCUCACUGGGAUUCUUUUUGGACUAGAAUUAGUCAGGGAGCCAAUGGUCCAGGGAUAUUGUGCGAGAUGAAAAUUGUUAUUUUAAUGUUCUAUUAUAAUCAAACUGGCACGUGAGUGAAUGUUAAAUAUAGAGGCAAUCAAUAGUUACAGAAAUUGAAUACAAAAGGAAACAUUAGAUUCUUUUGCCUGUCCAAUCCAGGAGAGAAAGUAAUCCAGAGUAGUCACGUUUUCCCCCCGAAGUCACGGAAAAAUUUAUCCAGAUAUGAUUCGAUGGGAUUUGAUUUAUCUUAGACAUCUGUUAGAUGAAACUUUUAUUUGAGGCCCACGUGAGACCAAAUGGCAGGGGCCAGCUCCCCACGCAUUCGCCAAUAAGGAUCCGUCCUUAUAGGUGGAAAAUAGAUAUAUCAUGUUGGGAAAAGUGCCAAAAAAGUCGUAAACCUUUUGGCUUUGUGCCGAUUUAGUCCUAAACCUUUUUACGUUGUGCCAAUUAAGUCUUUUCCAGCAAAUUUUGACCGGAUUUUGCUGACUGGACACCGGCCGGCUUACGUGGCUUGAUCGGCGCUGACGUGUAUAAUUUUUAAUAGUAUUUUAAUUUUUUUGAAUUUUUUUAUUUUUAUUUUAUUUUUAUUUUUAUUUUUAUUCUUUUCUUUAUUCUUUUUAUUUUUUAUUUUUUCUGCUCAUCUUCUUCCUCCAGCCAGUCGCUGGAGCUCGGCGACCGGCCAGAGGCGACGGCCGGCGAGGUCUCGACCUCGCCGGCCACCUCGCCAGUGGCCGUGAGGGCGGCCUCGCGCCGGGCGAGCGAGGCUCACCCUCGCUGGAUCUGGCGAGGCUUGACCUUCGCCAGAUCCGGCGCGAGNNNNNNNNNNNNNNNNNNNNNNNNNNNNNNNNNNNNNNNNNNNNNNNNNNNNNNNNNNNNNNNNNNNNNNNNNNNNNNNNNNNNNNNNNNNNNNNNNNNNNNNNNNNNNNNNNNNNNNNNNNNNNNNNNNNNNNNNNNNNNNNNNNNNNNNNNNNNNNNNNNNNNNNNNNNNNNNNNNNNNNNNNNNNNNNNNNNNNNNNNNNNNNNNNNNNNNNNNNNNNNNNNNNNNNNNNNNNNNNNNNNNNNNNNNNNNNNNNNNNNNNNNNNNNNNNNNNNNNNNNNNNNNNNNNNNNNNNNNNNNNNNNNNNNNNNNNNNNNNNNNNNNNNNNNNNNNNNNNNNNNNNNNNNNNNNNNNNNNNNNNNNNNNNNNNNNNNNNNNNNNNNNNNNNNNNNNNNNNNNNNNNNNNNNNNNNNNNNNNNNNNNNNNNNNNNNNNNNNNNNNNNNNNNNNNNNNNNNNNNNNNNNNNNNNNNNNNNNNNNNNNNNNNNNNNNNNNNNNNNNNNNNNNNNNNNNNNNNNNNNNNNNNNNNNNNNNNNNNNNNNNNNNNNNNNNNNNNNNNNNNNNNNNNNNNNNNNNNNNNNNNNNNNNNNNNNNNNNNNNNNNNNNNNNNNNNNNNNNNNNNNNNNNNNNNNNNNNNNNNNNNNNNNNNNNNNNNNNNNNNNNNNNNNNNNNNNNNNNNNNNNNNNNNNNNNNNNNNNNNNNNNNNNNNNNNNNNNNNNNNNNNNNNNNNNNNNNNNNNNNNNNNNNNNNNNNNNNNNNNNNNNNNNNNNNNNNNNNNNNNNNNNNNNNNNNNNNNNNNNNNNNNNNNNNNNNNNNNNNNNNNNNNNNNNNNNNNNNNNNNNNNNNNNNNNNNNNNNNNNNNNNNNNNNNNNNNNNNNNNNNNNNNNNNNNNNNNNNNNNNNNNNNNNNNNNNNNNNNNNNNNNNNNNNNNNNNNNNNNNNNNNNNNNNNNNNNNNNNNNNNNNNNNNNNNNNNNNNNNNNNNNNNNNNNNNNNNNNNNNNNNNNNNNNNNNNNNNNNNNNNNNNNNNNNNNNNNNNNNNNNNNNNNNNNNNNNNNNNNNNNNNNNNNNNNNNNNNNNNNNNNNNNNNNNNNNNNNNNNNNNNNNNNNNNNNNNNNNNNNNNNNNNNNNNNNNNNNNNNNNNNNNNNNNNNNNNNNNNNNNNNNNNNNNNNNNNNNNNNNNNNNNNNNNNNNNNNNNNNNNNNNNNNNNNNNNNNNNNNNNNNNNNNNNNNNNNNNNNNCCAGAUCCGGCGCGAGGAGGAGCUGGCGGGGUCGCCCUCGCCGGCCGUGGGCGAGUCUUGACCCUCGCCAGAUCCGACGAGGGUGAGCCUCGCCGCCCAGGUCUCAAGGGCGGCCUCGCACCGGGUGGGCGAGGCUCGCCCUCGCCAGAUCCGGCGCGAGGAGGAGCUGGCGGGGCUCGCCCUCGUGAGCCUCGCCGGAUCUAGCGAGGGUCGAGCCUCGCCCACUGCCGGCGAAGCUCGACCUCGCCAGAUCCGGCGCGAGGAGGAUCUGGCGGGGCUCGCCCUCGCCGCCCUAGUGGCCACUGGCGAGGUGGCCGGUCGCCAAGCUCCGGCGACUGGCUGGAGGAAGAAGAUGAGCAGAAAAAAUAAAAAAAAGAAUAAAAAUUAAAAGAGAAAACUAUUAAAAAAAUUUAAAAAAUUUAAAAAUAUUAAAAAUAUUAUUAAAAAUUGUAUACGUUAGCGCCAAUCAGGCCACGUCAGCCGGCCGGCGUCCAGUCAGCAAAAUCCGGCCAAAAUUGGCCGGAAAGGACUGAAUUGGCACAACGUAAAAAGGUUUAGGACUAAAUCGGCACCAAAAAAAGGUUUAGGACUAAAUCUGCACAAAGCCAAAAGGUUUAGGACUUUUUUGGCACUUCUCCCACACUAUGUUUGCACUCAUUUACAACCAAUUUUUUCGUGCGCACUUCUUAGCAUGGGCUAAUCUAAGCAUAAAAACUGAGAUCAAAUAAACAAGACCAAAUGCCAAGUGUAGAUAAAGGGAGUUCACGAACAUAACCGGAAUUAGAUAGGGCUUGAGGAUAUCAAAAAUUGAUGGGAUGCAACUCUUUUAUCAAAAAAAAAAAAAAACUUAAUUAAAGACUUGUUCAUGAUUGGUUUUGGGAAAUCUGGAGUCUGACUUGGAUUCACUUGACAAAUUUUAUCAGUUCUCAUUGACUUACAAUUUUUUUUUUUUUCCGUUUGGUCAGAUUAUAGAAUUAGUUAGGGAGCUAAUGGUCCUAGAACGGUGCGAGAUGCUCAAUUUACUUUUUUAAUGUUCAAUUAAAACUAUACUAACAUUAAGCAGUAAAUGUGAGUGUAUGGAAAUAUAAAUGCAAUAAAUGGUUAUGGAAUCUCAAAACAAAAGAAACAUUACAUUAUCAUGCACGUCCAUCCCCAGAGAGAAUAACGCAAACAAGUCACAUUUUCUUCCGGAGAUCAUGGCAAAAUUUGUCUAGAUCCAGAUUCAUCGGACUUGAAUAUCUAUGGUUGAUUAGGUGACUCUUUUAUUAGGCUCACAUGAGAUCCAACAGCUGUGUCGAGCUCCCCAUGCAUUAACCAAUAAGGAUAUACAACCUUAUACAGAAUAUAGCUACACCAUAUAUGUGCUUAAUCACACUCAAGUUUUUCACAUGCAAUUCUUAGCAUAGCAUAGGCUACUCGAAGAAUAAAAUGCAAUGGUUAUGGAAUCUCAAAACAAAAGAAACAUUACAUUAUCAUGCACGUCCAACCCCAGAGAGAAUAAUGGAAACAAGUCACAUUUUCUUCCCGAGAUCACGGCAAAAUUUGUCUAGAUCCAGAUUCAUCGGACUUGAAUAUCUAUGGUUGAUUAGGUGACUCUUUUAUUAGGCCCACAUGAGAUCCAACAGCCGUGUCGAGCUUCCCAUGCAUUCACCUAUAAGGAUAUACAACCUUAUACAUAAUAUAACUACACCAUAUAUGCGCUUAAUCACACUUAAGUUUUUCACAUGCAAUUCUUAGCAUAGCAUAGGCUACUCUAAACAUAAAAUGCAAUAUUAAAAAAAAAAAACACCAAAUAACAUAUGUUGAUAAGGGGUGUUCAAGAACAGAAAUCGAAUUAGCUAGGGCAUGAGGAUAUCGCAAACAAAACCUAGGAGUACUCUACAUACAACAUCUACUUCUCCAAACUUAUGGGGAAAUAUGGCAAAGAAUGUCAAGUGAACUGACGAUGACCGAUUACAUACACUGGCAUGUUCUAAGAAUGAUGGACGAUGUACCCUUGAGCAAACGCAUGACAUGUAAAAGCUCAGGCACACAUGGUCAGCUCUCCAUAAUGGUGUCUUACAUGCACACUGAGCGAAGUGAGCAGGCUUCGAGACCUUCCAUGAAAUCCGACAAUAUUUCAACCGGUUGAAGGAAAUGAAGAGUACUUCCCUUUCUCGAUCCCGAAUGGUCCUUCAGCUCUUUUGUUGCUCUGAGAUGUGAGGGAGCAAAUCACAACAUGUCCAAAAUCAUCUCUUAUGUAACCAGAAUACGAAGUCAAAUUCUCUCCAGGGUAAUCGAGCUUAAUCUGCAAAAAUUGAAAGGGAGAUAUUUCAAUGAGAAGCUCCUCACUGUAGAGUAGUAAAAUCUCCACAAACAGACCCCCACUGAUUAACCAAGUUAGAAUAAUAAGGCACAAGAUCCGAGUAGAACAUUUCAGUGGGUCCAAUUUUGCGUAUGAGUUUUUAACAUCGAGAUAACUUUUCAGCGUUGGUCGUUGUAAAAGUUAAUGCCCUCCGGUUCCAGCCGUUUGAAAAGGUGCGAUAUGAAGGUCUAUGUAGCACGGACACUGUCUAGAAGCCUUCAUGUCGUGUCCGACACUCCAACACAUGUCCGACACGCUCAGACAUGUCCCGACACGCUCAGACACGUCCCGACACGCUCCGCCGCGCGGUCAACGAGUGUCGAAAAAUCUGACACGUGGUCAACUCUGUGACAUCCCGAUUUUCGAAGUCUAUUUUCAAUAAAUUGAAACGGGCAUUUCGUUGGCACGCAUAUAGUUCUUUUCCUUGAGUCGGCCACUCAUGUGAAAGCUAGUCUAUCGGGUGAAGCUGUUAAGAGUUUAUAAUGCAUCAGACUCGAGAAUUUGACCAGGAAGCAACCUUUCGACCGAGCUAAUCUGCAAGGGUCAUUACGGCACAAAUAAAAAUCGAUUAGAGACCGGAGAUAGGUUGAAUCGACAGAGGCAUGUGAUCGAGUGUGGGUGAUUCCACCAGAUCGCACCAUUCUUCUCGAUCGACACUGGACCGAUUUUUCUAUCGAUUUGGUACCCUGUGUUCGUAUUUGAAACCUUGAGAUUACCCCGACAACCGAAAGUCGCCAAUGUUUCAAAGAUGUACAUUGUGGCUUGAGAUGAUCAACCACAGGUCAAAUGCAUAAAAAUCUCUAAAGGCUACCCGGUAGGUUGGGCCGCGCUAGUAUCGUGCCAAAGUGAAAUUAACCGUGGAAUUGAGAUCGAAUUUAGAAAUUGGAUGUCUGGGUGUGUCACAAAUCGUUUCAGGAUCAUUGGCUUAUAUUUGGAAGAUUUUUCUUGUAAUCAGAGUUUUUCAGCAAUUAAAUCAGAAAAUGGUUAAUUUGGCUCGAGAAAUUAGUAGGCCCGCUUUUGGUCGCGCUUUUAAGACUUAAGUUGGUUCUAUGGACAAGUGAAGAUGUGAAUUAGAGUGUGGUGACAUUGGAUUAAUCUUAUGGACUUCAAUUUAAUUCAAUUGGAAGAUAAUUGAUGGGAAUUGAAGAAAUUGGAUGUAUAAGAUUUGGACCCCGGCGGAAAAUGAAAGUGCAAACAUUGGAGAAGUUAUGGGAGGGGGGUUUGAGUGAGUGGAAGAUGACAUAGGAUGAUGUCAUGGUGGUUGAGGCCAAGGGUUGAGAUCUUGACAAAUGGAGGGUGGAGAUUGGCUCUUGAAAAGGUGGGCUUUCACUUCAUCUUCAAGCUUGGGAAGAGAGAGAGAGAGAGAGAGAGAGAGAGGGAGGAGGGGAGCUGCCGUUCGAACCAGCCAACCGGCCGGAUGCCGCCUCCUUCGCCCGCUCGACGCCGCCGCUCGUUGCCGUCACCACCGCGCACCGUCGCCGCUCCGCCUUGGCCGUCGCCCUCCGUCUUUCCCCUUUCUCUUCCGUCGGUUCUCUCCUCCAUGACUGCUGUGCGAAGACCAGAAAACGCAGCAGAAGAAAUCCGGUUGCAGCAGCCUCCGCCUGACUGAUCGCCCGUCCGCUCGUUGUCGUCGCUGCCCUCCGCCGUUCGCCGUCGUGCGUCCACGUGAAGCUGCACGCUAGCUCGCCGGUCGGCUCGCGUUCAGCCCGCGCGUACAGCACGUCGACCAGGCCGCGGAUCAGCCACCUCCGGCCACCGCGAGACCCCGUCGGAACUGCCGCCUCACUCACCAAGCUGUAGCCACCGCUUCUCUGCCGUUCCCCGCGCCCGAACCGCCGCCGAGCAGCCUCCGUCGGCCUCAACCAGUAGCGAGCAGAGAGGAGAAAAAUGGGUUUCUCAGCCCCUUCUUGGCCCAUUUUGGCCGCCUUCCCGAGCCCAGAUGCUCGGCCCGCCUUGAGGAAAGUUGAUCCUCGCGUCGUCCUCGUCGUUUUGGUCCGCUCGGCUCGCUAAUCCAGUGAGUUUAGCUGACUAAACCUCGCUUAGAGGGUUAAUUAUGUUUUAGGUGUGCUUAGCUUAAGUUAAUUAAGCUUAGGUGGUUAAUUUCGUUUAUUUAAUUAUAAAUUGGAUUAAGAUGUUGGUUUAUGUUAAAGUGUGUUUAAAUUAAAGGUUAAAAGAAGUUAUUUAAAGUUAAGCCUUGAUGUGACACAAAAUGAUUUUUGUUUUGAAUUAUUUAAGUGCUUCGAAAUUCUGGAAAAUAUUAUAUUAUAUUAUAAUCCGAAAUUAUUAAAAUAUUAUUAUUUUAAAAAAAAAUCAGAAAAAUUAUUUUUGACCCCGGUUGCUCAGAAUUUUGUGCCGGUCGCUACGGUACAUUCGGAUUUUGAAAUUGAUGAUUGGAUAUUAUAAAUUGAGUGUGGAUUUCGAAAACCAUGGAUAUUAUUAUUUAAUUAAUUUUCGGAAUAAAUUUAAUUAUUUGAUAAAUUCUGAAAAUUAGUUUGGAACCUUAUUCUCUCAGAAUUUCGUGCUGAUCGCUGCUGUGUAUUUAGAAUUUGAUAUUGGUGAUUGGUUGUGGCAAAUUGAGUGUGAUUGCGAUAUAUAGGGAUUCUUUAUGAAAUCCUAAGUGUAGAAAUUGAUGGGAGAUUGGCUGCGAUUGACCACCUAUUAGAGGUCGUGCCCAGUGAGGCCGUGAUGUACCACCUAGGAAAGGUCGUGCCCAGUGAGGCCGUGAAAUACCACCUAUUAGAGGUCGUGCCCGAUGAGGCCGUGAAAUACCACCUAUUAGAGGUCGUGCCCGAUGAGGCCGUGAAAUACCACCUAUUAGAGGUCGUGCCCGAUGAGGCCGUGAAAUACCACCUAUGAGAGGUCGUGCCCAGUGAGGCCGUGAUAAACCACCUAUGAGAGGUCGUGCCCAGUGAGGCCGUGAUAAACCACCUAUGAGAGAUCGUGCCCAGUGAGGCCGUGAUAAACCACCUAUGAGAGGUCGUGCCUAGUGAGGCCGUGAUUAACCACCUAUUAGAGGUCGUGUCUGAUGAGGCCGUGAAUUACCACCUGAUUAAAGGUCGUGCCGAGUGGGGCCGUGAUUGCCACUGAUUGUUAAACCUUCCUAUAGGGUCGGGAUUGAGAGCAAUGAUUGAUUUGCUAGAAUGACAUGUAAUCGGCCGAGUCGAUUGAUCGCUGAGACGAUCCAAGUGGUUGAAUUGUUUGAUAAUGUGAUUGUGCCACGGUUGUUUAGCUAUCAUAAUUGUACGUGGUUGAAUUAUAUAAAUUGUGCUAACCUGCAGAUGAAGGCUGAGGCGAGGUAAGUCUUCUAUGUGAUGUGGCUAGGCCACCCGGGGCGUAUUUUCUUUCUAAUAGGGGUUUAGGGGGUUGAACUUGCUGAGACGUUGUCUCAGUGGUUAUUGAAUAACCAUUUCAGGUCCCCGGUGGACGGAGCGGCCGGAUAGCUUUGGUUGGCAUUGAGGAGUUGCAGAGGUGAAGUCAUAAGAUUGGAGAACGUGUCCGACUUGUAGGUCGUAGGACAAUUCAUUUUUAAGAGCCAGUCUUUUGUAGACUUUUGGCCGUAGACCUCUGUUUGUAAUUCUGUUGAAUUAUGGAAGUGUUAUGUUGUGGUUUUGCUUCCUGCUUUUCUAUCCCGUAUUUUAUUGUCAGGGGAUUUGUUUCGCUUCCACAUGCGUAAUAAAAUAAAUGGGUCAGCGACAUUACCUGGGAAUGUCGCAUUUGAUCGACCGCAGUGGGAUGUGCUCGCGCUCGGGGUUCGGGGCGUGACAAACUCUCUCCGACACGCUCCGACAAGCCAUUCCAACACGCACGAGGUCAAUUUUAAAAAUUUCUAAUACUUGAGGAGUCAAAAUAUAAAUAUAUACAAAAGAAGUAAUAAAAGAAGUUAUAAAAUUGCUAUAAAUAUACAUGCACGGGGUCAAUUUUUUUUUUUCAGUUUUGUUUUUUUAGGAUUGUUUUAUUUUUUUUUUAAAGUCUUUUACUAUGAAAUAAGUAAUAAAAAAUGCUAUAUAUGAUAAAUAAAUAAAAUUAAAAAUAUCAUUUCAGCAUUUUUCUUUAAAAAAAUGUUUUUUUCCUCUAAGUUUUGUGUAUUAUUGUAACAAAUUAAAAUAAUGAAUGAUAUUAUUUAAUAUUUUUCGUGUAAAUUAAUUCUAGGCUAUUAUUAUUAUUAUUAUUAUUAUUAUUAUUAUUAUUAUUAUUAUUAUUAUUAUUAUUAUUAUUAUUAUUAUUUAUGUAUUUAUAUAUAAAAAUAUAUUUAAUAUAUAACGUGUCGAAAUUCUCUAUUUUUAAGAAAUGACGUGUCGGCGUGUCGUGUUGUAUCGUGUCGCGUGUCGCGUGUUCAUGUCGGUGCUACAUAGGUGUCAACAUCUUAUUGCAGCUGUAGUUAAAGUGCUGUCGUUUUACGUGCAAAUAUUUUAUGCUAGGUUCCGCAUGCUACGAAGUUGAAAGUAGAAUCUACGGAGAGAAAGGGACCUCUUUUUUUUCGGCGCCCGCGAUCGGGUACGAGCGCCUAAAGGAGGCUAAUGGCUCGGCUGAAUUUAUUAAGCCCGGACUCUCCCAAGUCCACCAAUUCACGACUUUAAUAGUCUGAGUUUUUAACCUAUAAAUUAAUUUUAGAACGGAGUCGCCACUAAUCGGUUUGGGGUGGGUCGAUUAGAAACCCAAGCGAAGUAUCGGGAGAAAUACUUGCUCCUGCGCAACCAGAGAAAUUAGGAUCAGGGACUUGAUUACACUAGUUAAUCACUAAUGCCCUUUCGGUACCUAAUCUUGUUUAAACCCUAAGGCUUUUUGUAUUUUUGAGGGAUUUUCCAUGCAUUUUUUAGAGGAAAAGCAUUUUUAGUCUUUUUCUAAUUUUUUUGACAUAAAAAGCAUUUUAUUUUAUUUUUGGAUCUUUUUUUGAAAAUAAAAAUCAUUUUUUUGGCUUUUUCUGACUUUUUUGGCUUUUUUGGGAAAAUAUGGACAUUUUUGAUUUUUUUGAUUUUUUGGAAAAUAAAUUAUUUUUUUAUUUUUUAUUAUUUUUUAAAAUAUUAUUUUAUAUUAAAAUAAUAUAAAAACUGACCCGGGUCGGAUCCGCGUUGCGGGCCCGACUCAGAUUUUUUCUUUUAAAAAAACUCAGCCCACACACACGGAUUUGGGCCUUUUUUAAAAAAGAUGCCCGGCCCACGGAGAAGCUGGCCUUGCGUAACCCUAGAGCGCCGGGUCACACGCCCGACCCGACAACCCGCUCCCCCUACGAAACCCUACCCGACCCGGCUCCAUCACCCGACCCGACUUCCGCCGCCCCUUAAAUCGCGGAAACCCUACCCGGUUCCGAGACCCGGCUCCGACUCGGCGACCCGGAAAAUUGCAAACCCUAGGGUUUGCGAAUCCGCGGCGCCGAGGGGGGGAACCGAGGUGCUUGGCGGCGACGGCGACUACGGCGGUGACGACGAAGGCGACAACGGCGACGGCAACGGUAACGGUGACGCUUUUUACCUUUUCUCGAACGGAGACGGCGGCGGCAACAAUGCCAGAUCGAAGGCGGCAGCGGCGGAGGCGCUCGGCGGCCCGGCGGGAUUUUGCACAGCAACGGCGUCGGGGGGUGGGACCUUCUUCCGCCCCUCUUCGCGAAUCCAGAACCUUUGCACCUCCUCCAACCUCGCUUCUCUCUCUCUCCUUUACUCCUCCUUCCGGCGAGAUUCAGAUCCGAAGCCGUAAGCCCUCGGCCCCCCUGAAGUCUCUCAGUGGGGUGUCCAAGGGUCGCGACUUCGAUCUCCUCUCUCUCUCUCUCCCUUCGUGUGUCUCUCCGGCGGAACCUCUUCCUCUCAAGCUCACUUGCUUGCGGAUCGGGGUUCGCUUGCCGCCGGCCUCCCCCGAUGUCUCUCGGUGGGAAGUCAUCUAGCUUGCGACCCGAUCCUCUGCCCUCUUGGCUUGCUCUUUGAUUUCCCCCUUAAAGUCUCUCAAAGGGAAGAUCUCCGAGUUCGCCGUGUCCUUCGAAGGAGGUGGUGCCCCGCUAUUUAUAGGCGAGGGGGCGGCCGGUCGACGGGGAUUCGACCGCCGGUCUUCACACAUCGAACGGACACCCGCGGCCGAACCGGCAUCCCAUCCUCGCUCCUCCGACAAAGCGUGCUCGGCAUUGAAGGCGGCCAUUAAUGGCGCCUGAGAUCUGUCAUCUCCGGCCGACGUCGGCCUACCCUCCUCGGUCGUAGGUUGCCUUCGAGCGCGUGAGUUGCAGAGGCGUAGGAAGAAGAAGGGAGAAGAAGGAAGAAGAAGAGGAGAAGGGGGCCGGGCUUGGAGGAGAAGGAGGCUGGGCUUGGGCCCGCGAAAGGGAGAGAAAAAGGAGGGGGCUGGGCCUAGCUGCCAUUUUUUGUUUUCUUUUGUUUUUAUUGAUUUUUUUGUUGUUUUUGUUAUUUAUUAUUUAUUAUCUAGAAAAAGGAAAAAUAAAAGAAAUAAAGGCCUAAUUAAUAACCUAAUCAAAAUUUUAGCUGUCAACAGCUGCCCCUCUUUGAAGGUGAGUUCGCAGAGGUUGCAUUCAAAGAUAAACCUGAUACCUAAAUUUUGUCUAUACAUAUGCAAUAGAUUAUAUGAUAUUUAGGACCUAGUGUCCUAUGCAGAAAAUGAGCAAUAUAACAUUGCGUAUACUAAGACAGAUAAGAAGAUACCUGUAGUUACUUACCGGGAGUGAGUGAGAUAGGGUGUGAACUCCGAGUUUUAGCAAGUAUCAAGGCGUCAUCUUACCUGUUGCAUGAGGAGAUUGCUUCUCUAGGACUCGAACCAUUCUUCGGUCGCCUAUUGGAGCAAUAAGUGGUUUGUCUAGGACCCGAACCUUUCUUCGGUCGCCUUGACGGGGAAUUGCUUUUCCAGGACCCGAACCUUUCUUCGGUCGCCUGUUAGAGCAAUAAGUUGGUUUGUCUAGGACCCAAACCUUUCUUCGGUCGCCUUGACGGGGAAUUGCUUUUCCAGGACCCGAACCUUUCUUCGGUCGCCUGUUAGAGCAAUAAGUUGGUUUGUCUAGGACCCGAACCUUUCUUCGGUCGCCUUGACGGGGAAUUGCUUUUCCAGGACCCGAACCUUUCUUCGGUCGCCUGUUAGAGCAAUAAGUUGUUUGUCUAGGACCCGAACCUUUCUUCGGUCGCCUUGACGGGGAAUUGCUUUUCCAGGACCCGAACCUUUCUUCGGUCGCCUGUUAGAGCAAUAAGUUGGUUUGUCUAGGACCCGAACCUUUCUUCGGUCGCCUUGACGGGAGAUGUGCCGACCUUUCUCAGGGCAUCUGUUUGUUGGGAGAUAGUACUUGGAUGAUCACAAGUACAAACUCUUGGGGGAUACUUGGAUGAUCACAAGUAUUGAAGGGGUACCUGGACGAUCACAGGUACAAACUCUUGGGGGAUACCUGGAUAAUCACAAGUAUCGAAGGGGUACCUGGACGAUCACAGGUACAAACUCUUUGUACAUGGAAUAUCGAGGACGUACCUGAGAUAUUCGUGUGGAAAUAUCGAGGAUGGGUCUUGCAUAUACAUGAAGGUCUCUCACCUGCUGGUAGUGGGAAUAUCGAGGACGUACCUUGGAUAUUCAUGAAGGUCUCUCACCUCCUGGCAAUUGGGAAUAUCGAAGGCGUACCUGAGAUAUUCAUGAAGGUCUCUCACCUUCUGGUAACAUAAACUUGAAUGUAGCACAAGGCUUACCUGGAUGGCCGCAGGCAUUCAAAAGGGUUGGAACACCUGGGUAGCCGCAGGUGUACAAAGUACUGGAAUACUUAGAUGAACACAAGUAUUUGAUGAUACGAUCUGGGACCACUCAGGCUGGUCCAAAUGUAAGAAAACAUACCUGGGCAGGCACAGGCACACAAAGCAGUGGAAUGCUUGAACAGCUGCUAUAUUAUUUGGGGACAACUCGGGCAGGUUGAGUGUCAUGAAAAGGAAGUACCUGGACAACGGUGGGUACUUGACGAUAUGGGGAUACCUAGACAGCAGUAGGUAUUCCAAGAGAUACUUGGUCAGUCGCAAGUAUCAAUACUCUGGGGACAACUCGAACAGGUCGAGUGUCGAUAAGAGGGAGUAUCCGAACGGUGGCCGGUACUUGAAGACAAAAUGAUAUUUGGACAGCAGUAGGUAUUCAACGAUAAAAGGAUACUUGGUCAGUUACAAGUAUCAAUACUCUUGGGACAACUCGAACAAGUCGAGUGUCAGGAAAAGGGAGUAUCCGAGCGGUGGCCGGUACUCAAAGACAAUGGGGAUACCUAGACAGCAGUAAGCACCCAAACUCAAAGGACGACUCAAAUAGGUUGAGUGUCAAUAAGAGAGUACCUGGACAGUGGUAGGUACUUUAAGACAAAUGGGGAUAGAGAUAUGCUUACCUGGCAAUAUCUCUGAUCUCUGAGAGUAUGUCUGCUAUUUGCACAAUAAGCACACAUGAUUGCAUAUGCUGUAAAUUCAUGAGUUUAAAUGCGAUUCAUGCAUGACAAUUUUGUCAGUUUUGUAUCAUCUGAGUUUCACUGGAGAAGAUUUUGAAAGACAACCUUCAUUUAGAAUGUAGAUGUCUUGAGCAUGCCAAAUGAGGGACUUUUAGUCUGAAAGGACUUUCCGCUCACUCUCAUGGAAAAGGCUAUCCUGACCAUUGAUGCAGGAUUUAUAAGGACCACACUAUCUCACUGUCAUCAUGUCAACAGGGGUCCAAGUAUUCUCGCAAACGGUACGACUUUACCAAUGUGAGAGGUCUUUGUUGAAAUUGUGAUGAAGACUUAGUCAAUGGCUCAUCAAAUGGGACCGUCGAGGUCAAGGCUCAUGAACGAAGUGCCACACGAUCAUCUCCGGGUUUGCAAGUCGAGAAUCCUGCGAAAAGAGAUAGAGUAAUCUUGCUCGUACUUCUUCGAGCGAUGCUUAUGCACAUAUGAAAUCCUACAUUAAUUGAAGUGCCCCUAGUCUGAAGAGACUUUUACAAUGGGAUGCAAUGUAGACUUGAUUCAUGUGUAAAAAUGUGAGAGCUGGUGAUUGUCUUGGCAUUUGUCACCAGUCUUUCUUCUCACUGUCAAAUGGAGGUUCUAUGGACCACAACAUCAACAUUUUCUUGGUUGCAUUUUUGACUGGGGGACAUUGGCCUUGCUUUUACCAGGCACACUGCUUUUUUCAUGCCCCUUAUUUUUAUUCCAGUUUUUUCAUUUAUGGGCAUUGACCUUGCUUUUACCAGGUACACUGCUUUUUUAUGCCCAUGUUUUUUCAUUCUUGUUGCUUGAGAGUUGAUCUUGACAAGUUCAAGCAAACGCCUUUGUUAGACUAUUGAGUCUUCAUCUUUUGCCGGCACUUCUGAUUAUGCUGCUCAAAUGGCAGUAGCUUCUGCUUUGCCUCCACGUGAGGGUGAAUUUACAGACUCAAUUGAGUUAUACAAUAGAUACAAGUGCGUAAAGAAAGAAUUGCUCUUCAUGACUCUAGGGCACUUAAAUUAACAUGAGUGUUCAUAUGCAAUAAGAACACCCGAAGAUUGAUGCAAGUGCGAGCAAGAAAAUUUCUAUCUCUCUUCUCACCUUGUGAUGUUGCUUUGCCUCCGAUCUGCCCUAGUAUGGGGUGGUUCUUGACAGGGAUAGGACAGAAAUUUCAUCAGUGUAUAGGGCUCAAUGGGGUGAGCAAUGAAAUGCCUCUCACUGUUUUGGUCAUCGUACCAUUCGCGAGAGAACUCUUUACCCUGCAGUCAUGGAAUCUUCUGCACUCAUCUCACAAGUGUAUAGAUGGGGGGACUGUGUGUAGGAUAUAGCUUGCCUGUCAUCAUUCUGACGCGCGUCAUCCAGCAUGCUCAAUCGAUCUUGUAUUCUUCACUUAGCUAUCUAUUCUAAUAAUCCUCAGUGGAAUCAGUGACUUAGACAGACAAAAUCAUCAUGCAGAAUUCAUCUGGAAGUGACAUGCAACAUUUUGAAUAUGAUGGAGUUUGAAUUCUUCAAAACAAGUGAAUGGUUUUCACUCAAAAAAGACCCUAUUGACGACUUUAGGAGUUAACAUAAUGGUGUUUCCAAAUAUGUUAAAUUUUGAACAUCAAAAGGGUUAUUUGCAAAUGGGUGUCGAUAGUUAUCCCUAUUGAUUAGGGAUAUGACACAUGAAGGAUCAGCCGGGGCUGGGGAUCUGAUCGGGCAUCUCUGCUUUUGCCCCUGCAGAAGAGAAGAUGUACAAGUAGAUCAAUUAGUCUGGCCAAAAUUAAACUGUGAGUUAAGGCCUGAAGAUUUUCUGUCAUUUGCUUUGGCGAUUACUCAGGAUGUCAUUUUUCUUAGGAGAGCUUAUCAGAGUUUGACAUGUCUUUCCUUGAUUUGUUAUCCGCAUUUUUUACGGUCAAGUGAUCCUGCAACAGAUAGGAAAGAAUGUGUCAAUCACGAUUUUUUACAGGAGUUUAAACAACUGGGAGCGAUACAACAUUACCCUUCACUGCUUUGCAGAUGAUUGGAUGGACCCAAAAUGCGAGUGGGACACGAAGUCCUAUGUCUUUUGCUUCGUUAGAUCACCUGCUUUCUCGUAAUUUGCAAGCGCAAGAGAAGCAAAAAAUUUUAUUAUUUUUUUACCAAGCGGCUAACUGCCGCGUCGGGGAUUCGAACCCCCGACUUCGGACCUUUUUGCUUCUUCCCGGAUACCACUCGGCUAGAGGCGCCGAUGGUGUCCGUAGGGCGCUUCCUUUUUUAUUUAACCGAACCGGCUCCUGGAUGACACUUCCUUUCAUACCAAGUUAGGUAAAUCGAUAUGGGUCAUUUGAUUUGUCCAAAUUAAUCAUUAAGCUUGCUUCUUGAAUCCUAUGCUUCCUGUCAAUAGGAGAAAAUAUGUCAAAGGUGAGUUCAGAUACUAGGAGUAUUGGAAACGAUACCAAAUUACUCUUCUCCAGAGUUUAUAUUUGCUGACUCCUAGGGAUAUUUGAAUGUCAAUGACGGCCUUUUGUUUUCGACACAGUUCAAUGCCUCUUUUGAUUGGCCCUCCUCAUUUGUGGCCUUGUGAUUGAUGAUUUGCAACGCCUUCCUUCUGUGGAAUUCUGUAAUUUUUCUGAUGGCAAUUACUUCUUGCGAGAGCCUGCGUCUGGAACAAAAAGUGAAGCUUCCAGAUUCUAAGAUUGUUGACUGGGACAGAAGGCUCCUUCUAACCAGACCGGCUCUUGAAUGACGCGUCAUUUACACCGAGUUGGGCGAAAUUGACAUGGAUUACUCUUACGAGUCUGCCUGGGUAAUGUCGAUUUGCUCAAGUUAUGCCAUCGAAUUUGCUAUUUGAUUUUCAACACUUCUUUAAAUGCUGGCGAUUAUCAUUCAUUUUUCUUCAUCGAGUCAACCAAACACACGUUUUUAUAAUGGUGGAAAUACAUCACUCGUAUAUAAAGGUGCAUAGGCAUUUUCAUUCUGAUAGAGAAGUGCUUGGCAAUGCCAGACAAUGAACAUCUUUCAAGGGUAGUACUUUUUCACAGCAUCAGAAUUAACUGGUUUAGAGAAUUCUCGCCCAUCCAUCUCAGUUAGGAUCAAGGCUCCUCCGGGGAGUAUCUUCUUUAUUACGUAAGGACCCUUGUAAUUUGGGGCGAACUUGCCUCCGGGCUCUGGAAAGAUUGGCAGUGUCUUUCUCAAGACUAGCUCGUUUACCUCAAAGUGCUUGGGUCGCACCUUUUGAUUGAACGAUCGAGCUACCCUCUGCUGGUAACACUGGCCAUGACAGAGGGCUUUCAGUCGUUUUUCGUCGAUCAUAUUCAGUUGCUCAAGCCUUUGCUGUGUCCAUUCUUCCUUGGACAAUCCUGCUUGGGAUAAAAUUCGCAGGGAAGGGAUUUCUACUUCCACGGGCAAAACCGCUUCCAUGCCGUAAACCAGGGAAAAAGGCGUUGCCCCAGUGGAAGUUCGAAUCGAAGUUCGAUAUGCUGUUAGUGCAAAGGGUAACCUCUCAUGCCAGUCACGGUAGCUUUCAGCUGUCUUGGAUAGGAUUCUCUUGAUGUUCUUGUUGGCGGCUUCCACGGCUCCAUUCAUUUGUGGACGAUAAGGGGACGAGUUCAGAUGUUGGAUUUUGAACUCAGAAAACAAUUGAUCAAUCAACUUGUUGUUAAGGUUUGACCCAUUGUCGGUGACGAUAGCUUCCGGUACGCCAUAACGGGCGAUUAUGUCACGUUUGAUGAACUUCAUAACGUUUCGUGCAGUUACACUUGCAUAGGAUGCGGCCUCGAUCCAUUUUGAGAAGUAAUCGAUUGCGACCAAAAUGAACCGGUGCCCGUUUGAUGCUUUCGGAUUGAUUGGACCAAUUACAUCGAUGCCCCACAUUGAAAAUGGCCACGGCUCCGAUAACUGAUGCAAUUCAGUUGGAGGGACAUUUAUCUUGUCCCCGUGAAUCUGACAACGAUGACAGCUUCGCACAUGCCGGGCACAAUCGCCCUCUAAGGGGAGCCAAUAAUAACCCAAUCUCAUUAUUUUCUUGGCCAACAUACGUCCAUUCAUGUGAGGGCCACAUGCUCCCUCAUGUAUUUCUUGCCUUAUUUGUGUGGCUUCAUUUGCAUCCACACACCUUAGCAGAACUGAGUCAUAUGAUCUUUUGUACAAAUUUUCACCGCUGACGAAGAACCUCGAAGCCAUUUUCAUUAGGUAUUUUCGAUCAGAGGGAGUGCUUUCUUUAGGGAAUUCCUGCUCCUGGACGUAUUUCAUGAUAUCAUAAUACCAGGGUUUCCCAUCGGGUUCUUCAGUUAUAGUCAUGCAAUGAGCUUGUCUUGCCAGGACUUCAAUCUUCAAAGGCUCCACUUCUAACCCUUCUGUUACUUGUAACAUAGAUGAUAAUGUUGCUAGCGCAUCAGCGAACUGAUUAUGAAUUCUAGGUAGGUAUUCAAACGAGACGUCCUGGAAUUCUCCCACCAAUUCUUCCAAGUAUUCGUGAUAGGGCACAAGUUUGGCGUCUCUUGUCUUCCACUCGCCCACAGUCUGGAGAAUGAUUAAGGCAGAGUCACCGAACACUUUUAGUUUUGCUAUUUCCAUUCCAAUAGCCGCCUGCAGACCGAGGAUGCAUGCUUCAUAUUCGGCUAUAUUGUUGGUGCAUGGAAAUAUCAAUUUUGCAGCCACAGGAUAAUGCUGCCCAUUUGGGGAUAUCAAGACCCCCCCAGUGCCGGAACCUGACAAAUUUACAGCUCCGUCGAAGAACAUAGUCCAUGUGUCCUCUUCUACUGUUGAAAUUCGGUCGUCUGGGGAAUUAUCCUCGCGUACUUCUUUAGGGCAAUCUGCUAACAUAUCAGCAAUCACCCGACCUUUAACUGAUUUUUGCGACAUCACUUGGAUGUCAAAUUCUGAGAUCAGGAUUUGCCAUUUGGCCAAUUUUCCCACCAAGGCCGGGCGACCAAGCAAAUACUUGAUUGGAUCACUCUCAGUUACAAGGAAUGUUUGGUAAUGCAAGGUAUACUGCCGGAGUCUGUGCAACACCCAUACCAACGCAUCACAUGUUUUUUCCGAUUUGGAGUAGUUUUGCUCUGACGUGGUGAACUUUUUACUCAAAUAGUAAAUGGCUCGCUCCUUCCCAUCAUGGGGGCCCUUCUGUGCCAACAUUGCACCUAGGGAUUCACUGUUGAUGGUAAGGUAGAGAGUCAAAGGGUGUCCUGGAGUCGGAGGUACUAAAACCGGGGGUUUCAUCAGGUACUGCUUUAGAUUUUCGAACGCCAGCCGGUAGUCGUCAUCCCAUUUGAUUUGUGCAUCCUUCCUAAGAAGCUUAAAGAAAGGUUUUGUAGUUUCUGAAAGUUGGGAAAUGAAUCGUGCAAUGUAAUUUAAUCUUCCCAGGAGGCUCCGGACUUCUUUUACAGUCGAGGGAGGAGGCAUCUCAAAUAUCGCCUUAGUUUUUGACGGGUCUACUUCUAUCCCUUCACAGCUCACAAUGAACCCAAGUAAUUUGCCAGAAGUUGCCCCGAACACACAUUUUGCCGGGUUCAAGCGCAACUUGAACUAACGAAGCCGAUCGAAUAAUUUCUCUAGGGUCUUCACAUGGUCUUCUCCAUGUCUGGUUUUGGCGAUCAUGUCAUCGACAUAUACUUCAAUUUCUUUGUGCAUCAUGUCAUGGAAAAGGGUGACCAUGGCACGUUGGUAAGUUGCUCCUGCAUUUUUCAGGCCAAAAGGCAUGACCUUGUAGUGGAAGGUUCCCCAUGGAGUGAUGAAUGCCGUUUUUUCUUUGUCUUCUUCUUUCAUCCUUAUUUGGUUGUAUCCUGAGAAUCCAUCCAUGAAAGAAAAAAGUUUGAAUCCAGCAGUACUAUCCACAAGAACGUCUAUGUGGGGUAGCGGGAAAUCAUCCUUUGGGCUUGCUUUGUUCAAGUCGCGGUAGUCAACACAAACCCGAAUUCGACCAUCCUUCUUCUUUACUGGUACAACGUUUGCUACCCAACUGGGGUAUCGUGAGACUUCGAGGAAACCUACUUCGAGGAGCUUCAUUACCUCUUCUUCAAUCUUUUUUGACAAUUCCGGCUUGGUUCUUCUUAGUCGCUGCUUCUUGGGGGCUACAUCAGGGUUGGUUGGCAAGCUAUGCUCCACGAUCAUUGGAUCAAGGCCUGGCAUAUCGGCAUAUGUCCAUGCGAAUAUGUCUUGAUACCUCUUUAGGAGGGCAAUUAAGCUUGCAGCUUCUUCUUUAGGAAGGUUCGCGUCGAUCUUUAUCUCCCUUGGACCCUCUGUGCUGCCUAAAUUGACAAUGAUGGUGUCUUCAGUAGUAGGGGGCCUUGCUUCUUCGUGGCGCUCCCAAUUUCGUUGAAUUUCGUUGGAAUCAUCAAAAUCAUCAUCCGAGUCUUCAGAAUUGCUAUCAUGGCUACUUACGGUGUUGGUUUGGACCGUUCCCAUACCCUCGCCUGCUACUAGAUUAUUCCUGCGUCAUAGAGUAGAUAAAUAAGGUUAGUAGCAUGCAUGCUUCUUUCUUUUGAAAAGGUGAUAAAUUGCUCUUGAAGAUUUAGGACAAGGAAACAUGAGGAGACCCGGGCCUCAGAUUUCUUUUUUCAUUUGACGGCUGGCUAUCAUCAACGGGCCGGUUUGGUGUGUCUCCUCAUGCCCUCAAAAUGUUUUCAACUUUAUUUAUUAGUAGACGGAUUUACAAGGUGAUUUCAAAAAAUAGUUCCUUGAGUGGAACUGAUGUUGAAAACAAAACAAGCCAGACUUUAAAAAAUAUGUACAGGCUCCCACGUAGGGGAGUAUGCAAGGGAAUUAAAAAGGGUUCUACUCGAGCGGGCCUGCACCCAUUUCCCCUGACGGUCCUUCGUUGAUAGCGCCCACGAAGAAGUCUUCAUACCAGUCUCCAGUCACGCCUCCUUGUGCUCCCAGCUUUGUGAAUUUCAGGUCGUCCAUGCCUCCCCAUCCAUCAGGGACGAUCCUCUGACGAUUGUCAUAGAAACCUUUGGGAAUUGAAUAGUUGACAUAAUAGUCGAAUUUGCCACUUGGUUGGCCCAAAGUGUCCAUGAUUGCCUUUCCUCUAUGCGCUUCCUUAGCAUGCUCAGGGAGCAAGGUAUGGGUGCUAGGUACCACGAGGAAGUCAUCUUUACCAUAACAUAGCCACGAGGAACGGAACGUGAACACCCCAGCAUCCAAAAGAUCCUGAAUCUUGUCUCUCAAGAUGAUACAGUCAUCUAACGAGUGUCCUACUUCGCCCGAAUGAUAGUCACAGUACUUGGAUGGAUCAUAAUCAAGGAAGUACUCGGGAGUAGGACGCCUCAGUUCCCUAGAGAUUAUUCCUUGCUCUAGGAGGAUGGGGAAAAUAAUGACCAUCGAUUUAGGAAGAAGCGAAUAUAACCGCGUGCUUCUUGAGGACUGUGGUAGCCGAGCUCCUUGCCAGAUUGUGUCAAUAGGGUCUUCUUCACUUACUUUGGCUACCAACUCCUCAUUGUGACGAGAGCGAAAUGUACGGGCAGCUUGAACAAAAUUUUCUGUCAAGUGGUAUAUGCUAUCGCGUAGUUCAUCGACUUGACGUUGAAGUUGGGUGAAUGAGAAGUUAUCGCCUGUUUCUUCUAGCUGCUCCUCCUCAAUGGCACCUACGAAAAGGUCCCCAAACAUGGUGGUCACGUCAUCUGGCCCUUCUUUCUUUGUAAGUACGGGUUGGGUUAUGCUCUUCUGGUCCAUGCCCAAGUAAAUGGGAAACUUCAAGCUUUCAUGGUUGAAUUGUUUUGGAAUGCCGAUCAUUUCUUCUUCCUCAUGCAUCAUCUUCGCAGGGCCUGGGAAGGUUUCCUCAAGGCGUGGGUAUACAAGGCCGGUCUUCUUUUUUGCCUUUCCUUCCCGGUAUUGCUCCUGAUAUCCUAAACCAAUGGUGUGAGGUCUCCUCAAGGCUUUGAUAGGCUCGCGGAUGCCUUGGUUUCCCUUGCCAAGCCCUUGACCCAGGAUAAAACCGUAUCCAGUCAUGAUUUUCCCUACCAUGAUUGCAGUGCUUGAUAUUUCGGGGACAAGGGGUGGAGUCCCUCGAGUUUCGUGUAUAGUAGACACAAGCUCGAACGAUUGAUAACUGGAUUCAUUUUUGUCACUAGGUUCAACAUAAGGGAUGGCCGUCUCAUGGUAGAAGCGGUGAUCUUCUUCUCCGCGGAUCGUGAUCAGUUUUCCUCCAAUCACGAACUUUACAUUUUGGUGGAGGCUUGAAGGUACUGCUCCAGCGACGUGGAUCCAUGGGCGGCCUAAGAGGAAAUUGAACGCAGUGGGGAUAUCCAUCACCUGGAACAAAAUUUUGAAUAUGGUUGGGCCUAUUUGAACGUCAAGCUCGAUCUCUCCCACCGUUUCCUUCUUUGUUCCAUCGAAUGCCCGAACAGAAGUCUUGGGUGUCUGGAUUCGUGAUGUCUCUAUUUUAAGACGACAGAGUGUUGCUAGUGGACAUAUGUUAAGAGCAGAUCCAUUGUCAAUCAGUACUCGAGCAACGUGAGAUGCGUUGCACUUGACUGAUAUGUAGAGGCCUUUGGUGUGUCCUCUACCCUCCUCGGGGAUUUCUUCAUCAGAAAAUGCCAUUUGAUCUUUUAAAAGGAUGAUACUGACAAACUCCUUGAGUUUGUCAUGUUCAAUCGUCUCAGGGACAUGUACUUCGCUUAGUACCUUCAUGAGGGAUUUCUGGUGCUUGACAGAUGUCUGAAGUAAUUCCAGCAAAGAGAUAUGUGCUGGUGAUUUCCGUAAUUGUUCCACCACAUUGUACUCGCUGGCUUUAACUACGGCCAAAAACUCCUUGGCUUCUUCGUCAGUGACGGGCUUGGCGGGCUGUGUAUUGGCUUGAGCAUAGGUUCGCCCAGAUCUCGUGACUAAGCCAACAUCAAGGUUGUAAGACCAUGGAACUGCAUUGUUGCCUUCGUAUUUGUAGGGCUGGGGGAUCUCAAUGACUAUAGCUGUUUCUGAUGUCGAUGCUUGAACUAUGGCUCCUUUCCCUUUAAAGACGCCCUCAAGUGGGGUGGAAUCCUUCUUCUCUCUCUUUUCGUUUAGUGUGGCAAAUUCUUCAUCCCAAUUGAUGACGACUUGCGAUAUAGUAGAGACCGUGCCGGUGUGGCCAGCGUACACAAUUAUUCCUGCCUCUAUCAUUCUUGAUACCCUUUCUUUCAUUGUUGCUAAGGGUGGUAUUUCAUCGCUCGAAUAAUACCUGGUUUCUACUAGCCCUCGAUAGAUGUCAACAAUAUGUGCAUUGACAUUUCUGAUUUGGCUGGCUUCAGAACUGAAUAUCGCGUUUACUUUGUCAGUGUGAUCGGGGAGCGGAUUGCUUUGGACAUUUGGCUUUGUAGUUUGGAAUGAGAAAGCCUUAGUAUCCAGCAAGUUCUGGAUCCGAUGCUUAAGGAUGAAACACUCGUCAGUUGAGUGGCCUACUUCUCCCAUGUGAUAGUCACAUUUUUUGGACGGGUCAUAGCUGGAGAAGCUUUCAGCGUUGGGUCGUUUUGGCUCAAUUGAGAGGAGGUUCUUGUUCCGGAGGAUUGCCAAAACCUGUGAUAGAGAUCCAGGAAGUGGAGUGAAUUGUCUUCUGUUGUUGUAGCGCUGGGGUGGUUGACGACUAGUGGUCUGUUGUUGGCCUGUGCUUGUCUGAACGGUCGGGAGGUGACCGGUAUUUGCAGUGUAGGUUGCAUUGACAUCUACCAGGGGUUCUUUGUCUUUUUUCAGGCUGAGCCUUCUGCUGACAGGCGCAGGUUCAGUGAACCAGCCAUCCCUUAACCCUAUCUCAAUCUGCUCUCCUACUGGAAUGAGUUGAUUGAAUGAUUCAGCGAUCGUAGUCACCAUUCGGUUGCGGUAUUCAUAGAGGAGGGUUUUGAUGAACAUUUUUCUUAGUUCAAAAUCAGUUGGUUCGGGACUCAUUUGGGCGGCUAGAUUCCUUCAUCUGAUAGCAUAUUCUUUGAAAGAUUCAUGCUUUUUCUUUUCUGUGCGCUCGAGAUCUUCACGAGAAGGGGUAAUAUCCAUUAUGAACUUGUACUGCUUGAGGAAUGCCUCACUUGCUUCACUCCAUGUUUCAAGGAGGUUUAUAUUUUUUGUGAUGUACCACCUCAGGGCGGGACCUACUAGACUUGACUGGAACAACUGGAUCAUUAGAGGCACAUUAUUAAUGUACUGGGUCAUUCGAAUCAAGUACAUUUGCAAAUGAGCCCUUGGGCAAGUCGUGCCAUCGUAUUUCUCGAACUCAGGCAUUUUGAAUUUUUCCGGCAUUUUGACCUUGGAGUAGAUGGAGAGGUCUGCUGGAGUAGGAUCUUGGAGGCCCUGCAAUUGUUGUAGUCUCUCUUCAAGCUUCUCAAGGCGUUUGUCAUGUUCAGUCUUAGACAAACUGUUGGGCUUUGCUUUCUCAACUAUGAUUUGGUGCGUAUCAUCCUCCAAUUCUGGCAUGUUAUCAUCGGUAUCUCUUCCUUGAUCACCUCGGGUAGACGAUUGCGGUAACAAUACUUCGAUUGAGGCUGGGGCGGGAGUCAAUUUGCCUUGGAUGGAAUCUAUCUGCUUUGAGAGUUGUUGAAGCACAUUGAAGACUUGCUUCAUUUCACUUUCCAUAAUCUCGACACGGCUUGGUACAUUUUCUUCGGCCAUUCUAGCUUUUGGAUUUGGUGAAUAUGAUUAUGACGUGAUUACCUGGUAGCACAGGAAAUGGAGAAAACGUAAAUGAGGGAAACACAUGAAAAACUGGCUCAUGGCAAGGGUCGAGUCAUUCUUAUUUAUUAACAGGAGAUUUAUACAAUGCUAAAAAGAGCUUUUUACACCAGUUAGAACGACCCUUGAUAUUGACAUUAGAAAUAUUCACAUCAAAAGUCCCACUGCCCAUUUUUAUAUGCGAUGGGAAGUUCUAGUCUUGUGAAGCCGCUUGCUUCUUCGUACUAGCUUUGAUACGUGUCUCCUGUUUGUCUCCAAGCUCUUUUCAAGAGAUUCGAUUCGCCCUUGCAGGGUAAGUUUAUCAACUACAUCAGGGAUUACUGGUUGCAGCUUCUUGGGAAUUAUAUGGUUGAGGAUGUAGAAUGCUGAUGCAUGAUGAACUUUUUCUUGUCCCUUUAACCUUCUGGGCACAACGAUCUUUUCAGUGUGACAUCUACUCCAUGCGUUCUGAAUUAUGCGGAUCUCCUCCAAGUAGUUGUAGUCUGCACGGGUGAAAAAGAUUCGGAACAAUCCUGAUUUGAGCGGUGGCGGGAUUUCUUGAAGGACCCUGUACUGACGAGCCACCCUAUAUGGAUAAUAUGAGGUAGCUCCGGAGAGGCCCAGCAACGGGAUGGGGUUGUAGUAAUUAAGCGCAAAGCACACCUCUCCUGCAAUGAACCAUUUAGCUCGCCAUAGGAAUGUCUCAGGGACCGGGUUUUUUAGCAAGUUAAUCCACCGAGAAUACUCUUCAUUGGGAGAAUAUUUUUCCAAGGUUUGAAAUUUUUGUAAUGGGUGUUUAAACUCAUUGAUUUCAAAUAUUUGCAUGAGGUGCCCAAAUCCUUUGAUAUGGGAAAAGAACCACAUUUGUAAAAUUUCUGGAGCGGCCCUCAUGAUUUUUUCUUUUUGGUCCUUGAAACGAUUAAGGGAUAAAAGCGUUUCGGCUAAAACCAUGUUCACAUAUCCUGCUCCAAAAAUGACUUGAUUUAUCACCCAUGUGAUUGAAGGAUUUAUAGCAUUCUUUCGAUGUGGAAAGAUAAUAAAACCAAAGAAUGCUAAGAGGAAAAUCUUGGCUUUUUGGGCCAUUGACUGUUUUUCAAAGGAUUCAAUUAAAGAUGAUAGCGGAAAAGCAUUGUUGUUGGCUUGAACAAUUUCUCUUACCGAAUGAUUUUUUAGAAACCGUGAUAGAAUAACCACAGGGUCAAUGCCGAUUGGUGGUUUGGCAAGCUCGCUUCCCAGGGGCAUUCCUAUGGCAAGACUGUACUCUUCUAAAGUCGGAGUCAGUUCAAAUUUGCCGAACAUGAAGGUGGAUGCUUCAGGGCACCAGAAAUGUGGUAGUGCUUGCAUGACUCCAGAGUGGAUAUUGAUUUGGAGCAAUGGGAGGAGAUGACCGAUUCUUGCUUUGACGCACUCUUGGGCGAGCUAAUCUAACUGCUUCCACCAUCUGAGAAGCUCUUCUUUUGGGGUAGGAAUGAACUUGAUAUCAAUUCUUCCCAUCGCAUAUAAGAAAGGGAAAUACACAACCUGACCCUAUUUUGCCAUGAGCCAGACAGACUGAGUAAAAGUAAAGAAAUCACUUUGCUUUUAAAUAAAAUGGCAAGCACAAAGACAUACAGAUGGGAUGUGCGGCUCGAUUUCUAACUCAGAAGGCUUGAUGAAAUUAAAAGGGUAUCCGCCCGUCGCAGUCUCGCGUUAGCAGCAUACCCCCUUAACCUCGGCUAAGAAAUUCGGGGAAAAGAAAGGCAACCUCUACAUCGCAGUCUCGCGUUCGAGGUCGUAUCUUUCUUAACACCAUCCUAAAAUCCUAUGGCGGCCCAGGUCCGGCGGCCGGGUUGUGUGUGCCAUGUGUAGUGUUUAAAACAGUAAAGCAUGCACAACAGUUUAUAAUCACAAAACAAUUUAUUUUAACAGAAUAUAAAAAAAAAACUUUAAGAUAUUAUCUUGCAUAAAAGAAAAAAAACCAAGUCAGUAAAGCAUUUAAACAAAGAUAAAAUGGCCUAAGUCCUCAAAGUCCCCAGCGGAGUCGCCAAGCUGUCGCGACCUCUCUUUUUUCGGCGCCCGCGAUCGGGUACGAGCGCCUAAAGGAGGCUAAUGGCUCGGCUGAAUUUAUUAAGCCCGGACUCUCCCAAGUCCACCAAUUCACGACUUUAAUAGUCUGAGUUUUUAACCUGUAAAUUAAUUUUAGAACGGAGUCGCCACUAAUCGGUUUGGGGUGGGUCAAUUAGAAACCCAAGCGAAGUAUCGGGAGAAAUACUUGCUCCUGCACAACCAGAGAAAUUAGGAUCGGGGACUUGAUUACACUAGUUAAUCACUAAUGCCCUUUCGGUACCUAAUCUUGUUUAAACCCUAAGGCUUUUUGGAUUUUUGAGGGAUUUUCCAUGCAUUUUUUAGAGGAAAAGCAUUUUUAGUCUUUUUCUAAUUUUUUUGACAUAAAAAGCAUUUUUUUUGGAUCUUUUUUUGAAAAUAAAAAUCAUUUUUUUGGCUUUUUCUGACUUUUUUGGCUUUUUUGGGAAAAUAUGGACAUUUUUUAUUUUUUUGAUUUUUUGGAAAAUAAAUUAUUUUUUUAUUUUUUAUUAUUUUUUAAAAUAUUAUUUUAUAUUAAAAUAAUAUAAAAACUGACCCGGGUUGGAUCCGCGUUGCGGGCCCGACUCAGAUUUUUUCUUUUAAAAAAACUCAGCCCACACACACGGAUUUGGGCCUUUUUUAAAAAAGAUGCCCGGCCCACGGAGAAGCUGGCCUUGCGUAACCCUAGAGCGCCGGGUCACACGCCCGACCCGACAACCCGCUCCCCCUGUGAAACCCUACCCGACCCGGCUCCAUCACCCGACCCGACUUCCGCCGCCCCUUAAAUCGCGGAAACCCUACCCGGUUCCGAGACCCGGCUCCGACUCGGCGACCCGGAAAAUUGCAAACCCUAGGGUUUGCGAAUCCGCGGCGCCGAGGGGGGGAACCGAGGUGCUUGGCAGCGACGGCGACUACGGCGGUGACGACGAAGGCGACAACGGCGACGGCAACGGUAACGGUGACGCUUUUUACCUUUUCUCGAACGGGGACGGCGGCGGCAACAAUGCCAGAUCGAAGGCAGCAGCGGCGGAGGCGCUCGGCGGCCCGGCGGGAUUUUGCACAGCAACGGCGUCGGGGGGUGGGACCUUCUUCCGCCCCUCUUCGCGAAUCCAGAACCUUUGCACCUCCUCCAACCUCGCUUCUCUCUCUCUCCUUUACUCCUCCUUCCGGCGAGAUUCAGAUCCGAAGCCGUAAGCCCUCGGCCCCCCUGAAGUCUCUCAGUGGGGUGUCCAAGGGUCGCGACUUCGAUCUCCUCUCUCUCUCUCUCCCUUCGUGUGUCUCUCCGGCGGAACCUCUUCCUCUCAAGCUCACUUGCUCGCGGAUCGGGGUUCGCUUGCCGCCGGCCUCCCCCGAUGUCUCUCAGUGGGAAGUCGUCUAGCUUGCGACCCGAUCCUCUGCCCUCUUGGCUUGCUCUUUGAUUUCCCCCUUAAAGUCUCUCAAAGGGAAGAUCUCCGAGUUCGCCGUGUCCUUCGACGGAGGUGGUGCCCCGCUAUUUAUAGGCGAGGGGGCGGCCGGUCGACGGGGAUUCGACCGCCGGUCUUCGCACGCCGAACGGACACCCGCGGCCGAACCGGCAUCCCAUCCUCGCUCCUCCGACAAAGCGUGCUCGGCAUUGAAGGCGGCCAUUAAUGGCGCCUGAGAUCUGUCAUCUCCGGCCGACGUCGGCCUACCCUCCUCGGUCGUAGGUUGCCUUCGAGCGCGUGAGUUGCAGAGGCGUAGGAAGAAGAAGGGAGAAGAAGGAAGAAGAAGAGGAGAAGGGGGCCGGGCUUGGAGGAGAAGGAGGCUGGGCUUGGGCCCGCGAAAGGGAGAGAAAAAGGAGGGGGCUGGGCCUAGCUGCCAUUUUUUGUUUUCUUUUGUUUUUAUUGAUUUUUUUGUUGUUUUUGUUAUUUAUUAUUUAUUAUCUAGAAAAAGGAAAAAUAAAAGAAAUAAAGGCCUAAUUAAUAACCUAAUCAAAAUUUUAGGUGUCAACAGCGAUUCAAUCCAUUUUCUUCCAUAAAUGCCAGUGGGAACUCAUAAAAUCUGCCCCUUAAAUCUCUGAUUAAGUAAACUGACAUUUUUGGUGAGAGAAUCGCAUCCCACUGACCGUUGUUUUUUUUUCCCUGGUAAAUUAUUGUCCGACGAGGAGACAUGCGCGUACAAGAAGAAGAAGCCACGCCUUUCUUCUGAAUGUCUUUUUAACCAAAUACACGUACGGCCUCUCAAUCAUAGUUUCUCCACCACGUAUCAUCAAAGACAGGAACUAUGUCUUCUACUUCUACUUCACCUCAGUGGGAACAUGAUCUAUCCGUGAGUUCAGAAACGAUGACGCGAGGAAGACCUUCAUAUCGCACCUUUUCAAACGGCUGGAACUGGAGGGCAUUAACUUUUACAACGACCAACGCUGAAAAGUUAUCUCGAUGUUAAAAACUCAUACACAAAAUUGGACCCACUGAGAUGUUCUACUCGAAUCUUGUGCCUUGUUAUUCUAACUUGGUUAAUCAGUGGGGGUCUGUUUUUGGAGAUUUUACUACUCUGCAGUGAGGAGCUUCUCAUUGAAAUAUCUCCCUUUCAAUUUUUGCAGAUUAAGCUUGAUUACUCUGGAGAGAAUUUGACUUUGUAUUGUCGCGACCUCUUUUUUUCGGCGCCUGCAAUCAGGUACGGGCACCUAAGGAGGCUAAUGGCUUGGCUAAAAUUAGUUAUGCCUGGACUCUCCCAAGUCCACCAAUUCACGACUUUAUUAGUUUAAAUUUUUAACCUGUAAAUCAAUUUUAAAAUGGAGUUACCACUAAUCGAUUUGGGGUGGGUUGAUUAGAAACCCAAGCGAAGUAUCAGGAGAAAUACUUGCUCCUGCGCAACCAGAGAAAUUAGGAUUGGAGACUUGAUUACACUAGUUAAUCACUAAUGUCAUUUCGGUACCUAAUCUUGUUUAAACCCUGAGGUUUUUUGGAUGUUCGAGGGAUUUUUCAUGCAUUUUUGGGAGGAAAAACAUUUUUUGAGUAUUUUUCUAAUUUUUUUGACACAAAAGGGAUUUUUUUGGGAUUUUUUUUGGUAUUUUGGAAAAAUACAAGUCUUUUUGGCUUUUUCUGAAUUUUUUGGGCUUUUUCAUGAAUUUUUGGCUUUUUUUUUUUGGAUUUUUGGCAUUAUUUGGAAAAUAUGGAAUUUUUUUAUUUUUUUUAUUUUUUCGGAAAUUAAAAUAUUUUUUAAUAUUUUUCAAUAUUUUUUGGUUUUCGGGAAUUAAAAUAUUUUUAAAUAUUUUUGGAAAAUAAAUUAUAUUUUUUGAUUUUUUUUGGAAAAUAAAUUAUUUAUUUAAAAUAAAAAGGGCCGACCCGGGUCGGAUCCACAGGUUGGGUCCGACCCGGGCUGGCAACCCGAACGCGGACGGGCCCGACUUGGAUUUUUUUGUCUUUUUUUUUUUUUUUUUACUUUAUUGAAAUGGCGUCAUGGCUGGGUGUUCGGGGACACUCGGCCCGGCCCGACGACCCGCUCCGACAACCCGCUCCACGACCCGGCUUCCGUUGCCCCUUAAAUCGCGGAAUCCCUACCUGGUUCCCGAUCCGGGUCUGACCCGACAACCCGUGGUCGCGACCCGGAAAAUCGGGAACCCUAGGGUUUCCGAAUCGCAGCGCCAAGGAGGGAGAGGGCCGAGGCGCAACGGCGGGGACGACGGUGACGGCGGCGACGACAUCGAUGGCGGCGACGACAUCGAUGGCGGCGACGACAUCGAUGGCGGCGGUGGCGGGGCUACAGAGAGGGAAAGGACGACGGCGACAACAACUGCGACAGCCCGCUACCUGGCGACGGUGCGACGAGGGUGGCGACGGCAGUGGUACCCACGCGGACCUCCUCCGGCUUCUCUCUCUCUCUCUCUCUCUCUCUCUCUCUCUCUCUCUCUACAGCCAGAUCCGAGCCUCCACCGGCCAGAUCUGACCUCCUCGGACUCGCUCGCCAGCGGCCUCCCCCAAAGUCUCUCAGUGGGAGGUCAGCCGAGCUCGAGACCCGAUUUCUCUCUCGCUUACUCUUUGAUUCCUCCCCCGAAGUCUCUCAGUGGGAAAAUCUCGUAGCUCGCGAUGCCCUUUGAUGGAGGUUGUGCCCUCCUAUUUAUAGGCGUUGAUCUAAGAUGUUUAUUAUUAUUAUUAUUAUUAUUAUUAUUCUUAUUAUUAUUAUUAUUAUUAUAUAAAUAUUUAAUAUAUAACGUAUUGGAACGUGUCAAAAUUCUCUAUUUUUAAGAAAUGACGUGUCAAUGUGUUAUGUCGUGUCGUAUCGCAUGUUACGUGUCUGUAUCGGUGCUACAUAGAUUAAGGUCUUCCUCACGUCGUUUCUGAAACUCAUGAUUAGAUCAUGUUCCCACUGAGGUGAAGUAGAAGUAGAAGACAUAGUUCCUGUCUUGAUGAUACGUGGUGGAGAAACUAUGAUUGAGAGGCCGUACGUGUAUUUGGUUAAAAAGACAUUAAGAGGAAAGGCGUGGCUUCUUCUUCUUGUACGCGCAUGUCUCCUCGUCGGACAAUAAUUUACCAGGGAAAACAAAACAACGGUCGGUGGGAUGCGAUUCUCUCACCAAAAAUGUCAGUUUACUUAAUCAGAGAUUUAAGGGACAGAUUUUAUCGGUUCCCACUGGCAUUUAUGGAAGAAAAUGGAUUGAAUCGCAGGAUCGGAAUCUCUUUCUCUCCGAAGAUUCUACUUUCAACUUCGCAGUGUGCGGAACCUAGCAUAAAAUAUUUGCACGUAAAACGACAGGACUUUAACUAGAGCUACAAUAAGAUGUUGACACUUCACCGUUGACUUGCAAGCGCGCAUCAUCCGGAUCUGGAUGACAUUUCGACGCCUUUUGAUAUUUUAUUCUAGUGCACGAAUUUUAGAGUAGGAUUAAAUGCGGCUCACUGGGAUACUUUAUGGACUACAAUUAGUCAGGGAGCCAAUGGUCCAGGGAUAUAGUGCGAGAUGAAAAUUGUUAUUUUAAUGUUCUAUUAUAAUCAAACUGGCACGUGAGUGAAUGUUAAAUAUAGAGGCAAUUAAUAGUUACAGAAUUUGAAUACAAAAGGAAACAUUAGACUCUUUUGCCUCACCAAUCCAGGAGAGAAAGUAAUCCAGAGUAGUGACAUUUUCCUCCUGAAGUCACGGAAAAAUUUAUGUAGAUCUAAUUCGAUGGGAUUUGAUUUAUCUUAGGCAUUUGUUAGAUGAAACUUUUAUUUGAGGCCCGCGUGAGACCAAAUGGCUGGGGCCAGCUCUCCACGCAUUCGCCAAUAAGGAUCCGUCCUUGUAGGUGGAAAAUAGCUACACCAUGUUUGCACUCAUUUACAACCAACUUUUUCGUGCGCACUUCUUAGCAUGGGCUAAUCUAAGCAUAAAAACUGAGAUCAAAUAAACAAGACCAAAUGCCAGAUGUAGAUAAAGGGUGUUCAAGAACAUAACCGGAAUUAGCUAGGGCUUGAGGAUAUCAAAAAUUGAUGGGAUGCAACUCUUUUAUCAAAAUAAAUAAAUAAAUAAAUAAACUUAAUUAAAGACUUGUUCAUGAGUGGUUUUGGGAAAUCUGGAGUCUGACUUGGAUUCACUUGACAAAUUUUAUCAGUUCUCAUUGACUUACAAUUAUUAUUUUUUUUCCGUUUGGUCAGAUGAUAGAAUUAGUUAGGGAGCUAAUGGUCCUAGAACGGUGCGAGAUGCUCAAUUUGCUUUUUUAAUGUUCAAUUAAAACUAUACUAACAUUAAGCAGUAAACGUGAGUGUAUGGAAAUAUAGAUGCAAUAAAUGGUUAUGGAAUCUCAAAACAAAACAAACAUUACAUUAUCAUGCAUGUCUAACCCCAAAGAGAAAAUAACGCAAACAAGUGACAUUUUCUUCCCGAGAUCACAGUAAAAUUUGUCUAGAUCCAGAUUCUCGGACUUGAAUAUCUAUGGUUGAUUAGGUGACUCUUUUAUUAGGCCCACAUGAGAUCCAACAGCCGUGUCGAGCUCCCCAUGCAUUCACCAAUAAGGAUAUACAACCUUAUACAGAAUAUAGCUACACCAUAUAUGUGCUUAAUCACACUCAAGUUUUUCACAUGCAAUUCUUAGCAUAGCAUAGGCUACUCUAAGCAUAAAAUGCAAAGGUUAUGGAAUCUCAAAACAAAAGAAACAUUACAUUAUCAUGCACGUCUAACCCCAGUGAGAAUAACGCAAACAAGUCACAUUUUCUUCCCGAGAUCACAGCAAAAUUUGUCUAGAUCCAGAUUCAUCAGACUUGAAUAUCUAUGGUUUAUUAGGUGACUCUUUUAUUAGGCCCACAUGAGAUCCAACAGCCGUGUCGAGCUCCCCAUGCAUUCACCACUAAGGAUAUACAACCUUACAUAGAAUAUAGCUACACCAUAUAUAUGCUUAAUCACACUCAAGUUUUUCACAUGCAAUUCUUAGCAUAGCAUAGGCUACUCUAAGCAUAAAAUGCAAUAUUAAAAAAAAAAAAAAAACACCAAAUAACAUAUGUUGAUAAGGGGUGUUCAAGAACAGAAAUCGAAUUAGCUAGGGCAUGAGGAUAUCGCAAACAAAACCGAGGAGUACUCAACAUACACCGGCAUGUUCUAAGAAUGAUGGACGAUGUACCCUUGAGCAAACGCAUGACAUGUAAAAGCUCAGGGACACAUGGCCAGCUCUCCAUAAUAGUGUCUUACAUGCACACUGAGCGAAGUGAGGAGGCUUCGAGACCUUCCAUGAAAUCCGACAAUAUUUCAACCGGUUGAAGGAAAUGAAGAGUACUUCCCUUUCUCGAUCCCGAAUGGUCCUUCAGCUCUUUUGUUGCUCUGAGAUGUGAGGGAGCAAAUCACAACAUGUCCAGAAUCAUCUCUUAUGUAACCAGAAUACGAAGUCAAAUUCUCUCCAGGGUAAUCGAGCUUAAUCUGCAAAAAUUGAAAGGGAGAUAUUUCAAUGAGAAGCUCCUCACUGUAGAGUAGUAAAAUAUCCAGAAACAGACCCCCACUGAUUAACCAAGUUAGAAUAACAAGACACAAGAUCCCAGUAGAACAUUUCAGUGGGUCCAAUUUUGUGUAUGAGUUUUUAACAUCGAGAUAACUUUUCAGCGUUGGUCGUUGUAAAAGUUAAUGCCCUCCAGUUCCAGCCGUUUGAAAAGGUGCGAUAUGAAGGUCUUCCUCGCGUCAUCGUUUCUGAACUCACGGAUAGAUCAUGUUCCCACUGAGGUGAAGUAGAAGUAGAAGACAUAGUUCCUGUCUUGAUGAUACGUGGUGGAGAAACUAUGAUUGAGAGGCCGUACGUGUAUUUGGUUAAAAAGACAUUAAGAGGAAAGGCGUGGCUUCUUCUUCUUGUACGCGCAUGUCUCCUCGUCGGACAAUAAUUUACCAGGGAAAAAAAACAACGGUCGGUGGGAUGCGAUUCUCUCACCAAAAAUGUCAGUUUAGUUAAUCAGAGAUUUAAGGGACAGAUUUUAUCGGUUCCCACUGGCAUUUAUGGAAGAAAAUGGAUUGAAUCGCCGGAUCGGAAUCUCUUUCUCUCCGAAGUAGACUUUCUACUUCGUAGCGUGCGGAACCUAGCAUAAAAUAUUUGCACGUAAAACGACAGCACUUUAACUAGAGCUGCAAUACGAUAUUGACACUCCACCGUUGACUUGCAAGAGCGCAUCAUCCGGAUCUGGUGGACAUUUCGACGCCUUUUGAUAUUUCUUUCUAGUGUACGAAUUUCAGAAUAGGAUUAAAUGCGGCUCACUGGGAUUCUUUAUGGACUACAAUUAGUCAAGGAGCCAAUGGUCCAGGGAUAUAGUGCGAGAUGAAAAUUGUUAUUUUAAUGUUCUAUUAUAAUCAGAUUGGCACGUGAGUGAAUGUUAAAUAUAGAGGUAAUUAGGGUGCGUUUGGUUCAGUAUUUUGAAAACCCAUUGGAAAAAUGCAAAGCAGUUUAGCUUAAAGGAUUUUAGGUAAAUGCAAAGGCCGUUUGGUAAACUAUGCUUUGAGAAACAACUUUGAGAGAAAUGCCGUUUGGUAAAAAACAUAUUUGAAAAGCUCUUUGGUGAUUAAUAUUAAUUUUUUAAUUUUAUUUGUUUAAAAUUGAAAAGAACAAUGUAUGCUUCUUUUUAAAUAUAAAUUUGACAAUAAUACCAAAAAAAAUUGAAUACAUAUAUAAUUUUUUUUUAAAAAGCCCAAACCCUUCAUCGGAAUUUUUAAAUUUUUAUUUGCUUAAAAUUGAAAAAAAAAAAUGAUGUAUGCAACAUUUUAAAUAUAAAUUUGAAACUAAUGCUAAAAAAUCAAAUAUAUAUAUAUAUAUAUAUAUUUUAAAAAGACCAAACCCUUCAUCAAAUUUUUUAAAUUUUUAAUUGUUUAAAAUUGAAAAAAAUAAUGUAUGUGAUUUUUUAAAUAUAAAUUUGAAAAUAAUGCUAAGAAAUCAAAUAAAUAUAUAUAAUUUUUUUAAAAAAAAAAGACCAAACCCUUCGUCGGAAUUUUUUAAUUUUUAUUUGUUAAAAUUGAAAAAAAAUAAUGUAUGCAACUUUUUAAAUAUAAAUUUUGACAAAAUACUAAAAAAAAUCAAAUAUAUAAAUAUUUUUUUAAAAAGACCAAAAUAUAUUUAAUUUUUUGAGCAUUUAUAUAUAUUUGAUUUUUUAGCAUUAUUUUGGCAUUUAAAAAAAUAAUGAUGAGGGCAAAAUAAGAAAUUUGAAGAAUGAGUGAGGAUAGUUUUGGAAAAAAAAACUAAGUUUUAGCAUUUGGCUAAAUGUUGAAAACUCAAAACUAAUCCCUACUAGCAUUGGGCUUUCAACAUUUCCAAUGCUGACUUUCACUUGAAAGCUGCUUCAAAAUUGUUGCCAAAUAGUCCAGCAUUUUUCCAAUGAGCUUUGGAAGCUGAAAGCGCACUGGGAAUGCUGAACUAAACGCAUCCUUAAUAGUUACAACAUUUGUACACACAAGGAAACAUUAGAUUCUUAUGCUUGUCCAAUCCAGGAGAGAAAAUUAUCCAAAGUAGUCACAUUUUCCUCCUGAAGUCACGGAAAAAUUUAUCUAGAUCUGAUUCGAUGGGGUUUGAUUUAUCUUAGGCAUUUGAUAGAUGAAACUUUUAUUUGGGGUCCACGUGAGACCCAAUGUUUAGGGCCAGCUCCCCACGCAUUUGCCAAUAAGGAUCCGUCCUUGAAGGUGGAAAAUAGCUACACCAUAUUUGCACUCAUUUACAACCAACUUUUUCGUGCACACUUCUUAGCAUAGGCUAAUCUAAGCAUAAAAACUGAGAUCAAAUAAAAAAGACCAAGUGCCAGAGGUAGAUAAAGGGUGUUCAAGAACAUAAGUGGAAUUAGCUAGGGCUUAGAGGAUAUCAGAAGCCAAACCGAGGGUGCUCUACAUGUGACAACUACUUCCCCAGAAUUAUGAGGCAAUGUGGCAAAGAAGGUCAAGUGAUGUGGCAAUGACCAGUUACAUAUACCAGUAUGUUCUAAGAACGAUAAAAGACGUACACUUGGAAGCACGUGCACCUGCAAAGUAUGCACGACAUUCAAAGACGGGGACACGCAUGGUUGGCUCUCAAUAAUAGUGUCCUAUAUGCGCACAACCUUCCAUGAAAUCCAACGAAAUUUCCACCAGUUGAAGGAAAUAAAAAGCACUCACCUUUCUCCAUGCUGAAUGGUCCACAAGUUCUUUGGUUGCUCUAAAAUGUGAGGCUGCGAAAAACAACGAUAAAAUUUUUCUCUUAUAUAACCAGAAUAUGUAGUCAAAUACUGUGGGGUAAUCAAAUUUAAUCAGUAAAAUUGAAAGGGAGACAUUUUAAUCACAAGCACUUCACCGUGGAGUUGGAAAAAUCUCUUAACUGAGUCAGACUAAUAAGGCACAAGACUACAACAGAACAGUUCAGUGCAUGUUGGAGAUAUGGGAGGAUCAAUCAUGGAUUAUAGUUGAUCCAAGUAUCAUUUUAAAAUUAGAUUUGAUUUUGUAUAUUAAUCUUGAUUCUGUCUUUGGCGGUACAUCCUUUUGUAUUAUAAAUAGCAGAACAUACAGAAUUCAUUCAAUUCAGAAUACAAUAAAUAGUACUUUCCCAAAUCUGUUUCUUCUCUUCCAUUUUGUGACAUGGUAUCAAAGCCUUGUUCAUAACCUAGCUUUUGCAACCUUCACCAAUUGCCCCCGGAGCUCAAUCUUCUAUCCUUAUUAUUGUAGGAAAACUAUAACCUGCAACACAAAAUUAACACUUCAGUGUGGGAAUUAAUGUGAGAGCAAAUCAACACAAAACCAAAUUAUCUUCUUACCUAUACCUCCUUACCGAUACCAUGGAAGAGAAUCAAGCCCCAGAAAUUACUGAAGAGAUGUCCCAACACCCAUCAUGUUCUAUUGAAGAUGUGGUAAAUCAAAGUUCUAUGGCCCAGACACAAUCCAUCUUGUGGAUCCCUAUUUAGGUCCAGCCAAACUAGGAUAGGGCAUUCUGAGCCCGUCCAUCUAGUGGCUACCUAUCCAAGGCCCAUCAAAUCCAUGGCUAUAUGGGAUGGCCCAAAUGAACCCAUGAUGAGAAAAAUCAAUCCCAAGAGAGCUUGCUAGCCACUAAUGGGGCAAGCCCAACCCUAAGACCCAAAUUAGUGCAUCCAGGUCAAUCAUGCAAAUCGGGCAUCAAGUUUGAGAACUAAUCCCUAACCAAUUUAAUUCCCACUGGAGGAAGUCGACUGGAGCCCGGCAAUCCCUUGUAUACUUUGACAGCCAAUGGAUUGGAGCUCCGCCUCAUCAACCAACAACUCUUCGGUCCAGAGAACUACUCAAUGUGGUCUCAAGAGCUUCGGUGAGCCUUGAUGAAAAAAGCCAAUGAUGGUUUCUUUGAUAGAACUGUUCACAUUCCAACCAACGAUCGGUUGGCUCGACAUUGGAGGAAGUGUAAUUAGUUAGUCCGAACAUGGAUCAAAAACUGUGUCGCCCCAAAGGUUGUGGCUAGACUCCCUUCAAUGGCGGAUUCAAAAAUUAUGGGGACAACAUUAAACAAAUGUAUGGUAAGCUCGAUCCGACAAAUAUUUUGUGCACUAACCCAGGCUUUAUCUGAACUAAAACAGGGAAAUAUGUUGAUCAUGGCUUGUUUCAAUAAACUAUUGGCCCUCUAGAAUGAACUUGAAGUAGUGGAAGAGAAGCUUGAGGGACUCAAGCAAACAUUCAACAGUAUCGCAAGAUGAAGGAAUGAGAGAAGGUGAUCCAAUUUCUAAUGAUUCUAAAUAACUCGUAUUUACUUUUUAGAACCCAUUGGUGAUGCAACCCAUGCUCUCGCUUGUUCGGAUCUAUCAAUUGGCUAUAGCGUAUGGCAUCAACAGAAAACAUCAAGACUGGAGAAAGCAUCCUCCUUGCCACUCAAACGAAACACUAGCAGAGAAGAAUAAGCAGUCGAGGAAGUGAAGGAUGGAAGAAAGCUGUGCUACAAUUUCUAAAUAGGAGAUGAAGGCAAGAACAAAUGGCCAGGAAUCAAGAGGGAGAUUGGACUACCUUGGUUUCACCCAUCCAAUGAAAUUCUGACGACUCACAUUCCAUCUAUUCCCCUGAUGGAUUCAAUGGCCCGUAUGAAGCCACCAAAUCCAAUGGCUAUUCAUUUGUCACGUCACUACAAAAAGGGAAUUCAUACAAAGGAAAAGGUAAAAUGUAUUGUGAUUGUUGCAAACAUCCAAAUCAUACAGUGGAUACCUACUGGAAAUUGCAUGGAAAGCUAGGUGACAAAGGAAGAAGGGGGAGAGAAUUUUCUGCUAAUCAAGUCGAUGGGUUUAAUGAUCAACCAAUCACCCAUGAUCAAUAUCAGCAACUCAUGAAUGCCUUAAAGCAACUGGAUAUCUUAGACAAGAAGGGAAGCUUUUUAGGUAUAUCCUAAUGCUUCAAUUUCAUUUUUGAUGAUGUAUGGAUAAUUAAGUCAAAUGCUAGUGACCGCAUUAUCUGUGAUGAAAGUCUCUUUUCCCAUGCUGAAGAAAACCUUGGCUUCAUAUUAUUUGUGCGUCUCCCAAAUGGAAAUAUCACCUAUGUCACAAAAAUAGGGACAGUGAAUUUUACUCCUUCCAUUACCCUCCAAAACGUGCUUUAUGUGCUUCAAUCCAAAUGUAAUCUCAUGUUUGUGUCUAAGGCUUGUGAGGACAAUUCCUAUCCCAUUAAUGGGCUUGGAUAGACUUUCUAACGGGUUACAUUUUUUGACCAGCUUUCCAAAAAUUUUUUACUAUUGUAUUUCCACAAAUAAAAAUAUUGUAUAAUGCUACUACCAAUUAUAAAAUUAUUCUUUCCCAUUAGUGUUUGGGUCUUGAUGCCUCUAUUCCACAUUCUCAGUGCCAUAUUUUUUCUUUGAUAAAUCAAACCCUUGCACCAUUUUCUAUAAGCAAAACUCUUACUUCAAAUAUUUUCUCUUUGAUAUAUAUAUAUAUAGACAUUUUGGGGUCUUAUCACAUUCCACAUAGUGAUGGCUCCCGAUAUUUUUUUAUAGACAAUCAUUCUUGUGCUAAUUUCUUCACCUUGUCAAAAAAUAAAUUUGGUAAAUCUGUUCAACAUAUUCGAACAGAUAAUGAAAAAUAAUUAUUUAGUGGUGAAUGCAAACUUCUCCUCUCUUCUCAUGGAAUUCUGCAUGAAAGUAUGUGCACCUAUACACCACAACAAAAUGGAAUUGUUGAACGUAAACACCAUCAUCUUCUAGAAGUUGCAUGUACUCUUAAGUUUCAAGCAUCCAUUCUUGAGAUUUUCCUGGGAGAUUAUGUGGUCACAACAACUUACCUGAUCAAUCGCAUGCCGACUCGAGUUUUGGACAAAAGAAUUCCUUUUGAGAUACUAUUCAAAAAGAAGCCUAAGAUUGAUUAUCUGAAAGUUUUUGGUUGCCUAUGCUACAUUACUACUUUGGGCCCUUAAGAGAAAUUAAGUCCCAGAGUUCGACGAUGUGUUUUCAUGGGUACCCAAAACUCUAGAAGGAUUAUCGUGUUUUUGAGCCAUCAAUAGGUAAUUUCUUUAAAAGCAGAGACAUUGUUUUCCAUGAAGAUAUAUUUCCAUUUUAGGAUGAAUUAUCUUCAAACGAGCAAUCUAACUUGAGACCCAGUUUUGGUAAAUUCCUUUCCGAAGAAGAUUUAUCUCAUGAUCCUUCUACAAUUAUGACACCUUCAGAUGUUCUGGCCCUUUCACCAAUAGUAGAAUAGACACCGGGUUCUUCUACAAUCUCAGAGUAUGUGGCCGAAGAGCAUACAUCACCGAUUGUAGAGAGCUCCUCCACUACAUCUUCAGGGACAUCUUCCGCAAAACUACCAUCAAGGACAUCUUCUUCAACAUCCUCUCAAAUAUCACAGCCUUCUUCCACAUUUGAGUAUAUUCCCCUUGGAUGAUCAGGAUGAGCCAUUCGACUACCUACCUGGACAAAAGACUACAUUUGUGGCACCAUCAAUUCAUCAAGUACUUUAUACCCAAUAUCUUCUUAUGUUUCACUUAGUUGACCAUCCAAGGAUCAUAUGUGCUACACUACUAUAUUUUUGAAGAAAAAGAGCCUUCUAGUUAUAAUAAGGCAGUUCGCGAUCCUUGAUGGCAGAAGGCCGUGGAAGCAAAGUUGCAUGCACUGAUUGAUAAUCUGACUUGGGAUAUAGUACCUUUACCCUCUCAUCAUAAACCCACUGGUUGUAAAUAGGUCUAUAAAAUCAAGUACAAGGCUUAUAGAACUGUUGAAAGAUACAAGGCUCAUUUAAUGGCUAAAGUAUUCACAAAAUGUGAAGCAUUUGAUUACCAUGAAACAUUCUCUCUAGUCGCAAAAGAGGUCAUCGUCCUCUCCUUUGUAUCUAUUGUUGCAUUUCGGGAUUGAGAAUUACAUCAAAUGAAUGUCUGCAAUGCCUUUCUUCAUGGUGAUUUGGAUGGGGAAAUAUAUAUGGACCUUCCACAGGGUUUACGGCGAUCGGGGGAGAAUAGAGUUAUUGUCUCCGUAAAUCCCUUUAUGGUCUCAAGCAAGCUUCUCGUCGAUGGUAUGUCAAGUUCACUACAACACUUAUAGCUAUUGGCUUCAAGCAGUCCAAACAUGGUUAUGCCCUCUUCUCAUGGACUAAAGGUACAUUAUCAAUUUACCUAAUGAUAUAUAUUGAUGGUAUACUAUUUAUGAGAAACGAUGAAUUGGCCAUCCAAAGUUUCCAAGAGUACUUAUACUCUACUUUUCAUAUGAAAGAUUGGGGGCCUCCCGAGUAUUUUAUUGGCAUUAAGAUUUCUCAUUCAAAACUAGGAAUUUCCAUCAAUCAAUGGAAAUUCAUUCUGGAAAUCAUAUCAUAGGUAGGAUUAUCUAGAUGCAAGUCAGCCGGUAUCUCUAUUAAGCAAAAUAUUAAGUUAACUACAGCUGAAUAUGAUGCUAGAUCCUUUGUUGAAAUCGAUGACCCAUUGCUUGAAGAUCCAUCCAGUUAUCAAAGGCUCAUAAGGAAACUCAUAUCUCACUAUGACAAGACCUGACAUAUGUUAUGCAAUGCAGACAUUCAGCCAAUUCAUGCAAAAACCCAAGGUGCCUCACAUGAAUGCAACCUUAAAGAUUGUGAAAUAUUUGAAAAAAUGUCCAAGGCUUAGGAUACUUCUUUCUCUAAAUUGCAACUUGGAUGUGACAACUUAUUGUAAUACAGACUAUACCACAUGCCCCAUGAGUUAAAGAUCGAUCACUGGUUUUUGUUUUAAGUUUGGAAAGUCCUAGCUUUCAUGGAAAAUGAAGAAACAAUCAACCAUAUCAUUGUCAUCAGCUGAGGAAGAGUAUAGUGCUAUGGUCAAGAUUGUUUAUGAAAUAGUUUGGCUACGAUGCCUACUUUUGGAUCUUGGUGUACAAGUUAAAGGGCCAACAAAUCUAUUUUGCAAUAAUGAUGCGGCACUCAAACUUGCAGUAAAUCUCAUUGUUUAUGAGAGAAUGAAACAUAUGGAAGUGGAUUGUCACUUUACCCAAGAUAAGAUCCAAGAAAGAGUUAUCAAGACAAGUGGGAUUAGAAUCAUGGAAUAACCUACUGACAUCUUUACCAAGUCGCUAUGUCAAAGAUGGCAUGCAUAUCUCCUGACAAGCUAGGUGUCUUGGAUAUAUAUUAGCCACCAGCUUAAGGGGUAAUGAUGGAGAUAUACAAGGAUCAAUCAUAGAUUAUAAUUGAUCCAAGAAUCAUUUUAGAAUUAGAUUUGAUUUUGUAUAUCAGUCUUGAUUUUUUCUUUAGUGGUUCAUCCUUUUGUAUUAUGAAUAGCAUAACAUACUAGUAUAAAAUUCAUUAAAUUCAGAACACAAUAUAUAGUAUUUUCCCAAAUCUCUCUUCUAUUCCAUUUUGUGACAGUGCAUUAAGCAAUCCAAUCUUGUGCAUGGAUUUUGAACAUUGAGACAACCUUGUUGUACAAAUGAACUCUAAGUUGCCACAUUACCAGAUAGUUUGAUAUUAAACCAAAUGUUGUCAAUUAAUGUUUGCUAAAAAUUAAAAAUGAUGCCAUAGCAUAGAAGACUGGGAUGGCAAAACUCAAAUCAAAAGCAAUUAUAAUGCAUCAUCAAAAAAGGAAACAAAAUCCUUAUUUAGUAUUUUCUAGAAACCAAAAUCUUUCUCAUCAAAUUUGUCAAUUUUGACAUUUCAUUAUGCUAUCCCAUUAAUUCACUUAUUCUCAAUCAAGCUUGACUUUGAUAUUAAUUGUUGUAGGAAAAAAUGCACAUAUAGAAUAAGAAAAUAAAUUAGACGUUAGAUUUAUGUGGUUCAAUUGGUGUAACUUACACCCAUAAGGAAAGCAACAAAGAGUAAGGAAAAUCAAGUAAGUUGCAGCAUGUAUGCUAUCCCAUAGUAGGCAAACCUCAUGUUUAAACCCUUCAAGGACUGUCUUUUAGCUGUAAACUACUUAGAGAUUUAGUUCAAAGUAUAGAGACGCUUGAGGAUGCUAGGAUGUUAACAUAUCUAACCAGCUAAGCUACAUUUUUUAGUGGAUCUUAUCAAGUUGGAGAAGAUGAGCUGUUUAAAGAAAUAUGAUAGAAUUUUCAUAAACACACGCCUUAAUUCAGGGGACUCUGCCCAAAACAUUACAUCCUCUUACCUUUUAUAGGCUCUAGGAGGUUGCAUAAAACAAAGACUAUACUCACUAGUCUUGAUAAAAUCACGUGAUAUUUUGGAAAUGACAAUUACUCAAGUCACUCAAAUACUCUUAAUGCUUUUCAGCCCCUAAUUACAUUUAAUAACUUAGAAGUAUUUAGCCCACACAAUUUCUCAUACCACAAGAUCUAUGGGCUUGACCCUUUGAAUACUUUAGAAUGUUAUUCACAAAUAAGUCUCAUGUUGGAUGUUCUUCCCAAAAUGACUCACUUUUUAUAUGGUAAAAAAUUUGUAUCCAAAAUAGAAAAGCUUUUCCCAAGAAACUUACUCAAGCUAGGAACCCCAUUCCAAUUAGGAAACCUAUUUAAAUUAGAAAAAAAUCUUUUUUGAGUUCAAACUCAAGAUAUAUUGUAAUAUUAAAGGUACGUCUAUUUCAUGGAAAAUGAAUGAUUCAGAAAAUAUUUUUUGGAAAAUAAUCACUUAUAUCACUUAUAAAAAUAAAUGAGUGGAAAAAUAUUUUAUCACCCACAAAAAUAAUUAGGUAUAGGUUAUUAUCGAUGAUGAAAACAUUUAUCAUUAACUAAUUUUUUCUAAAUGAUAUAAACAAUCAUUGUUUGAAAAAUAUUUUCCAAGUCAUUCAUUUCAUACAAAACGAACAAACCCUAAAUGUACCAAAAAGAGCAUGCAUGUUCAAAAUAUACACGACAUGCACAAACGCAAGGACCCAUGGUCGGCUCUCAAUAAUAGUGUCCUAUAUGUGUCCCAAGCAAAUCGGGAUUGGUUUUGGACCUUUGAUGAAAUCCGUCAAUCUUCCCAUCUCUGAAACUCACAAAUACAUCUAGUUUCCAUUGAUGAGAAAAAAAAAAAAAACAUGGUUUUUGUCUUGUUGAUAUGUGGUGUACACACUUUCAUUGAAAGGCCGUAUGUGUAUUUGGUUAAAAAGACAUUGAGAGGAAAGCCAGGCCUCUUCUUCUCGAACGUGCGUCUCUUUCUCGUACAGUAAUUUAAAAGGGAAAAAGAAAUGAUUGGUGGAAUGCAAUUCUUUCACGAAAUAUGUCAGUUAAUCAGAGACUUCUCCAUGAUUGGUUUUACUUUUUGGGGAUCUGGAUUGCGCAACUUGGAAUUAUUUGAGAAAAUUUGUCAGUUCCCACUGGCAUUUGUUAAAAAAUGGAUUGAAUGGCAGAAGCAGAACGUCUUUCUCUCCGAAGAUUCUGCGGUCGACCUCGUAGCUNNNNNNNNNNNNNNNNNNNNNNNNNNNNNNNNNNNNNNNNNNNNNNNNNNNNNNNNNNNNNNNNNNNNNNNNNNNNNNNNNNNNNNNNNNNNNNNNNNNNNNNNNNNNNNNNNNNNNNNNNNNNNNNNNNNNNNNNNNNNNNNNNNNNNNNNNNNNNNNNNNNNNNNNNNNNNNNNNNNNNNNNNNNNNNNNNNNNNNNNNNNNNNNNNNNNNNNNNNNNNNNNNNNNNNNNNNNNNNNNNNNNNNNNNNNNNNNNNNNNNNNNNNNNNNNNNNNNNNNNNNNNNNNNNNNNNNNNNNNNNNNNNNNNNNNNNNNNNNNNNNNNNNNNNNNNNNNNNNNNNNNNNNNNNNNNNNNNNNNNNNNNNNNNNNNNNNNNNNNNNNNNNNNNNNNNNNNNNNNNNNNNNNNNNNNNNNNNNNNNNNNNNNNNNNNNNNNNNNNNNNNNNNNNNNNNNNNNNNNNNNNNNNNNNNNNNNNNNNNNNNNNNNNNNNNNNNNNNNNNNNNNNNNNNNNNNNNNNNNNNNNNNNNNNNNNNNNNNNNNNNNNNNNNNNNNNNNNNNNNNNNNNNNNNNNNNNNNNNNNNNNNNNNNNNNNNNNNNNNNNNNNNNNNNNNNNNNNNNNNNNNNNNNNNNNNNNNNNNNNNNNNNNNNNNNNNNNNNNNNNNNNNNNNNNNNNNNNNNNNNNNNNNNNNNNNNNNNNNNNNNNNNNNNNNNNNNNNNNNNNNNNNNNNNNNNNNNNNNNNNNNNNNNNNNNNNNNNNNNNNNNNNNNNNNNNNNNNNNNNNNNNNNNNNNNNNNNNNNNNNNNNNNNNNNNNNNNNNNNNNNNNNNNNNNNNNNNNNNNNNNNNNNNNNNNNNNNNNNNNNNNNNNNNNNNNNNNNNNNNNNNNNNNNNNNNNNNNNNNNNNNNNNNNNNNNNNNNNNNNNNNNNNNNNNNNNNNNNNNNNNNNNNNNNNNNNNNNNNNNNNNNNNNNNNNNNNNNNNNNNNNNNNNNNNNNNNNNNNNNNNNNNNNNNNNNNNNNNNNNNNNNNNNNNNNNNNNNNNNNNNNNNNNNNNNNNNNNNNNNNNNNNNNNNNNNNNNNNNNNNNNNNNNNNNNNNNNNNNNNNNNNNNNNNNNNNNNNNNNNNNNNNNNNNNNNNNNNNNNNNNNNNNNNNNNNNNNNNNNNNNNNNNNNNNNNNNNNNNNNNNNNNNNNNNNNNNNNNNNNNNNNNNNNNNNNNNNNNNNNNNNNNNNNNNNNNNNNNNNNNNNNNNNNNNNNNNNNNNNNNNNNNNNNNNNNNNNNNNNNNNNNNNNNNNNNNNNNNNNNNNNNNNNNNNNNNNNNNNNNNNNNNNNNNNNNNNNNNNNNNNNNNNNNNNNNNNNNNNNNNNNNNNNNNNNNNNNNNNNNNNNNNNNNNNNNNNNNNNNNNNNNNNNNNNNNNNNNNNNNNNNNNNNNNNNNNNNNNNNNNNNNNNNNNNNNNNNNNNNNNNNNNNNNNNNNNNNNNNNNNNNNNNNNNNNNNNNNNNNNNNNNNNNNNNNNNNNNNNNNNNNNNNNNNNNNNNNNNNNNNNNNNNNNNNNNNNNNNNNNNNNNNNNNNNNNNNNNNNNNNNNNNNNNNNNNNNNNNNNNNNNNNNNNNNNNNNNNNNNNNNNNNNNNNNNNNNNNNNNNNNNNNNNNNNNNNNNNNNNNNNNNNNNNNNNNNNNNNNNNNNNNNNNNNNNNNNNNNNNNNNNNNNNNNNNNNNNNNNNNNNNNNNNNNNNNNNNNNNUCUCUUUAGACACGAUCUUCUACUUUUUAAAGCCCAUACCAACAAAUCCGUGGGUCUCUUAAUAGGCGUAGCUCAUGACGGGAUCUUAAAGCGGCAAAGCGCUAUGAUGCAAAUUUUCAUCCCUUUCCCAUUCAGAAAUCUCUGGGGCGAAUAUCCUCGAGGUGUAAACUCAUCUCGUCCCCCCCCCCCCCCCCCCCCCAAAAAAAAAAAAAAAAAAAAUAAAACUAGCGGCAUGCAGAACCUAAAGUAAAAUAUAUGCACGUAAAUUGACAGCACUCAAACUGGAGCUACAAAACGAUGUUGACGUUCACCAGUGACUUCCAAAAAUGCAUCAUCCGAGUUUGGUGGACAUUUCCAUGACUUUUAAUGUCUUUCUAAUUGUUCUUUUUCGGGCGAAUUUGUUAGUGGAAUUGAAUGCGGGUCAUCGGAUUCUUCAAGACUAUAAUUAAUUGGGGAGCUAAUGGUCUAGGGACUCCAUGUGAGAUGCUCAAAUUGUUUGUGAAUAUUCCAUUACAACCAUGAUCUAAGUUCCAGCUAAUCUCAAGCUAGAUGGUCGUGGUCAGUGAAUCAAAUUUUAAGGUUAUGUUUUGUCAUUCGGACUUUUAAACGGAAUAUAACUGGACAUGAUAGGAUAUAAAAUCCAUGAAUUUUGCUAUAUCUUAUUUAUUGUUUGAUUUUUAUAGUAAUAAAGUUGGAUAUAUUUACAUUAUACUUUAAUUAUGAAUGCAAAGACUCCAAGUAUUGAACUUACAUGGUAUUUCAAAAACAUCCCUUCCACCUUAUUUUUCUCGCUUGACUGGUCUUAAGGCAAUCUAGUUGAAUUCUUGCACAUGUUUAACGGAACUCCCUUCAAGUUUGGAGGCAACAAUACAUCUAGAGGUGCUAGACAUUUGACGCUCCAAAAUCGUCUCUAUAUCUAUUCAAAUUGGAUGUUAUUAACGCAAAUGAAUUGUUUAUGCAUGUCUUUGCGAAAUUUUGACAUUGGAAACCCAAUCUCCAAGGUGAUUCCAAGCAUUUCAUUAUUGAAGAACUCUAGAUUGAAAAACUUUGAGGUCUAAUUAGGUCGCGAGGAUCAUCAUGAAGGAGGUUUCUACCUUGAGGAUGUUGAGUUUGCUGAUAUUUUCCUUUCCUAAGAUGGAGUAUCUUGAAAUCUUAGAGCUAGACAAGCCAUAUGUGGAAUGACCAAUUAAUAUUCAAGAUAACCACGAAUAUGUACUUUAAUCAAACUGCAAAUACUAAUUGAAAAUCGGAAUGUGAAGCAUUCAUCCUUCUAUAGACACCUUGAUCUAACGAAGAUAUCAAGGCACUCUACCCUAAAAUAGCAAAAUGUUCCUCCACGACGAUCCUCGCAACGUGAUCAGACCUAUUUGGGUCAACAUUAAUGAUGAAUUCUUCUAAUAGUAAAUGGCUUUAAAUCACCUUGGAGAUUUGGCUUUCAAUACCAACUCGAAAUGACAUGCGUAAAAAUCUCGAUAGCGUUAAAUAUUCAACUUGAAUAGGUAAAGAGAUGCUUUUGGUGAGUCAAAUGUCUAGCACCUCUAGUUGCACCAAUGCCUCGAGGCUUAAAAGGGAGUUCUGUUAAUCAUAUGCAAGAAUUCAAGUAAAGCACCCUAGAUUACUCAAGCAAGAAAAAGAAAAUAGAAGAGAUGUGAUUGCGAUACCUUGUAAGUCCAAGACUUGAAUUUUUUGGAUAGACAAGGAAAAGAUAUAUGAAAUGGUCAUCAAAUUAUAUUUUCUUUGCAGGAGUAGUCGAAAGAGUUCUGCAAUUUGGUGUUGCCAGCAGAUCGCACAAAUCAUUACGCACCAAAGAAAUUCAACUUGCAGAUGCGUAUGCUUCUUCCUUUGGAGCUUCCUCUGGCCCCUCACACGCUUUUGCCAAGAACUUAUAAUCUAAGCCUCGUGAUGAAAUUUUAAGGACCAUAUUACAAAGCGCUUUGCUCAUUUGGACAUGUUUUUUCAUCAUACUUUUUUCUAACAAAGUUAUAUUAAUAAGAUCAUGCAAUAUAUUGUGUGUUUUUUUAUUUAUUAUUAUCACGUACACUCCAAACUCAUUAGAAAUCUCUCUCCCUCCAAUGUUCUAUCAAAUAAUCCUCAAAUUUGUCACAGCUUUUAGGAAACAAUGCUCCAUACAGAUAGCACACCAUCUUCCCCAAUUAAAUCCUAAUAACAAAAUUUCAAAAAUUCGAGCAAUUCAUCCAUGUUAAUGAUAUUGAUAUAGGCCAUCUCCAAAAGCUCCUCAAUUCACCUCUCCAGAGUGUGAAUAAUGUCCUUCUUUCUAAAAGUACUCAACAUGUAUCAAUUAACAAUGGUAAAAUAGCGCACACUACAACCACUAGUUGUACUACUAGUAUAAUGUUUGAAGUUUUCAUACUUGGACCGACUUUUUUGUCAAACAUUUUAUAUGCAUUAGUAACAGAUAAAUGUUUCAUAUUGACAAGCUUAUUGCCAUCCACGUCAUAACACAAAUCACGAAAUCUACUAGUAAGUGCCAGUUUGUUGUCCUUGUCAUUGUUAGGAAUACUAUCUCAUGUAAAGAUAAAAAAAUCCCAAACUUAAUUAAGGACAAGUAAACCUCAACCCUCCCUAUUAAUUUGAUAUAAAUCGGGCAAUUUCAAUGGCACUUUUGGGAAUUACUGAUUCCCUAAAACGGAUUCAACACUAAAUCGAACUCCUAAAAUAAAUGCGGAAGACGAGCCCAAGAACAAACAUAUAUCACCGAUCAAAGACACACCACAUAAUCGAGCGUACCUUAUUGUCCACAGAUUAAACACCAAUGUUGAAGAUCGAGGAAAAAUCUAAUCUUGGUCUACCGAGGAGCGUAUUGUUGCUGUAAGGGGGAAAAACGUCGUUUUUGGGAGCAUAGCAUCUUACGCUUCUUGAAGAGAGAGAGACUGAAACAACGUAUGUACCCCCAAAGGGUACAUUCCCUUUUUCUUUUUCUCUCUUACGUCUUCUCCAAAAGACAUAUUUCUUCAACGUAAAACGUUCCUCCAAAAGACAUAACCCCUCGUAUCUAAACAACGUAGCCUUUUACAUCGCAACCGUUCCUCUAUGGGCCCUUAUCUUGUGGGCCGGGCUUUUAGGCCCAACAUGGGCGGACGAGCCCACUUAGGCCCAUCAAGUCAUAGACUAAACCCAUUAGGCACUAACCCCCACCCUUCACUUAUAGCUUUAAAGGCUGUGUGAUUGUUUCCAAGCCUUUAACAACGGUAUCUAAAUGACAUUAUUAAACAUUUUCCUAAACUAUUCAUCAAAUUUUGCAAUAUUGUAGCUUUUCCAGGUCCCCACCAUCCUCCAGAGUCCGAUGCUUUUGACAUUUUCUCUCUCUAAAAACCCUAUAUCUCAUCGAUGGCCCCAUGUAAUGAGUGCUUAUCCUCGGUCCUAGGGACAUCUAUGACUCUCACGGGCUGUGGGGGUCUUUCAGCUACCACCCAUUGUUGAGCUUUCCUUUUUUAAGCGGUGCUUGUAAUUUCUCACGCUUCUUGGCCAUAUGAUUUUCAAAAUCGCACGUGACAAGAACCAAGAAAUCUCCAACCACGCGUAAUCUCUUUUUUGUACUUGCUUUCCAAUUUGAGUGCUUCUUGUUCAGACAUCUUUUUAAUGAAGGUAUCUUCCGAGGAAAAGCACUUUCGCUCUGCUCUCUGGGCCUAAGGACAGUGACCGACUAACCUUGACCUUGCAAAUCUGAACUUCGUUACUUGGUAUCCAUUCGCUAUUAAAAAAAUUAGUCCAAUUUUAUUUAUUUUUUGGUCGUAAAUGAAACCCUAAGGCUAAACGUGAACAGAAGCAUUUCGAAAACAUGAUUUUUACACCAGAAGCCGAAUUUCACUUUUUUACCUUUCCUUUUUUUAUCAUUUUUUGUCAUCUUUUUCUUUUUAUCAAAUUAACGUAACCUAUGUUUCACUAAAUAAAUACCACAUCAUAAAUUUGACUAUAAUAUGCAACUGCAAAUUAAUUUUUUUGCCAUAUAUAUAUGAAUUUAAGUAUUGCUAAAAACAGUAAUUUAUGUAUGUCACAAACUACCCUUUCCAUUCGGAAAGGAAAUGUUGAUGUGUUUAGGGGUAUUGCUUAAGAGAUAACCUACGAUCCUGUAUGUACUAAUUAAUUAAUUAGUACUCUUUUAAUACAUAAUCUUGUUUAAUUCAAUAUGAUAUUUGUUAGAUAGUUUAGAUUGAUUUUAAACUUAUCCACUAACAUAUGAAGUGAUCAUGCGGGUACACAAUCAUUAAAAUAAUAAUUAGCAACCAAAAAAGUUACUUGCAAGGAAAAACAAUAAUCUAAUGCUAAGAGAUAAGAAAAAUGCCACUCCUAAUUGGAUCCAAUGAUAAUCGAAAUAGAAAUGCGCAAACAGUAACGUUACAUUUAUCUCUAAAAAUAUUCAAUUCCUAUAGUAAAACCUUAGGAGCUUGUUCAAUUUUGAUAACAAUUUUCUAAAUCAAUGGUUUUUACACAUUUAAGAGAAACCUACUCGAAAUGACUAAUUCUUAAGCUUUUUCCUAAUAAUAUUUUUUUUUUUGAAAUUUUUUAAAACUUUUUUAAAAUAAUAAUCACACAAAUAUUUAUUUCCGAAAAUGAGCAUUCGGGCUGGGCCCUACCCAAACACGGCCUGCCGCUAGUCCUGGACUCUAGUGGGUUUGGGCUAAGGAGGCAAUUCGGGCUUACAAGAAAAACUCUUUCAAUUAGAGCCUCUCGAGCCCAAGUCAGAAUUCAACACAUGAAGCCCACGGUGGCUAUUUCGUAACCCAUUCUACUCCAAGUUCGAAUCCUAUUCUGAGUGUAACCAAGCCCACUUUUGCAAAAACCACACUCGACCCAUUUCCAAACAAGACAACUACUCAGCCCAUAUUUAAGUAGCCUAAGCCAAGGCCCCACUUUGAAACCGUAGCCAGCCUAGGUCACUAAAAAUUCCUCUUGACCCUUUGUAUCAUUCGCCUUUACACGCCCUCCGCUGGGUCUUCUUCGAGACUUCGACCGACCAUACCAAAAUCUUCUGAACACCAUCAAAUUCAACGCGCUCUAUCUAAUCAAAUCCAGUUGAAUGAGACCAAAAAACCUAACACCACUAAACUGAUUAAGCCCAACGCACUGUGUCAAAUGGCCAUUUUACUCACCCUCCCGUCAUCGUGUCCUUGCUCCUUCCUAUUUGCAGAACAAAAAGAAACUGAAGAUUGAACGUAAAAUAUGUGGGCAAUCAAGGCCCAAUGACACCUCUAACCUCCAACAUGUAACCGAGACUUCACUGUGAGUUUACGUCACUCCAUCACUACCCAACCAUCAUCUACUCUCACUUAUGAACUUGCUAACAUUUACCGAACAAACACCACGGAGGCACCAAGCGAGACUCGGCAAGGAAAAAAGGAUCUUGAACCACGGUGACAAGGGCGAUCCACAUCUUGAGAUUAGUUUUUUUUUUUUUUUAAGAAAAAUUUCAUAGAAAAUAAUAAGGAUUUAAAAAAAAAUUAUGAAUUAUAAUACUAGUACUGCAAGAGCUCUUGGUACCUAUGUGUCAUGCAAUUUAAUAAAAAUUAUUUUUUCAGGGGUUAAAAAUUAAUCCAUGAUUUUUCAAUGCAAUUAAAUCUUGAAUGAAUUACCAAAAUUUAAGUAUCAACAAUGUACUUUUUCAUUUAUCAUUUUGUAUAUGACGAAUAAACAUUUAAAUGACUUUUUUUAGAUGGAAACAUUAAAUGACUUUAAACAUGACGAUUUACCACUAAUAAGUCAUAACACCGAUUAAUCCAUAUUAAGACCUAAACAUGCGACUUUGGCAUGAACACUUCUACUAAGGUACAAGGGAUGCUCCAGGACUGCCAGGAGCUUAUUACAAGGCCCAAAGCUCGGCUGAUGGCCCGCUGUGCGACCUUUAAACGUUCUGGACCGUGGGGUUCAGUCCCUUUUCGGGCAUGAAAUAACUCCUAAAUGGUCGGACCGACUGAGGCCAGCCUAAAGAGUCUGAAUGCUUGUUGUCUGAGCAUUGCACGGCUUGGACAACGGGCAUUCAAAACAUCUAAGACGCGAUUAUCCUGAUGAGGCAUAAGCUAAUCCAUCAUGGAUUCAAGAUGACGGACACGUGAUAUAAUGGUAUUAUGACCAAAAUGAUUACUCGAAUUACAUGAGGAUAAUGCUAUAGACUAAAAAUGAGUCAUGAACGUCCCAAUUUGAACUGAUGUACGUGCACUUCAGGGAAACAUAAGCUCAUCCAAACGGUAAUGCAACAUAGUGUUGACACUGAGCAUAAAUCUUAAACAUUUACCGAACAUUUACUCUUACUUAUGACCUUGCUAACAUUUACCGAACAAACAACAUGGAGGCGCCAAACGAGACUCGGCAAGGAAAAAAGCAUAUUGAACAACGGUGACCAAGGCGAUCCACAUCUUAACAAGAGGCUAGGCCAGCUUGGCCUUGGCCAUGUCUCGCUUUUCUUUUCUUUUUUUAAAAGAAAAUUUUCAUAAAUAACAAUAAGGAUUUUAAAAUAUAUAUAUAUAUAUAUAUAUGAAUUUUAAUACUGGUAGUGCAAGAGCACUUAGUACUUACGUGUUAUGCAAUUUAAUCAAAAUUAUUUUUUCAUGAGUUAAAAAUUAAUCCAUGAUUUUUCAAUGUAAUUAAACCUUAAAUGAAUUGACAAAAUUUAAGUAUCAACAAUGUACUUUUUCAUUUAUCAUUUUGUAUAUGAUGAAUAAACAUUUAAAUGAUUUUUUUUUGGAUGGAAACAUAAAAUGAAUUUAAACAUGACGAUUUACCAGUAAUAAGUCAUAAUGCCGAUUAUUAGAAUAGACAGCUAAGUGAAUAAUACAAGAUUAAUUGAGCAUGCUGGAUGAGGUGUGUCAGAAUGAUGAAAUGCAAGCCAUAUCCUACACACAGUCCCCCAUCUAUACACUUGUGAGAUAAGUGCAGAAGAUUCCAUGACUGCAAGGUAAAGAGUACUCUCGCGAAUGGUACGAUAACCAAAAUAGUGAGAGGCAUUUCUUGCUCACCCCAUUGAGCCCCAUACAUUGGUGAAAUUUCUAUCCUACCCCCAUCAAGAACCACCCUACAUUGGGGAAGAUCGGAGGCGAAGUAGCAUCACGAGGUGAGAAGAGAGAUAGAAAUUUUCUUGCUCGCAUUUGCAUCAAUCUUCGGGUGUCUUUAUUGCAUAUGAACACUCACGUUAAUUUAAGUGCCUUAGAAUGAUGAAGAGCAAUUCCCUUUCUACGCACUUGUAUCCAUUGCACAACUCAAUUGAGUCUGUAAAUUUCACCCUCACAUGGAGGCAAAGCAGAAGCUACUGCCGUUUGAGCAGCAUAAUCAGAAGCGUCGGCAAAAGAUGAAGACUUAAUAGUCUAACAAUGGUGUUUGCUUGAACUUGUCAAGAUCAGCUCUCAAGCAACAAGAACAAAAUAGGGGCAUAAAAAAGCAGUGUACCUGGUAAAAGCAAGGUCAAUGCCCGUGAAUGAAAAACAAAAGCAAAAACUAUGGACAUAAAAAAGCAGUGUGCCUAGUAAAAGCAAUGCCAAUGUCUCCAAACAAGAAAUACAGCUGUUUGUAUUCCUGAGAGAAGUUGAUGUUGUGGUUCGAUUAAUGGAACCUUCAUCUGACUAUGAGAAGAAAGACCGAUGACAAAUGCCAAGGUGAUUGCUAGCUCUUACCUUCUUACACAUGAGUCAAGCCUCCAUUUCAUCCCACUAUAAGAAGUUUCUUCAGAUUAGGGAUACUUCAAUUAACGUAGGAUCUCAUAUGUCUAUAAGCAUCGCUCGAAGAAGUACGAGCAAGAUUAUUCUAUCUCUUUUCACAGGAUUCUUGACUUGCAAACCCGAAGAUGAUCGUGCGGCACUUCGUUCAUAAGCCUUAACCUCGACGGUCCCAUUUGAUGAGCCGUUGACCAAAUCUUCAUCACAAUUUCAACAAAGACCUCUCACGUUGGUAAAGUCGUACCACUUGGGAGAAUACUCGGACCCCUGUUGAUAUGAUGACAGUGAGAUAGUGUGGUCCUUAUAAAUCCUGCAUCAAUGGUCAGGAUAGCCUUUUCCAUGAGAGUAAGUGAAAAAGUCCUUUCAAACUGAAAGUCCCUCACCUAGCAUGUUCAAGACGUCUACAUUUGGAAUGAAGGUUGUCUUUCAAAUUUUCCCCAGUGGAAUUCGGAUGAAGCAAAAACUGACAAAAUUGUCAUGCAUGAAUCCCAUUUAAACUCAUGAAUUAAUAGCAUAUACAAUCAUGUAUGCAUAUUGUGCAAAUAACAGACAUACUCUUAGAGAUCAGAGAUAUUGCCAGGUAAGCAUAUUCUUAUCACAAUUUGUCUUAAAGUACCUACCAUUAUCUAGGUACUCUCUUCUUGACACUCGACCUAUUCGAGCCGUCCCUUGAGUUUGGGUGCUUGCAACUGUCUCAGUAUCCCAUUGUCUUUGAGUACCCACCACUUGCCGGGUACCCCCAUAUCGUCAAGUACCCACCGUCGUCCAAGUACUCCCUUUUCAUGACACUCAACUUGCUUGAAUUGUCCCCAAAUAAUAGCAGCUGUUCAAGCAUUCCACUGCUUUGUGUGCCUGCGCCUACCCAGGUAUGCUUUCUUACACUUGGACCAGCUGAGUGGUCUCAGGUCGUAUCAUUAAAUACUUGUGUUCAUCCAAGUAUUCCAGUACUUUAUACACUUGCGACUACCCAGGUGUUCCAUCCCUUUUAAGUGCCUAAUCAUUUUCAAUGUUGUCACCAUGUGUUCUUCUAUUAGGGAUGUAGUGCUUGUGUUCUUCAUCACUCCUUUGCCAUAUUUUACCACACGAGAACCAGGACAACUGAAUUUAAUUAGGGUUUUGGAGUGGUGUUCUCUGAUUGAGUGUUUUCUCUGUGUAAUGUGGAUGUUAUUGAAGUUUCAGUUGCAACAAAUUGCUUGGUUCAAAUUAAGGUUUGGAGAAUUUGGGAAAUGGCUUAAUUUAUUUUGAAUUAAGAUUAUAUUUGGGGCAAAACAUGUAAACGAAAUUGUUGAGUGCAAUUGACGCUAACUAGGCAUGUUAGCAAGCCACUUCGAUUUGUUAAAUUAAUAAAAUAUUGCCAUGUCGAUUUCUAGUCUUCCAAAUCAGGGUUGGCACUUAGGUGAUCAUUCUUUUUGUAAAAAAAUACCACUUAAAUGAUUUGACGAAAAUUUUUAGUUCCAAAAUAAGCGUCAUACAAAAUGAUGCUUCUAAUGUAAUUUUUCUAACAAUAAAUCUUUAUCAUUUUAAAACGCCAUCAAUAUUUCUCUAGUCUGCUUUCUUUUUCAAAGAAUCGUACUGUGCUUUGCAAAAUUGCUUAUUGCAGCUUACAUGGUUAACAUGUCAGACACUUGCACAGAUUUUCGGAUGAACUUAGCUGGUGCACUUUUUUCAACAUUUCGUGAUGGCUUUAAGAAGGAUUUUUUAGAAUAAGUGCAAUGAUAUUCUUUACCUCAAAGGAAAAGAACUGCAUUACUAAGGUUUUUAUCGAAAUAUGGAGAUCCAAUUCUAAGAACAAGCAUACGAAGAUGAAAUUGGGAAACAAGCAACAGAUGAGUGUCCUCUUAAAGUGCGGUUGAAUGAACAGCAUCAUUCUACUUGGGUUCCUUUGUGUCUGAAAAUUCAUGAAAGACCCUUAACUUCUCUCCUUCGCGUGGAAUCCUGACACAUAAAUAUCUUGUCUUGCAGUUAUUUCUGCAGGUAGAAAAGGUAGAUAUCUACCGGCUGUCCCAUUUGUGAAGCGCCUGGAUUUGUUUCGUAAACUUUUUCUGAAGCUCUGAAAAUCCUGGAAAAACACCGAGAGCCUCUAAGUUGACGUUUCUGCAAGAGACAUUCUCUCACUCAUAAAAGACAAAAUAUCCGUUCUAAACUUUCCGUCAGAUUUAAUUGAUAAGAGAAUGAAUGCAUCGUAAAUUUUCCGAAAAAGGAAAGGAAAUUGAUGGGAUAACUAUAAUUAAGAGAAUUAAGUCAUCGGAUUAGUAAAGUUAUGAAUGCCUGGAUUAGUAGCCAAUGCGGCUUGAAGUCUAUCUGUUUCUUUUUCUUUUUUGACAAGCCAUGUUUGAAGCUAAGAGAAAAGCUAAUUUUAAGGAAAUGGGAAAUGUGUCAAAAAAGUUCUAAACCUUUUAUAAUUGUGCCAAUUUAAUCAUAAACUUUUUAUCGGUGUCAAUUUAGUUGAUUUGAUACAAAUUCAGUCCUCUUGGUCAAUUUUUAUCGAAUUUUACUGACUGGACACCGGUCAGCUAAUGUGGCAUAAUCAGUGAUGAGGUGAACAAUUUUUAAUAAUAUUUUAUUUUUUAAAUUUUUUUUUAAUUUUUCCUUUUCCUUCUCCUCCUCCUUCCUCCAACUAGUCACCGGACCUUGACGACCGACUAGAGGCAACAGUCAUCAAGGUUCAGGUUGAGUCUCGCCCAUGGUUGGCAGGGGUCGACUUUGCCAGAUCUAAUGAGGGCAAGCCUCGCGAGCCUAGCAGGAGGCCACCCUUACAACUUGGGCAGCCUCGCCAGAGGUUAGGCGAGGCUCGACCUUGCCAGAUCCGAUGAGGGCAAGCAGUACUGCCCAGCACAAGUAGCCAUCGUGGCCUCUAGCGAAGGGUUGAGCCUCGCCAUUGGUCGGCGAGGCUUGCCAUGGCCGGUGAGGGCUGUCACCUAUGGCCGGUCUUCGAGGUUUGGCGACCGGUUGGAGGAAGAAGGAGGAGAAAGAAAAAAAAACAGAAACAAAAUUCAAAAUUCAAAAAAUUCAAAAAAUUCAAAAAAUUAUUAAAUUAUUAUUAAAAUUGUCAACGUCAGCACCGAUCGUGCCACAUCAACUAAAUGGUAUCUAGUCAGCAAAAUCCGAUCAAAAUUAACCGGAAAGGAAUGAAUUGGCACUAAGUGAAAAGAUUUAGAACUAAAUUGUCACCAAUAAAAGGUCUAUGAUUAAAUUAGCAUAAAUGCAAAAGAUUUAGUACUUUUUUACACUUUUCCCCCAAGGGAACCAUUGUAAAAUUAAGUGAAAACAAUAAGAGCAUUUUGCAAUUAAAUCAAUAUGAAAAAAUGCAAAAAAAUUAAAAAAUAAAUGAGGAACAAUAAGAAUAUUUGAAAUUUACGUGGUUCAGUCUGAGUGUUGGUACCUAUAUUCACGGAAAGAGCUUUUAGUAAAUAAUUUCUAUAAUCGGAGAAUUAGAAUUAUAAUUACUCACAUGAUCAAGUGUUUUCCAUACGUAAAUUAAAUUCAAACUCAAAGCAUAUUAAAAUAGAUAAACUCGGUUUGAAUAAAAAAAACUCACAGCACGAAUUAUCGUAUUCACUCAAAGCAAAGCAGGUCGUGCGUUCUUUUUCUUCUUCGCACGGGUCUGUUUCUUGAAAGAACGCACGCCGGCCUCCUUUUGUUUCUUCUUUCCCCUCUUGCAAGAGGCUGCUGCUUUAUUCGGGAAAGAGGAGAACCAAAAGCAAACCCUUGCUUUCUUUUUUCUUUCUCUGACAGGCACUUACUUUUGGAUUAGGAGCCGCCGAAUUCUAAAUUCACCUUUUCCUUGUGUGGAUUUUAGAUGAGAUGCUCAUCGAUCUUCUUGUCCUCUUGAGAUAUUAGAUAAAACCAAAAUAAGCAAUCAAAGUCUUGGCCUAAUCUUGAAUAGAUAGUUCUAACACCACAAAAACUUGAUUCCAUGUCAUCCAAUUUGAUUUGGGUUUCAUCUAUGGCUCAAAUUUGAGAUAUGAUUUAACAAAAGCAGCAGCUCAAAUUGCUUCUGACUUUUCGUCUGAGAAAACAAAUUGCGGGCAAAUUGCCAUGAUUCCAUAUGAGAUUACCUUUUCUCUCUGCUUAUAUUGCUGUCCUUUUUCCACUCAUAGCCAGGAUAAAACCAUAUUUGCUCUUAUGGGAUGCAUCGGACAAGUAUUUGCCACAAUCAGUGGCCGAAGAAUUCCAAGAAGGAAACCCUUCAAUGAUCAAACUUAUGGUGGCAAAGGUGCGGAUCAUAUGCCACAAGAAGACUGCUAGGCUUCUCCUAGUACAUACGUCGCUCUUAGUUAUGUUUAGUUUCGACAGUUGCCAUGUUUCUCAGGCCUGAAAAGGUUGUGGAAGCUUUGAGGAGGUUCCUUGCAAUGAAGAUAUUCCGUUUCGAUUGUCCUCUCCGUUAAAGCUUUUGCUCUUCCUAAAGCUAAGAAGCUACUUUCCAAGACUUAUACCGGAAAUUGUAUAAUUGAAUCUUAAGAAAUGCUUUUGUCACUAUCGAAAGGAAUCUUCUCACAUGCCCGUGGUAAAGAGACAGAUUCUAUCACUGUGCGAAAGCUGCAUGGAAAUUUGUACUUUUUUUUAGUGGAAUCAGUAUUAGUUCUGAACUUUUGCUCGACAUAUGGUUAGCCGUCUAUUAGGCUAAGUUGCCAUAUUCCUUCUUGGUAAAAAACAAGACACGUUCAUCGAAUGUUGGCGUAUGCGCGGAACGGAGGCAUUGGUCAGUCAACGGACGAAUCGGAUUUAUACUCUAAACAGAUUCCGAAGUUCCAUACUCGACAAAUAUCCAUCCAUAAAAGAAUUGUGCAGCGUGGAUCUCAAUAAAUCCCCGAGGGUGGGGCGAAUUAUUCAUUCCACUCACUCUCAUGGCAUAACUAUAAUAUAGUGACUGCUGAAUUGCUUGAAGAACGCAUGCACCAAAAGCUUUUAUUGGAUGGAUUGUUUCUCCUUCGCACAGUGCUCACUUGACUACUCGAAUGCCAAAUUAGUUAAAAAUCUUUCAUUUGAGUGUUACUGGCUAUUUGUGUGGUCAGAAAUCCGACAUGACAUUACUUUAUUAUAAAUUGGUUGACGUGGCUCAUCGGGAAAAUCCAAUCAGCAAAAAUCAUAAGAUACGACCUCAUUUUGGCCCUGUUGGUAGAAGAGAAGUUAAUAAAUAAGAACCAAAAUAAGAAAAAAAAAGGCGAAGAGAUUUGUUGCUGACCAAAUCCUCUAUCUCUCUCUCUUCUUCUCUCGUAAUAGAGACAUGGUUCCUCAAUGGAGCUUAGUCAUCUAAGAUUAGUGUAAAAUUGACGAAGAGAAUAUACAUAGCAAUCAAGAGUUAAAAGAAAUAAAUUAAGCAGAUUCGGUGGAGAGGUUUUUUGCACCUUUAAACUGUGAACUUGGCAAAGCUUUGGAGAAGAUGUUCAGGGAAAGAGCUUAAAAAGGGGGAAACAUGAUUGAGAGAGGAAGCUAAAAAUUGUAUGGUGGUGAUUUUUCAUUGAUGAACUCAACGUAACUUCUUUACGGUAGUAGAAUGGUCACCAUCUCAACUCACCAUAGCUGAUUUGACCUGUCCCCUUUUUGUUAGCUCCGAUCUCUCCACUGCUCAUCUCAAGCUCGAACCUUUCCAUUGCUAAAGCUUCUGGAAAAGCAUCCCCUCUCUAGAAUUUAGGGUUUCAUUUUGAAAAGAAUUUGAGGAACAAAAGGGCCAAAACGAAGAUUAUCUAUGGUGGAAUCAAGUUUCUUAUAGAAAAGCUAUGUUGCAAUCAAAACUUAAUGUACAAAGCCACAUAGCGAUUUGCUGGAAUAGACAUUUAAAGUAAAUGAAUUUUCAUUAGGCACUUAAGUGAACGUUGUGCGGAAAUUAUGACAUCCAUAGUGUCCUUAAUCUUUUUAAAUAGGAAUAGAUGUACAACAGGAAGCAUCAUAAUCUUCUGACAAGUGCAUCAUAAUCUUCUGACAAGUGGCACGUGCAAUGAGAAGGAUAAUAUUUGUGCUAGCACCAAUAGUAAAACGCUUUCUCAACACCAAGACUUAAAAUCCUUCUUUUACAAAAUAAGGGCACGGGGACAAGAAUCGCCGAGAGUACUGCCAACUCUCUCUGGCAGCCAAAGAGCAUGAUAAUCUUCAUUCAACUUGCCAACUGUAACAAAACAAGUAUCAAAUUUGAAACUCGAACACAUUGCAGAUGUAUCCAAAAUUAGUUUCGAUAUCGAGCCAUGAAUAUUAUAAGCCAUGAAUAUUAUAUAUAUAUAUGCCGAAGGAAAGGGAUUGGGAUAAUGACGAGGGACGGAGGUUUUGUCACUACAUAAACAAGGUCUUUCUUUAUCUUGAACUUAGAGAAUUUCUCUUUCUACUAAUGCAGAACUUAAAAUUUAGAUUGGGUGAGCUUUUGUCCGAAUGCGAAGCCUGUCUUUGAUUCUACAAGGAGUUGGAUUCAUUUGAACACCAAAGCCAACUCACUUAUGUUUCAAAUAGGGGUGAGCGGAUCCGAAUUUGAUACAAGUUUCAUAUGAAAUCUGAAACCUAUCUAUUAAAAUAGGUUCCUCAUUUUUUUGGAGUUUGGAACCUAUCCCACAUAACUUGAAAUUGAGAACCUACAUUGUUACAGGUUUCAGGAUUUACCUAGAUUCUACUUUUAUUAUAAAUUGAACAAUUAUAGUGAAUUAUCACAUUUAAUAAUCAUCACUUGUUGCUAACUUAUAUUUAAACACACAAAAAUAUGAAUACAUUAAAAAAGUAAAAGUUUUAGUCAUAAAAUUGAAGAUUGGACUAAUAGUACCAGAUUAUAUACUGAUCAUCGGAUGCUAUGGAAUACUGUAAAAUUGUGCAAAGACAUAAAUCAAGAUGAACAUGAAAGCUUAUUCCAGAUUUUAAAAUCAUAGGUUUUAGGUUCCAAGUUUUUAGGUUCCAGGUAUCACCAACUCAGAAUUUGGAACCCACUUAUGAAAACAGGUUCCCAAAUUUUUAAAACUUAGAACCAACUUUGCAUAUCUUGAAAUUGAAAUUGAAUAUGUUCUUAUCGAUCUAGUUCUUAACUUUCGGGUUCUACCUGAAACCAUACUCACCUUGAUGAUGGUCACUAACUCCAUAAAAAAGCGGCUUGAAGGCAUAGCUUGUCCUUAAUUUUUAUUUUUAUUAUAAAAUGUUCAAUCAAUUCUUUUCUUCUCUUUCAAUUUCCUUGCUCUUUUGUUAACAUUAGUCAUUCAGUUGAAAAGGUAAGACCGUUGACGUGGCUGUUUAAGUGCUAUGCUAGCAUCAUAAAUGACAUCUGACCUUAAAAACCUUAACAAAAUAAAUACUUUUUAAAUUUAAAAAAAAAGGGAAAAUUUUGAAAAGAUAAGAAAAGAAUAAGUAAGAUAAAGAAAGGAGAGGGAGCAAAAGUUAAGGCUGCGUAUAGUAUAAUAACCAUUUUAUAUCUCUGUGGUUUUUAUUUUUCUUUUUUCAAAAAUAUGUUUAGAAUAGAAAUCCAUUUGGCAACGUAAUUUCAUUUUAAAAAAAAAUUGAAACAAAUUUUUACCUUAGAAAUAGGUUUGGAAUAAAAAUAAGAAGUUAAAAAUUUUAAAUUUUUUAUUUCUAGAACAAAAGUAAGAAAUAAAAACUCUUCUCAUCAUUCACUCUUAUCAGUGUCUGCCCACCCAUCACCGGUCGCCCACCUCCUGUACGCUAGCUGCCUCCCACCGCCACUUGGGAGAGAGAAAUUUUGUAACAUUAUCAAACAAAUUUUUAUUUCAAUAAUAGAAAUAGAAAAAUCAAUUUCUAGCCAUAAAUUGAUUUUUAGAACAUAAUGAUUAUCUUUUAUGCCAUAGAACCAAGGGGUGGCCAUCAAGGGUAAGACGUCCUCGUUGAGCCACCACUAUGGUGAGGAAGACCCUUCCUACACACACACACAAUCUCUCUCUCUCUCUCUCUCUCUCUCUCGUUUUUAUUUUCUCGUUUUUAUUUUUUUGAAUUGAAGUUUUUUUCUCUCUUUUUAUUCCACAACGGCAAUUAAUCUAAUUAAAAUUGUUGUGGCACUAACUUAGAAUUCCAUGUUAGCAUUUUCAUUCGUAUAUUUGAUCAAAGAACUAGCACGAAAGAAGUUGUGAAAUUUAACGAUCCAAUUGAAUUAAAAAGGAACAUUACAAUUUAAUUGGAUCAUUUUUUAAUAAUUUUGGUGUGUCUAAAUAGGCUUUUAUCAUUACUUAUUAAUCUAAAUCUUAUGAUGUAUAAUAUAUAUAUAUAUAUAUAUAUUUAAUUUUUGUUAAUCCAACCAAAAUUUUAAAAAUAUGUAAACUAUGGCACUUAGAUUUGCAUAUAAAUAUUUUAUUUUUUUAUUCAAUAUUGAAUAUGAAAUACUUUCACUCAAUUCGAACAAACACGCUCUCAAAGACCAACAUUAUCUUUCAUCCCUGAAAAUUUGGGUGACUUGUCUGUUGGGACUACAAGGAAGUGAAGGAAAGCGAUUUCCUUUUUUCGUUUUUUUAUUUUUUUUGGCUGUUAUGGCAGUUGAAGAGGAAUUGUAAAUUUGAUUAGGUGCAUGACAACCAGCUUGCCUCGCCAAGGCGGCCCAAGCACAUCUUGGGCGAGGGCAAGGCGAGGGCAUAUAAUUAUAGGGCUCAACUCAAAUUGACUAGGACCAAUCCAAGUCUGACUAACAUGGAAGGUUGUCGCGUAUGUUUUUUCGUCAAUAGGUGAGUUCGAACCUUAAUUUCGUUCGGACGUGAUGUCCCAUUUGGAUCCACCUAUUAAUCACCUAAAAUUAUAAUGAGCAACGACAUGCUUUAAAUGACUCGUAGAAGGGUCUACUAUUAAGGUUUAGGUGAAGUGAAAUGUAAAAAUCGAUUUUUUUUUUUUAAAUGAUUAAGCUGCAUACGAGCCCAACACAUUCCAAUCUUUGAUGGGGACGGGUCCUCCGUGAGAGCCGUGUGAUCUAUGAACUUAAAUGCACCAAAUUCAGGUAUGCACCCAAAACUACUCGCGGCCGGGAGAUAGAAUCAAGAAAGCCAACUGAAAGUUCGGAGUUGAGCGGUCCGUUGGAGCCAAUCCAACGGUGGAGGGAACACCGGACCAACAUCGAGGGAGGAGUCACGUGGCCCCCCGUCCUAUUUCUCUGUUCCUUCUAGGGGAAGCAGACAAUUUUGCAGCUAUUAAUCCGCAUCUUAAUCCUCACUCCGGGGAACAAAAAAAAAAAAAGUAAUGACUAUGAAUAUAUACAAAAUAUAUAUAUAUAUAUAUAUAUAUAUAUAUAUAUAUAUACAUACAUAAUCACAUAGAUGCAUUAAUACUAUAAAAACAUUCUCCUCACAUGCCUAUCAUACUGCUCAUCAUCAACGCAUUUUUGGUGAUUUGAGCUUUGAAAACCCUCUUGAUAAGGGAAAAGAUUAAACCCAUAGAAAAAGAUGAAAAUCCAGAAAUUUAGUCACUGUUGCAUUGCAAAUAAAUUGAUUUGAGUUUUUAAUGGUAAAAUACUUAAAAAUCAAGCAAUUAAGACAAAAAUAUAUAUGAUUGCAAAGACAGUAAUUCCAACUUGUUAAUGUUGUUGACACAAAAGAUUGCUACGUAUAUGAGACUGAGAUUGUGCUUGGUUUUUUUCGUUACUAUGGAUUUAUGUACUUGUCAAUCGCAUAAAGCUAAUGGAAAUAGCUCAAAUCUUUUUGCUCAAAAGUACAAGCAAUCUCCAUACGGAUGAAAAGUAUAUAUGUUGUAAAAUAAUAAUAGGCUAUUCCUGUUUAGACAGACACGUAAAAAAUAGACGAUGAGAUUAUACUCACCUCUCGCUUCCACCGUCCAAUUAUCCUGCUCUCGAAGGAUGGUCCAUCGCUUUUAAAUCCGACGGAUGACAUCGAAAGGCCUGGAUCUUAUACCGUCGCAUGCACAUAACUACACACACACACACACACUUUGAUAGGCGUUGAGUCCAGCGAUUCCAGCAACCUAGUCUAGAGUUCCCGCGAGGAUGGCAUUGUUCUCGACGGAGAUUGCGAUCCCAAUCUGUGCCGUCAUCGGGAUCGCGUUCUCCCUGGUGCUGUGGCUUUUUGGGUCGCACAAUGGGGCCAACCACAUCGACGAAGAGCAAGGCUUAAGCCGUGAAGAGCAGGCACGUGUUGAGCUUGACUCUAAGCAGAUAACGGAAGCCAUCAAUAAAGGUGACUUUUUACAGAUCCUGUAGCUUCGCAACUUGUCUCCUUUAUGGAACUUUUUCCUUUUUGCUGCGCUCAGGAUUGAUAGUCGAACAUUCUCAAGCAUUUUAGGUCUUUCGGUAAUGAAAUUCUGUGGUCGCGUUUUCCAAUGAAGCUCGUAAGCUUUGAGCUCAUGCUUUUCGUCCGAGAGAGAAAAAAGGAAAAGGACGGAAACAGAGAAUGAAGUACAUUUGAUUUUCUGGGCCGCGAGUCUUUCUUUUUCUGGGCAUUGAGAGGUUGUAGUUCAACAACCUUCUUUCUCUUUCUCACUCAUACUGCUCAUUGACCCAUUUUUUGGGAUCAAUCUUGCAUCAAAUUGGAGUCUUGUGAUCUGACGAUAGCUCGGCGAAAUCAAGAGCUUCUUUUGCUCCUUGUAGGGCGAGUCCUUUUUAGGGUUUGGCACAGCUGCUAGAACUUUGAGCGACGUAUCUAAGCACAGAAGUAUACUAUUUACUCACGCAGAUCUCUUCUCAGGAAGAUGGCUGGAAUGAUGUUGGUGGUCUUGGUCGUGUUCUUGGGCGGUUGUCAACUGGUGUAGCUCUUGUCCGUUUGCGUUUUGCCAUUGGUCUUAUUGUCUCAGCAGUUUCGCGCUUUGUUUGGAUUAAGUAAAUGCACGUGUUGUGCACGUCACGUGAAUGUUUUCGUCUCUUUACUCACCAACUUAGCUGCAGGCUCUCACGGGACGGGGAUGCACUUUAUUUUAUGGCAUUACACGACAGGAAUGUUCAUAAUAUAGCUGUUUCAAAAGUAUAUUUGAUUAAUGUCUGGGGAUAACCUGCGAGCCAUUACACGUUUGAAAGGAUUAAUUGAUUUAUUAGCUCAAGAACUGGCUUGAGUAAGUCGGACUAGGAGGCGCAUAUACGACUGUAAGACAGAUUACAUUUGAUGAUGGGCUAAGGUGCGCUUGUGUCGUUGGAAAGAAUUUUUGUGAAAAUGAUUUUCUAAACUUUCUAAUGUUUUGAACGAUCAUAAUAACAUUAAUUGAGAGGGCACUCCCAUCAAAGAAAGUACUUAUUUAAAAAAAAAUUGUUAAUAUAAUAGUUUUUGAGCUAUUAUGAUAGUAACAACAUAUUAUGAGUCAAUAAGUUACCCAAUAAGUUACUAGUUUUAACUUUCUUGGCAUCACGGUUCAACACUCAAGUCAUCAACAGCAAGGCUGAAGUCUAUUGAGGCCAGGCUUAGGUCCCCAAUGAACACGCUAGGAGUUGAAGUGGCUGAGCCCAAGAAAUUUUAGUUCCUGUGAUUGAGACCACGGCCUGUCAAAUUAUCCUCGAAUUUCAGCCGAAACCAGAAAAUAUUGUCACUCUAUAGAAAAAUGACUUAUUCAAGCAUAGGGUUUACAAAUGUCAAGUUAUUCUGGAAACAACGAGCCAAGGUUUAAUUUCUUUCUUCCAGCUAUUUUGUAUUAAUUAUAGGAAGCUUGGUACAUGCGACAAAUGACAUAACGUCAAGCUAAUUAAAGUUAGAAUAGUAAUUUUUAAACGUAAUUGGCUUUAGUAGAAGCAUAUUGUAUUAAAAAGAUGAAUUGCUGAGGCUGAACAACCUUCAAUUCUAAAGUAUUUCUUCACUUCGUCAGUGAGAGUGUUUCAAGGGUCAUACGAUGUUAAUUGUUGCAGAACAUUUCUCAUUUGCAUGAGAAUGUCAUUCUUGAUUUGUCAUACUUGUGACGAUUACUAAUUAUAUAGGAUCAGUUAAGAACUAAUAGGAAACGAACUGUUCUUAUAUUUCUCUAUGGUUCUCUUUGGUGUUGUAUGCUUGCUUCUCCUAACUAAAGUCCUUAUUUUGUGACAAUGUUUCAUACCUAUUCCUUAGAGCAUAUCAGUUCUAUUGUGAAAUUAUAAUGUUUUUUUCUUGUUUGUUUUCCUAUAAUUUUAGCUGGUAGCUAGUUCACCCUUCUCCUAUUGUUCUAACAUGUAAGUUCAGUUCUAACUUUAGUUCUGACAUUUUUCCAUACUCUGGGUUUAAUCUUUGGUUCUAAUCUACUGUUUACUAUUGUCGGUCAUAAUACGUUUCUAGUUUCUUGUUUGUUUGUGAUGCUUUAAUUUUAAAGUAAUGUUUAAAUGUGUUUACAAUGAUACUCUGGGUUUUGGGACGUUGUAGUAAAUUAUCAGUUCUUUGUAUUUCAUUAAGUACUUUGCAGAACUGGGUACUUUCUUUCAUCCCUUUCCCGUCUUGUUCUACUCAUUAUGUUCCUGUCACUCUUCCGCCAGUGGGCUUUGACACUUACACUGUCCAACUUUUCAAAGGUGAACUGUAAUAGACACCAUAUCAUCUUUUAAGUUGCUCUUUUGGAGGCGCUGUAGGUUAGGCUUUCCCGUUUCUUGGAACUAGGUUGAACAGAUCUAGGCUACGGAAUGAAGUAACUAGAUUUAACUGAAUUAUGCCUUAUUUCGUCACACAUAAGUAGAAGGUCAAGAAUCAGAUUGUUGCUUUAUUUGCUUGAUAUCAGCCUAAGAUAUUGUGUGUGAUUGCAACAGGUGUGAGUGAUUUUCUGUUCAUGGAGUACCUGUAUGUUGGAGUUUUCAUGGUUGCUUUUGCAAUUCUAAUCAUCCUCUUCCUUGGCAAUGUUGAGAGAUUCAGCACCCAAAGCCGGCCUUUCACUUUUUGUCCUUCAAACAUGUGCAAGCCUGCACUUGCCAUUGCGGUUUCAUUCUUACUUGGUGUUCUUGAUAUUGCUAGUAUGAGUACCUAGAGGGGGGUGAAUAGGUGUCUAAACAAUUUAUCGAUAUACGGAAGUGAUUCUUAGCAUAUGAUAGAAAGUAAAUUCUCUCUUAAUUAUCAAAAUGAAAUACGAUCGAGGUAGAGAGAGUAAGGAAGAGAAAAUUGAACACAGGAUUUAUAGUGGUUCGGCUUAUUCCAAGCCUACGUCCACUCUUCCGCACUUGACAGCCCACCGGCUGGAUUUCACUAUGAUCAAAAGAGAAGUUACAGCACAGCUUUGUCUUGAUUCCACAGUGUAGAUGUUCUACCACACCUCCUCAAGGUCUCUCACAAAUAUAGACUCUCUUUUGUAUACAAGUAUUCGCUCAAAGGAUUUAUCUAAACAAAUAGGAGCUUCAGACUUUGGAAUUCUUCUAUCGCGCACACCUUGAACAACUAAGACAGUCUUCCUUAUAUAUUCCUUUAUGCCAUCAUACCCAUUGGCACUUACCAAAGGAAUUCCUCCAAUCUACCCGUUGGACGGAAUCAAUUAGGAAGAUUGUUCAAGCUAUAAAAGGAACGUGUUGAUAGCCCAUCAAUCCUGUUCGCCCAUACAAUCAGGAUCUCGGUUUCCAUAAGCAGAACCUUCCAAUAAUACUUAGGCAAUCACCGGAUCUUCAAUUAUCGAAUCAAUCUUCGAUCAAUCAAAGGACUCCGUUAUGUCUUCUCCAGCCACGAGAUCUUCUCCGGUUGAUAAGGUCAAAUCCUCAACGAAACAUUCAGUUCUGGAUAACCUUUCUUCAACGGAUUAGAGACUGUCAAUGAGGAUAGACUUUGAGUCUUGAGUCUGGCUGUCCGGAGGUCUUCAGACUUUAAAUAGCAGAGUCUGCAAGCCUUCAGACUAGACUGAUAGAAACGUUUUGUCAACUUCAAAAUACUUCAAGAAGAUUUCUCCAACAGUUCUCACAUCAGCCCUCUCUGGUUACCUUGGCAUGAAAAUUGUUAUCUGUGCUAAUGCAAGCACUGGACUAAAGGAUAGAAAGGGCUCUUUAAAUGCUGCUUUCAGGUUUGGUGCAACAAUGGGAUUUCUUCUGGCUGCUAUGAGUCUUCUCGGGCUCUAUAUUGCUAUCAAACUGUUCAAGUGCUAUUAUGGCAAUGACUGGGAAGGUCUUUUUGAGGUCAUUACUGGUUACGGUCUUGGUGCAUCUUCCAUGGCUUUCUUUGGAAGAGCUGGUGGUGGACUUUAUGCCAAGGCUGUUGAUGUUUAUGUUGAUCUUGUUAACAGAAAUUGGCGACCUUACCUAGAGGAUCCAUACUUAAGUGUAUGUACUCUCUUACUGUAGCUCUAUCUCCUAAGUAUAUCAUUCACUUUAAGUCAUAAAUGGUGUUGACUUUAAUCAUUCAGGUGAUUCCUUGUAAUGUCGGUGAUAUUGUUGGGGAUAUUGCUGGUAUGGGGACUGAUCUUUUUGGCUCUCAUGCUGAAUCAUGCUGCGCCACCCUUGUUGUUGCUUCCAUCUCUUCUUUCGGAAUCGAUCACAACUUCACUGCUAUGUGUUAUCCCCUGCUUAUCAGCUCUAUGGGUAUUCUUGUUUGCUUGAUCUGAACUCUCGUUACAGCCUACUUAUCAGAUAUCGGGGAAGUGGGGAAAGAGGGGGACAUGAGGCCUGCACUGAAGAAGCAACUCAUUAUUUCCACUGUUCUAAUGACCUUCGGAAUUGCUAUUGUUAGCAGCAUUGCUCUGCCCUCGUCAUUUAAAAUUUACUACUUUGGGAUGGAGAAAGUUGUGACGAAGUGGUAAACUCUUUGGUGAUGCUUGUCUCGUUCUGAUCCUAGAGGCUGCUUUAUUCUAAUGUUGGUCAUGUGACAUGCUUUAAUGUCAGCGGACUUUUACAGGAUUGAGUCAAUACGUUGAGCGUAUGUAUUUGCUAAUUAUGGAUAUGAUCUUGCAGGCAGCUGUCCUUCUGUGUUGUUGUUGGUCUUUUGGCUGGGUCAAUUAUUGAGUUGUUCCCUGAAUAUAACACCAGGGAUUACAUCAGGUGUUAAAUUUGCUAUAGUAAAUGAAUGAUAUGAAUUUUUACGACUGUUGAUGGUCAUGUGCUGACCACGUAAUGAUCCUUAUUUCUGCAGGAAAAUCCAAAGAGCUGUUACCGACGCUGGCGUCCCCCUUGCCUCUGUCUGCGCUGUCCUUGCCUCUGUCAUUAUCCCAAUUUAUGCCGACAUUAGCUUUUCUGUGGGUUUCAGUAUUGCUGCCACAUAUGGAAUUGCUGUGGCCGCCCUUGGGAUGCUAAGUACCAUUGCCACUCGAUUGGCCAUAGAUGCUUACGAUCCCAUCAGCUGCUAUGCUGAACGUAUUGCUGUCAUGGCUCCCAGGCAAUCCUUUCGCGCCGCUGGAAAGGUACUGGCAAUCCUUGCAUGUGAAUAUAGUAUCGACACGAUUUGAUGGUUCAACUGACUGGGUAAGGUAGGAUUUGUAACAUGUCGAUCCGUGGAUGGUUGAACACGAAUCCUACAUGGUGUAUUUAACGUACCUAAUAUGCGGACACUGUCCUGUCGUCCUUUUAGUAGCUUAUUUUUUUAUAAAAUCCAUUACAUAGGAGUGGAAAGGGUUUCUGUGCGUAGAACUAUUCGUGAGAUUACAUUCAUGUCAUCCAGAAUUUGUGCACAUUGUCCUAUUAUUUUCUUUUUAUCCAUAAACGACUAAAUAAUACGGUAGUUAUUCAAAGUCCUUUUGGAUUCUUGCUGGUGUGGCAUGAUGUUUGGCUAAAAUCACCUUUAUUUGCUUUUAGGUGCUGCCUUCAUCUAUCAUUCUCAAUAUUAGCUGUAUUGGCAAAUUCUACUUUCCUAUUGUUUAAAUCUAAUAUCAGAUGGAUUCCUUUUUUAUUUCUUAUCUGGUAUUUAGGGAUUUGCCAUUGAAUCAGCUGCCCUGGUGUUUAUCGCUCUGUUUAGUGCAUUUGUGAGUCGUGCAGCAAUUUCUCAUAUUGAAGUCCGGACGCCGAAGGUUUUGGUCGGUUUUAUUGGGGGCUGCAUCCUUCCUUACUACUUCUCUACUAUGACAAUGAGAAGUGUGGGACGUCAAGGAUUGAAGAUGGCUCAGGAGGUCCACAACCUAAAGUCUCAUCCUGAGACCCCUGCAUGUGCUAUCCAAAUUUCAACUUAUGAAUUUUUCACAGGGUUGAUUCUUCCGGGUGCUCUUGUCAUGUUAGCACCAAUUCUCGUCGGGACCUUCUUCGGUGCAGAGACGCUGUCUGGUGUUUUGGCUGGCUCUUUCUCUUCUGUUAUUCGGGUAAUCUUUACCAAAGUAAUCAAUGUCUAUCUAUUUUGAUAAUUUGCGUUGCUCAAGGUGUGUCUCAUAAUUGAAUGCAUGUUAAACCGGAUUAAGAUAUUGUUGUUUCUUCAUUGUUGGACAAAAUUUGUGUAGGUUGGUGAACUGCUGAGUAAUGCUUUUAUCAUCAUAUCUACGCCAAUAUGGCAGUUUCACAUCAGUUGUCUCAUUUGAUUGCAGUAUUUUGUUGAUGAAUACUAUUUGUCGGGCUUGAUUUUGAACAGAUUGUGAAUGCAUCGUCCAAUGCCAAUGGACCAUUGAACAAAGCGAACAAGGACAUUAGGGUAUGCAGCUGCUUUUCGUCGAUUGUACGCGUCUAUGGUGGGUCAGAGACCUGCUAAGAAAACUUGUCUGACCCGACGGAUUUUUUACUUAAUAUAUUGAAUUUGCUUUCAGGCUGGUGUUUUGGAGUAUGCGAACUUGAAUCCCCAUCCCCCUAUUCAUCUCGGAGAUGCUCGAGAUCAAGACUUUGGCAGUCGACGGAUGGACACUUCAGGCCCACCACUCUGCAUCCUCAUCCAGCUAAUGGCAGCCGAGUCGCUUGUGUUCGCUCGCUUCUUUGCCCCUCACCGUGGUUAGCUCUUCAAGAUUUUCUGAGGGAGGGAAUGGACGACUUCCCUUCCAUAGCAGCGGCGGCAAUGUUGAGACAGAAAUUGUUAUGUAUUUCCAUUAAGUUUAUUUGGGUGUUCACAUACCCAAGAGUACAUUCGGAAAGAUUUACUUGCAAGAGAAGAAAUGCAUUAAUUAUAAAAAUUUCAAACUUCUAAAGAUAAGAGUCCAAAACUUUCAAAUCUGAUAGCCCUAUAUUUGGUUGAUACACCCGCUCAAAUGGAAGAGUCUGAGAUGGCGAAUCUUCAACUUGUCUCACAAAAAUGCAAACCGUUCUUUACGAAGAGCUUCAGCGAGUUGGUAUGCUAUGGAGAUAAACUGUGUACUGAGUUGUUGUUGGGCGACAUGAAACAGAUAAAGUGGAAGUCAAUUUAAAUAUGUUUGGUAAGUGGCACCAAUAUUAUUGCACCAAAGGAUGGGAGGACCUUGAAGAGAGAACCCAAGCUCUUGAAAAAGUGCGAGGCAAAUGAGUUCAGCUGCAGCAUCAGCAAGGGCUUUAUGCUUAGACUUUGUGAAGAGUGCACUACGGUUCGUUUUCGUCUGGAGCUCCAAAAGAUCAAAUUAGGACAAGAAAAAUAGCAUACCCUCUAGUUGACUUCCUGACGUCAAAGCUAUCAACCCAAUCCACAUCGGAAAAGGCUUGCAAACAAGUAUCAUUGGAUUGGGAAAGAAGCAAACCAGACGAACUUGUAUGUUUAAGAUAGCGCAAGAUGUGUUUCACCAUUUGCUAGUGGUCUUUAGUCAGUGCAUGCAUGAAUUGACAAACUUUAUUGAUAGCAAAGGAGAGAUCUGGUCUUGUCAAUGUCACAUAUUGUAGGGCACCAACAAUAGACCGAUAAAGGGUAGGAUCAGACACUAGAGCACCCCCUUUCUCAUAUGGUUUUGUAGUCGUGGCCAUCAGAGUUUGGACAAGCUUGCACUAAAACAUCCCAGCCUGGUGAAGAAAUCACCAAUAUAACAUCCUUGAGAGAGAAGUAACCCAUUAUAGUGAGAGACGACAAGAGAUAAUAUGAGCAAACGAUGGUAAUUUUUUCAACAACUGGACUAAAGGUUUCUACAUAAUCCAUGCCUUCUUGCUGAUGAAAACCCUUAGUAACCAGGCAAGUUUUAUAGUGCUCAAGACUAUCUGUCACGCCCCAAACCCCGAGACACGUGAACAACCCGCCAUGGUCAUGCAAAUGCGACAUUCCCAGGUAGUGUCGCUGACCCCAAUUUACUUUUUAAUGCGCAAGAGGAACGUACUAAGAAACCCCUUACAAAAGAAUACGGGAUAGGACAGCAGGAACAUCAACUCAAAAUCAAACAACAUACUUUCAUAUAUCAUCAACAAUCCAGGGCUUACAUACAUCAACCGGAUCUAGGGCCUAUACACCAAAAAUGGGUCAGAGUCUAUGCACAUCAAAAGAGGGUUAGCCUACACAACAAGGAUCAGCCCACCAAAAAGAAGAACGGUCCUACAACUACUAAUUGGACUCGUUCGACGAUCCCACAUCCUCCACGUCUGACGGCGCAAGGUCUGGAGAUGAUGGGUUGUCCACCCUACCAUCGGGAAGGUCAGCCACACCCUCUCCUAGAAGAGCAUCCAUUACAACCAGGGGAAUGUCAAAACUGUCAAGCAGACCAAUCCUAAAACCAUUGGCCCCAAAACGGAACCAAGCUCUAUACCUAUGGGGCACCCUAACAUCUUCAGUCUCCUGGAUCCACACGGUAGCCCUGAUCAGCUCAUAGACCCAAUGGCUCCCAGGAUCAGGGGCCCUGCGCACCUGCUCGAUGAUCUGCACUGGGAGGCCAUUCUUCUCUGGGGGUCCCGCCAUCUACGGUCCUGUAAUAUUUUUCCCCAAACCGGGAUGAGACUUUGUCUCAGCAAGUUCACCCCUCCUAAACCCCUAUUAGAAAGUAAAUACGCCCCAGAGUAGCUUAGCCACGACAUCAAGAAGACUUACCUCACCUUCGUGCCUCCCUGCAGGUUAGUACAAUUCAUAUCACUUAAGCACAAGUAAUGACAAGAAGGCAAUUUAUCGGAACUCAAUCAAUUUCACUCCAUUUCGCAAUCACAUCAAGCAUUUCCAAAUCAUCAUUAUCCACUGUCACACCAGGGCAAAGCCUACUCGCAAUUCGGCUAUCUACUAAUAUCUAGCUAGGCAUCGCCUCCCCACCUUGGAGCGCACUUCGUCAACACAUCGACGGCAUUCCCGAAGGAGCAUGGAUCCAGUUGGCCUAGCCUCCACUGCGACCCGAGCCACGUCACCCUCCUGACGGCAUCUCUAGAAGAACAAAGGUCCAGUCGGCCUAGCCACUACUGCGACCCGAGCCACGUCACUCUCCCUUGACGGCAUUUCUUAGAAUAAGGAUCCAGUCGGCCUAGCCACUACUGCGACCCGAGCCACGUCACUCUCCUGACGGCAUCUCUAGAAGAACAAAGGUCCAGUCGGCCUAGCCACUACUGCGACCCGAGCCACGUCACUCUCCUGACGGCAUCUCUAGAAGAACAAGGGUCCAGUCGGCCUAGCCACUACUGCGACCCGAGCCUUUCAACUAGCACACGACAAUUUGAUACCGAUCCUUGGAUAUUUUCCAUUUCACCCACAUAAUCCAAUUACGAUGUUAACCAUGAACAAUCAAAUUUCAAUGCCGAACUUGACACUUGGGAAUUUUCUAAAUAAAAUUCCAUCCUUUUCACAAUCAACAAUCAAGUUGCAAUAUUCACACAUCAAAUUCAAAUUCUAAACAUACAGCAGCGGUUCGUACGAAAUUCUGAGCAAUUAGGGUCAAAAUAAAAUUUUCAAGUUUUUUAUUUAUUUAUUUAUAAAUAAUAUUUUAAUGAAUUUCGGAAUAAGAUAUAUUAUUAAAUAAUCCAACAAUUUCGAAGCAUUUAUUUAAAACAUAAAUAAACUCCUUUAAGUCACAUCAAGGUUUAUUUUAAAAAUAAACAUACUUAACCAUCAAACUAAACACACUUUACCUUAAUUAAUCACCUUAAUAUAAUCCACAACUAAUUAAGCCAACCUAUCCGCCUAAUCUCAAUCAACUUAAGCUAAACAUGCUUAGGGCAUCAUUAUCUCGCUAAUCGCGGAUUAGUGAGGUAAACUCACCGGAAUCGCUUUCCGACGAGUCUCCGGCGAAGAGCACGACGACGCCGACGACAAACCGGGCUUGAAAGGCGACGGAACGGCGGCUGAACGGGCGGAGGAAACGGCGGAGGAGAACCGGCGACAGCUCGUGCAACGACCGGCGAAGGCUUGAGCGGACGAUCGGCGACAACGGGAGCUUCGGCGGACGGUGACCAGCAGCGGACGAAGAGACGACGGUGCGACAGGGACACGACGAGCGCUCGCGAGGCUUCGCACGCGGACGAGCAGCGACGGCGACGGCGUGCGACGGCGAAGGCAACGACGAAGGCGAGCAGUGGCGACGGUCGAGCGGUGAAGGCGGACGGAAGGGGGGCGGUUUCCGCUGGUUCUCUCCUUCGGUUUUCCUCCCAAUCUCUCUCCUCUCAAGCUUGAAGAUGAUGGAGACAAGGGGGAAGUGACAUCCCCACUUUUGGUGAGCCAAUUGGCUUGUGACACUUGUCAAGCUCUCCUUGAAUUUGGCCUCCACCAUGACAUCACCUGCUGAUGUCAUUCUCCACUAAUUCAAAUCCUCCAUAACAUCUUCCAAUAGGUUCACUUUCAUUUUCCGCCGAGGUCCAAGUUCUUGUACAUUCAAUUACUUCAAUUUCCAUCAAUUCUCUUCUAAUUGAGUCCAAAUUAAAGUCCAUAAAUUAAUCCAAGGUUCCUAAUAGGGUAUGUGACAUGACCAGCUUCCAACUUCUAAGUUCAAUCCCAAUUUUUUUACGGUUGAAUUCAAUCCGGUGCUAUUUCAGCUCGCCUAAUCCAUUGAGUAGCUUUUGGGGAAAUUUUCUUGCAUCCAACUCGAGGGUGAUCAGUCCUCAAGUCCGACGCGGUAAAAUUCCUUAAUUACUUCACUCAAUAAACUAGUUCCCUCGUGAGUGGCCAACUCUAAGAGACGAACUACAUGCACGGAUGAAUUGCCCGACUCAAUUGACUGAAAAUAAAAUUGAGAAAAAUCGGGAUGUCACACUAUCAUCCACAUUUGCGCUUAAUCCUAUAAGCCCACUUACACCCAACAAGCUUCAUGGAGGAAUUGCGAGAGACCAAAGACUAGGUGCCAUUACUUAACAAGGCAUUAAAUUCAUCGGUCAUAGCUGCACUCCACUCGAGGAUUUUGUUGGCUCGGGUGGAUGAAGUUGGUUCGGUGAGGGGGGUGGUGGCUAUAUUAUUUUGAGGAGGACUAGAGCGAAGUUGCAUGGUGUGGGUGCGUGUUGGCCUAGGUGGGGGUGGCGGCAAUGGUGGUGGAGAGGAUGAUGAGGAUGGGGAACGAUAUAUGUCAUAAAGGGGCCUAGUUCUUAGGGUAGGAGAGAUGGAUGAAUUGGUAUUAGAUGACAUUAAGGGAGCUAGUGUAAGAGGUUGCGAUCUCACGAUAUUGGUAGAUGGAAGAAUGCCAAUAGGAGUCAAAGCCCACUGUACCGCAAUAGGCGUAGGAAGUGAUGAAUGAGGUGAUGGACCAAGAAAGGAAGGAAACUUAAAGGGAAAACACGUUUCAUCAAAACGAAUAUGUCAAGCAAUGUAUAAAUGAUUGUUAAGAGGGUCAAAGCAGCGGUAUCCUAUAGGAGACGGGGAUUGUAAACCAAGAAAAUAUAAGGAACGGAGUGGAAAUCCAUCGUAUGGGCAUUAUAAUGACGUGACGCCGAAAGAUUUUUAAGAAGGAACAAUGCAGAGGAUGAUUAUAAACCAUUUGAAAGGGGGAGACAAGAUUAUUGACCUUGGAUGGCAUCCGGUUGAUGAGGUCGACCGCCAUUUCGAAUGCAUAGUGCCAGUAUUGGUGAGGGACAAAGCCAUGAGCUAAUAAUGUUAAACCAGUUUCAACUAUAUACCUAUGAUGAUGUUUAACUGCCCCUUGCUAUUCAUGGGUAUGAAGGGCAGAAAUUGGUGAGCAAUACCAAUUUUCGAGAAAAAGGAGGGCAGGACAUGAAAUUCCCCACCCCAGUUUGUUUGAAUGGCUUUUAUUUUUUUUUUUUUGUGAAAAGUGACAUUCGACAAGAGCUUGGAAAGUAAGAAAAAUGAAGUAAAUAUCUCACUUUUCUUUAAGAGGAUAAUACCAAAUAAAUUUGGUGCAAUCUUCAACAAAAAUAAUGAAAUAACAAUAACCAUUAGUUGAAACAACAUGAGAAGAACUCCAAACAUCACUAUAAAUUAAAUCCAAUCAAACUAUGAGUUGGAGAUUCAACGAAGACAUUAUUUUCAAGUGCAAAUUUUUGAAUCAAAAGUAAACACUUAGAAAUAUCAGGGACAUGAAGAACAUCAUUUAAAUGUAAAGAAAGAUUUGAAAUAGAGGAGGGAAUAUAAUAAGUACCAAUAUUAGUGAUUUUGAGACCCUUACCUUUUUCGACAUGUAGUUGAUCUGAUCCAUUAUAAGCUUUGUAGGAAGAGAGGGAUUGUAUAAGGCAUAACAUGGUGUAAGGCACCCAUGUUAGGGUACCAAGGUAGGGUGUUGGUAGGUGUACGUAAAAGAGGGGGUAGGGCAUGGCUUAGGUUGGCAUUAGGAGAAUAAGAGGGUUGAGAAGAUGAAGUAGAAGAAGGGCAUGUGUAGGCGGUGGAUAAUAAGGUAUAUCUGGAGGACGAUAGUAGCAUGUGGGAAUAGUGUGAUUUGUAUGUUGACAGAUGGAACACCAUAAUUGACCAUGUUAAAAACCAUGGGUACCAUGACCAUAGCCAAAGUGGCGAUCGCAAACCCCGCGACCUCUAGACUGACCAUGGCUAGAGAAAAGAGGAACCAAGAGGGGUGGAGGCAUUUUGUCGAGUAGAGUUGGCUAUAGCAAAGUUAACUUGAGAGGAAGGCUUGUAGAUCUACAACUUCUAGAAGGCCUUAAUGCUCUCCGUAAACGAGAUUUUUUUUAGAAUGACCAAGUAAUAUAGGAACAAUGUCUUGGAGAUCAGAUUGGAGGCCGUAGAAGAUAUGGACAUUGAAAUCCUCUGGUUCAAGAGGCUUGCCUACAACACCCAUCUCAUCGACAAUGGAUUUAGCACGUUGGAGGCAAUCAAUAACUGAUUUGUCAUGUUUCUGUUGCAGAUGCUGAAGACUGAGAUGAAGAGAAAACACUUGUGUAGCGAAAGUUGAGCCAAAAGAGGCAUUGAGAGCAUCCCAGAUGGCUUUACUAGUUGGUUUACUUAUAAUUAGAGGUAAAAUGAUUCUGAGAGGGAUGCAAUUAGAAGACUCUUGAUGGAAGCGUUUUGUUAUUGUCAGAGAGCUACUUGGGGCUGCAUUAGAGGGACACAUUUUGGUUCUAUCAACAUGGUCAUAGAGGUUUUGUCCUUUGAGAUACGAGAUGACCCAUGCUUUUGAUAACAAGUAAUUGGAUGCUUUGAGACUUAGAGAAAGGAAGUGGUGAACAGAUCCAAAUGGAGGAAGUGUGGAAGCGGGGUUUAUAAUGGCAAUAAUGGUGGUGGUGGCGGGAAGAUUCUCUAGGGUCAUGAUGACCGCCCUUGUAGGGAACAAAAAAGGAGAAGAACGGUAGGGUUGAAAGUGGCGUUAGCCUUACAUGGCUCUUGAUAUCAUGUUGAGACAGAAAUUAUUGUGUAUUUCCAUUAAGCUUAAGUGAGUAUUUAUAUACCAAAAGUACGUUACGAAAGAUUUGCUUUCAAGAAGAGAAAUACAUCAAUUAGAAAACUUUCAAACUUCUAAAAAUUCCAAAACUUCCAAACCUGAUAGCUCCAUAUUUAGUUGAUAAGCAGCAGCAUUGUCAUCAACUCAGUUUGUACUUUAACAUCUAUUCCCGUGUUGUUUGCACGAGCUGAUAGACUUCUCUAGUGCCUCCGCUGCUUCGGACAAUUCGAGCAAGAACUUUUGAAUAAGGUUUUGGAUUAUCCAAAUUACUCGGUUUAAUUUGGAAAAAACAAUAUCAAAACAAAAGAUGGUCGUGGGCAUUCAAAGCAGAAAUGCGACAUCAUGAUAAUAAGUCGAAAGCUGCUAAGAUACUCGGGUGCUAAAGAAUGUCUAUGGUGCUCCUUCUUCGCCAACUCACCUCACGUAAAGAUGACGAAGCAUUCAACAAGGACCAUGCAUCAAUCUGAAAUGCACAAACCCUACUUUAAAUAUGGAGCAACUGUCUACCGGGGCUGAUAAUAGAGACGAUAUGCGAGCCAAAAGGCGGGACCAUAAAGAAGAACAUUUACAGCGGAGGCAGGAAUAAAGCUGACCAAUACUAGUGCCAAUUGUGAGAUUUUAUGAGACCGUUACGGAUUUGCUAAAAAAAUAAUCAAAGUCAAGCUUAAAAAAAAAAAAAAAUUUCUCUAGUUAAAGCGCUCUCCUCGACAAAAGGAGUCUUUGCUUGCUAUAAAUAGAUUUCUAAAUAAUACUAACAAGACAAGUGGAAGAUCGAAUUCCUCCCUUUCGAGUCCGAGCUUUCAAGUAGCCUCUGGAGUGGAGUGGUGGGAUUCGAUCUAUCAUUUCUUAUUUCUGUCCCUACGAUAUCUGCUCAGCAACAGCUAGAGAAGUAUAACUUAUCCUUUUGGUUCAGAAACUGGGUCUUUGGACGGUCGCUUCUACCGAAUGAAUUUGCUAAUAGAUACGGUGAAGAAUUCAGUUCUCAGAUCUCAAAGAUUUGACAAUUUCAAAUCCUCAUGUCGGAUGGAACCUUUCGAACCAAAUUCCGGGUAUAAAGUUUUGGUUAAUGAAGCCAGGCCACCAGGAAGAAAUUUUAUAGAAUCUUUGAAAACGAAGAGGAGUUUUUUUGUCAAGAUAGACUAAUAACUUAUAAAGUAGAUGAUUCCUAAACACUGAUUUAAUACGAUACUUAAUUCCCUUGUUAAGAAAAUAUUUGAUUAAUAUAAUACCAUCAAAUCGUCUUAAAUUAUAAAAGUAAAUAGUUCAAAUAUUUUUAUUACCUUUAGUUGUCCUAACAACUUUUAGACGCUCUACAAAGAGAAAAAUAGGAGUCGAUUACUCCUAUCUUUAAAAUAAUUUAUUAGCCCAAUAAGGUCUUCACUUAAAUAAGUUAUUUAAGAAUCACGCUUCGAAGCAAGCUUUUCACCAAGUCAAACCACUAGGAAAGUGAUGCUAGUGCUAAUAAUGAGAUUUUGUGGAAUAAUUGUCAACUAGUUUUUAAGAUUUUUUUUGGUCAUAGACUAGCUAUUAAGAUGAAUGUGUGGUUUAUCAUUAACUAGGAAGGUAAAUAAAAAGUUGUUAGAUGAAUGCUUUAUUUAUAAUUAAUAAUUCUAAUACCAAUGAUCCAUUUCACGAAGUGCUUAGAUCCAUAUGAGAAGAUAAUGUUUUGAAGUAUCUGGUUGAAUAAGACGCCUUUCUUUCCUUCUUUAUUUUUUAGAAUUUUUAUUCCCACAAUCAAUCUUUAAUGUUGUUAUUUCUUCAAUUAAAAUCUUUACUCGCUCUCUGAAUUCUAAGAAACUGGAACUAAUUAAUCGCUAAAUAGAGGGCUGGUAGCAUGUUUUACCAGCAUAUCUUAUGUCAAACUUCAAGUCUUUUGUAAUCGGUAAUUGCAUAAUUCUCAACCCAAAAUAAUAAAACUAACUAUAGUUUUCUCGUUUUAUGUUGUGAUAAUAAAUUAAUAAGAUAUGUAGGUUAGGUGUGCUAGCCUUUUCGAUGUAACUCAUCCUAUCUUUUUCCCACCUUUUUUUUUCUGUGUGUAAUUUUAAUAUUGGAGUUAAAACACAAAAAAUGAUAAACAAACGUACACUUUUCCAAGUUCCAAGCCACUUGGCAAUAGAAUAACCACAAAGUCAAUCCGUGAUUAGUUGCAAUCAAUUAUGUGCAUGCUAAAGUCUUGCGAUUCCCCCCCAUUAAUUAAUUCUUUCAAUCCGCCACUUCCAAAGUGCAUUUAAAGCAAUUCGUUAUUAUUAUUAUUAUUAUUGUUUAUACAUUGUUCUGAAAGUUGCCGCGCUUAUUAUCAGGCAGAAAUCCCAAAGCCAAGUGAAUCUUUCACCCAGUGUGUUUUUUCUCACCACAACUUGGUUCAAUUGGACAAAAUAGCGGGACAAGAAUGGCACUGUUAAUGUCUCCUCGGACAUGAGCUCUAGAGUUCAAAUUACAUUGAUCAUGCUUCAAUUUCAAGUGGUGGUCAAGGUACAAAACCUAACUUAGAGCCGAUGCUAGCCUCUCCGAAUCAUCAACUGAAUCAAACCUCUUCAAUUAGUGUCACAUAAAUUGAUUUUUCCAUGUACACGUGGAUCAGGACUGUAAACGCAAGGGAGCAUUUGGAUGGAUUGAGUUGAUGGAUCGGCGUGUUCUCAUGUGUGAUGGUAAAUAUCCGAUCUUCUUCAAGAUGAGGAUGUAUGUGUUUUCAUUUUCUUAGAAUUGAGCUAGCAAGUGCUCAAGCAAGUGUUAACCAUAAUGUGUCGCAACUGGUUGUAAUCUAUCCAAAGUCCUUUUGGCACCAUUAUAUCUUUUGCUUAUCACUAAUUUGCAACAAUUUUCUAAGAUUCACCUUUGAACCCUUUUAGAUAUGUAAUUUCAACGAAAUCAAUAUGAACUGAUAUGAGAACGAGGAUCAUCCUCUUCUGCGUUUGCUUUUUGCGAACCGCGAUGUACGAACUGCAUCUUCUUCAGUUUCAUCGCUGAUCAUUUAUGUGGUUUCAAAAAAAUAAACAAUGAAUUCUACCCUGAAAUAACCCUCUUUUGAUAGUAAUAAAUAGGAAAAAUGACCCAAAUGACUUUUAAAUUUUGACCUAUUGUGCAAUAUUAUCCCUAAUCUUCUAAUUUAUUUAAUGAAGUUCUUGAACUUUUGGUAAAUGUUUAAUGGACUUCUUCAUUGGUCAAACACAAAUUAAACAGUGUUUCAAGAAGUGGAUUAAUAUAUGCUGAGUCGGAUCAUUAAUAAUGAUGUCGACCAUGUUCAUCAUUUUAUUCAUCUACUUUAGAAAAGGAAAAAGAAUUAGGGCAUUAAAAUGUCCAGCAUUAUUUGAUAAUGUGUAUUAUUAUAUCUUGAAUUAAACUAAAUAUCUUACGUUAAAAAUCCAUGUGUGAUUUAAUUUUUUGUUCUACUGUUCAAACGUAAUGGUUUAGAAGUCAUAUUACUAGAGUUUGUUAACUUUAAUUAACGGAAGAACGACAUUAAAUAUUUUCAUAUAGUUUAGGAGCUAGAUUGAACAUUCGAAUCUAGAGACAACAUUGUAUAUUAAAGCAAAGUUUAGGGAUUAAUUGGGUCAUUUUCCAUUAUAAAUACAAUUGUCUCCUGUAUAUGAGCUUGCAACUGCAUAAAGGACAUUCACACGUCAUUAUUUCAUCAUUUUUUGCUAAAAUAUGCAUCACAGCUCACAACAUAUUACUAAGCAUUACUGCAGAUGGAGUUAUAGCGAAUUAUGGCUCUUCGUGAGAGAUUUAAAAAAAAAAAAAAAAACGGAAGCCUUUAGAAGAUAUUAAUAUGUAUUGAAUUUUCUAGACAUUAAGGUAAUUAUGCAUAUAUCUGUUAUUGCUUGCACAAAAAAAUUAGUUAGAUCGUCGACAUGAGUAGGCACGUGACUUAAGGACAAGUGAUUAUCAAUGCUAGACACAUAAACUAUUGUUGAUGAUCUCUAGCUUAAGAAAUCGAAUAAUAUAGGGAUCAAUUACUCUCCUUACUUGGAGUGCCGAUUUACUUCUUGGAUCUAUAAAAAAAAUCCAAGGUUUAUGUCGUGGUUGAGUGUCGCGACCUCUUUUUUUUCGGCGCCACAUCUGGGACGGGCGCCUUGCGGAGGCUAAUGGCUCGGUUGAAAUUAGUUAUGUCCAGACUCUCCCAAGUCCACCAAUUCACGACUUUAAUAGUCUGAGUUUUUAACCUGUAAAUCAAUUUUUAAAAUGGAGUCGCCACUAAUCGAUUUGGGGUGGGUUGAUUAGAAACCCAAGUGAAAUAUCGGGAGAAAUACUCAAUCCUGCGCAACUAGAGAAAUUAGGAUCGGGGACUUGAUUACACUAGUUAAUCACUAAUGCCCUUUCGGUACCUAAUCUUGUUUAAACCCUAAGGCUUUUUGGAUUUUUGAGGGAUUUUCCAUGCAUUUUUUGGGAGGAAAAACAUUUUCGAGUAUUUUUCUAAUUUUUUGGAUAUAAAAGGGAUUUUUUUGGACCUUUUUUGGUAUUUUUGGAAAAAAAAAAUACAGGUCUUUUUGGCUUUUUCUGAUUUUUUUUGGCUUUUUCAUGAAUUUUUGGUAUUUUUUUGGAUUUUUGGCAUUUUUUGGAAAAUAUGAAAUAUUAUUUAUUUUUUUUGGAAAAUAAAAUAUUUUUUGAUUUUUUGGAAAAUAAAAUAUUUUUUGAUUUUUUGGAAAAUAAAAUAUUUUUUACUGUUUUUCUUAAUAUUUUUCGAAAAUGAAACAUUUUUUGAUUUUUUUUGAAAAUAAAUAAAUUAUUUAUUAUUUAUUUAUUUAAAUAUUAUUUUAUAUUAAAAUAAUAUAAAAACUGACCUGGGUCGGAUCUGCGGGUUGGGUUCGACCCGGGUUGACGACCCAAAACGUGGACGGGCCUGCGUUGCGGGCUCGACUCAGAUUUUUUUUCUUUUUCUUAAAAACUCAGCCCACACACACGGAAUUGGGCCUAUUAAAAAAAGGAUGCUCGGCUCGCGGAGAAGCUGGCCUUGCGUAACCCUGGAGUGCCGGGUCACACGCCCGACCCGAGGACCCACUCCCCGCCGCGAAACCCUACCCAACCCGACUCCAGCACCCGACUUGACUUCCGCCGCCCCUUAAAUCGUAGAAACCCUACCCGUUUUCCAAACCCGGAUCCGCUUCGUGACCCAGAAAUCGCAAAUCCUAGGGUUUGCGAAUCCGCGGUGCCGAAGGGGGGGAAACAGGAGCACUCCAGCGGCGACGGCGACGGCUAUGGAAGGGGGCUACAAUGAACGGCAGGGACGAUGGCUACGGGCUUUUUACCUUGUGACAGCCUCAAUUUUCAGAAUUUGUUUUCGAUUAAAUAAAUCGGGCCUUUCAUCGAAACGCUAAUAGUGCUAUUCUCUGAGCUGAUCACUCACGAGAUAACUGGACUAUUUGGGAAUGCAAUUAGGGAAUCUAAAUGCAAUUGGACUUGAGAAUUCGACCAAGAAUCGACUACUCAACCGUGUUGAUCUGUAAGGGUCAUUACGGCAUCGUCAGAGAUCGAUCAGAAAUCAGAGAUAGGUCGAUUCGACUGAGAUAUGUGAUCAAAUUGUGGGUGAUUCCACUUGAUUGAAAAAUUCUCAUCGAUCGGCACUAAAUUGAUUUUUUUUUUAUCGUUUUGGUACUUGGUGCCCGUAAUUGAAACCUCGAGAUUUUCACGACAACUGAGAGUCGCUAAUGUGUCGAAGAUGUACUUUGUGACUCAAGAUAAAUCGAUCACAGGUCAAUUGCACCAAACAAAAAAAAUUCCUAAAAGUUACCCGGUAAACUAAGUCACGCUAAAAGCGCUGAUUGAAAAUAACCGUGAAGUUGAACCCGAUUUCAAAAAUUGAAAGUCCUGAUGUGUCACAAGCUAUUUUAGGAACGUCGACUCACUCUCCGAGAAAUUUUCAGAGAUUCCGGGAUUUUUGCGGAAAAUCGAUACGGACGUUGCGGAAAAUUAAGAGAAAUUCAUUUGGACUGAAUUUAAUCGAGUUUGGACUUUCAAGCCAAACCUGUGAGUGUCAGGGAUUUAUAGAAAAUCGUUCGGAAUUUUUCUUCAUCGAGAUUGGACCUCAAUUUGGGAAAUUGAGUGAAGAAAUUUAUCCUAAAAAUUUAUGAAAUUCGGAUCAAUAAUUGGGGAUGGAAUUUUGCACUUAAAUUGGGUUAUUUUGGUGGAUAAGUGAUUGGAAAGUAAUAGGGAACAUCCAAUUAAUGGAGUGGCUAAGGUUGUUGACUAAUAUUCCCUUUUUGGCUGGCUUCUACCUCACGAUUCAUCCCCCUCCUUCGGACGCUCACAGCCGCACACUCACCACAGCGUCCCUUCUCGUCCGUGUGCUACUUCACUUUCAUUUUCAUUGUUCAGCUCCUGCUUUCAUUUUUUUCCUUUUUCCUUCGCUCAGCAAAGUCCACUGAGCUGCUCCCCACGAAGAUCGAAGCCACAACCCACCGAUCUUCUCUCUCUCGUGGCUGUCCCCAAGCUAGUCAAUUGCAGCGAUUUUCUUCAAGUUAGUUGACCCAACUUCCUUGCCCACGAUUCCACCGUCUACUUCUUCACCGCUUCGUGCCUUCAAGUCAGCUCACCAAGGUCAGUAGCAACGGCCGUUUGUUGACCCGUUGCUCGCGCCUCCCCACCCAUCUGCCGUAGCCUCAUCUCCUUUCAUUUUUUUUUAAUCUCCACUGAAAUCCAGCUUCAAGUGGCGUGCAUGGCUCGGUCAAUCUUUUGCCAGGGAAGCCCCCACUGUUGACCACCAAACGCCCCCUUCUCCACCAGCUCUUGUCGUCCACCCACAGUCCUCACGCCGCCCAUCAUCUCCAACGAUUUCAUUUCUUUGGCCAGCUCGACGCCAACGAAUCUCUCAGCUCCGUUCCUGUUUCGGUUGUUCCCGUAUCCAGCUGCCAGCGAAGCCCGCUCGUGGAUCAGCAGUAACGCAUGAAGCCCAACUUCAUUUCUUCAGCCCGUAUCAGCCCAGCGAUUCGAGUCCAUUUAAUUGGGUCUUCAGCCCAAUUCAUCAAGGACCAAUUCCAGCAAGUCAAUUGAAGCCCAAGUCCACCGAAGUUUAGCCCGCGAAUCAAGUGAAGCCCAGCCCAAGUUGGAAACAAAUCUCAGAUUUGGGCUGAGAUUUGUUGGGCCAAGUUUAGGCCCGGCCCAAGUUUGUUGACGCCGCCGAAAAUUAAGGUUUUAGCCGCUGUCGCGCCGUCGUUGCGGUGAACCGGUUUCCGCAAUUAACCGGUGAGUUUAUACUCUAAACUCUGCUUAGUAGGCUAAUAACGUUUAAAGGGUGUUUAGAUUUAUUUUAUUAGGAAUUAGGUGGUUAGUUAGAUUAAAUUAGAAAUGUAAUUAUUUAAUUGAGCAUGUUAGGCGGUUAACAUGGUUUAGCUAAGGCCUAAAUAAAGUGUACUGUUUAUCUAGAAGGGUUCGGGAAUUUUCUGAGUCCGUAUUAGCUAUUAAUUUAAUGAUUCUGGCCUAGGUUAGUAUUUUUAGAAUUUAAAUUGAUUUAUUUAAUUAAUUUCAGUAAUUAUUUAAUUAUUAAUUAUUUUUCCGGAAAUUAGGCCGGGAUAGCCGGUGACCGGAAUUUCGUGCUGAUUUCAAUUGUGUGGUUAAUUUAUGCAAUUGAAUGUUAAAUUAUGCAAUUUGAGUACUGAUUGGAUUUUUAGUAUUUAAUUCCAAAAAUUGUGAAUUUCCAAUAUUUAUUCAGAAAAUCCCAAGUGUUGGGAUUUGACACCGAAACCGGCUUUUAGUACUAUAUGAAAUUGUGGGAUUUCAAAAAGGAUGAAUAUCACUUUUUCUGAAUCAAGUUCCCACACACGAGUAAUUUCAUGUGAAUUUCCAAUACGAAGGAAAAGGCCAGGCUCACCAUUUUAAUUGAAGCAUUUGAGUAUAAUGUACGGUGUCCUGGGCCAUAUUUGAGUGAUCGUGUGAUGGUCAAGAGAAAUCAUCCCGGGCUAUUGAGCUGGAUGUUAUCCCUAUUUGAGAUACCCCCUAAACAACGGGAAGCCGGUCGCAGUUGAUUCUGGACCCUAUGCUCCUUCGGGAAAGCCGUCUGAUAAAGAGACGUGCUGUGCUCAAUGGGGUGAGACGAAGCCUGGCAAUGCCAGAAGACCGCCGAACUGAGAGUAGGCCGUGCUAUAUGCCGAGAUCAAAUCUAGGAACGCAUGAUUAAUUGAGUGUGGCGUUUCAGUUAUUGGAGCUUAUUUGUUGCUCAUGCUCUCAUGUUGUCUGUGAGAUAAAUUGUACUGACCUACAGGGUGGAUCUGAGACGAGGUAAGUCUCAUUGAUUGUGUGAUUGUGUGAUUAGGACACUUAUGGGCGCAUUUCUCUCCUAAUUGGGGUUUAGAGCUUAGACUCGCUGAGAUGAUAUCUCACCCCGUUGUGGGACAACAUUUUCAGGGUCAUCGAGUGGACGACUUGGAGCUGAGAGGAGGUGAUCGGAAGCGUAGGUCAGCUAGGACCGCUUCUUUUUGGAAGACCAGUCUUUUGUAGUCUUUUGGCCAUAGACCUGUGUACAUGACUCAAUGUAUAUAUAAAAGCAUGUUUGUUUGUGAAUCUAUUGUCCUACCUUUCUAUCCCGAGAUGAUUACUGUCAGAGGAUUUAUUUUCACUUUCGCAUGUACAAUAAAAUGGAAAGGGUCGGCGACUCGUCCUGGGAAGUCGCAAAUUAUUAUCGACUAGAUAGGGAUGGGCACGCGCUCAGGGUUCGGGGCGUGACAUACCUUUUCUUGAACGGGGGCAACAACGGCGACGGCAGGGGGCAAUUUGCGACGGUGGAAGCCAUGACGGUGACGGCGAGGCCUGGGUUUGGUUAGAUCUGGCCGGGGCUCUCUCUCUCUCGGGCUCGGGAUGGCCCUUCGAGCUUCGGAGGAGAAGCGGCUCGUGGGGGGACAGUAGUAGCAAUUGGCGUCGGGAUCUCGUGGUGUCGGCGUCGCGGAAGGGCUGAGUCGCCCUUGAUCUGCGACGCAGCUCUCGGCCGGACCCUCCUCAGGCUUGAUCUUCUCUCACUCAGGCCAGAUUCGAGCCUCCACCGGCCGAAUCUGACCUUCUCGAAGUCGCUCGCCGCCGGCCUUCCCCGAAGUCUCUCGGUGGAGGGUAGGCUGAGCUCGCGACUCGAGUUCUCUCUCGCUUGCUAUUCGAUUCCUCCCCCAAAGUCUCUUAGUGGGAAGAUCUCAGAGCCCACUUGUGUUCUUUGACGAUGGAAGCGCUCCGCUAUUUAUAGGCGAGGAGGUCCGGUCGACGGAGAGCAUGCCGAGUAGUUCUCCUCGGCUGAACCGGCGUCCCAUCCGAGCUUAUCCAGCGAAGCGUGCUUGGCAUUGAUGGCGCUUGAGAUCUUAUCCUCUCAGGCUGACGUCAACCUACUCCCCUCGGCCGUAGGCCGUCCUUCGCACACAUCGCCGGCCACCGCGCAUGAGAUGCAGGCGACUGAGGAAGAAGAAGACAUGAGGAAGAAGAAGAGAGGGGGGGUCGGGCCAAAACUCAAGAAAACAAGGGCUGGGCCCUAGGUUCGCGCAAGGGAGAGAAAAAGAGGGGAUGGGCUGGGCUUUUGCUUUCUUUGGUUUUUUCUUGUUUUUUUUUUUUUUUGUUGUUGUUGUUGUUUUGUUGUUUUUAUUUGUUUUUUUGUUGUUUUUGUUAUUUAUUAUUUAUUAUAUGAAAAAAAAGAGAAAUAAAAGAAAACAGGGCCUAAUUAAUAACUUAAUCUAAAUUUAGGUGUCAACAGCUGCCUCUUUUUGAAAGUGAGUUCGCAGAGGUUGCAUUCAAAGACAAACCUGAUACCUAAAUUUUGUCUAUACAUAUGCAAUAGAUUAUACUUUAUUUGGGACCUAUUAUUCUAUGCAGAAAAAGAGCAAUACUAAGACAGAUAAGAAGAUACCUGUAAUUACUUACCGGGAGUGAGUGAAAUAGGGUGUGGUGUGAACCCCGAGUUUUGGCAAGUAUCAAUGCGUCAUCUUACCUGGUGAUGUGAGGAGGUUGCUUUUCCAGGGCUCGAACCAUUCUUUGGUCGACUGUUAAAACAAUCAAUGAUUUGUCUAGGACCCGAACAUUUUUUCGAUUGUCUUGACGGGAGAUUGCUCCUCCAGGACCCGAACCAUUCUUCGGUCGCCAUGACGGGAAAUUGCUUCUCCAAGACCCAAACCAUUCUUCGGUCACCUGUUAAAACAAUCAAUGAUUUGUCUAAGACCCGAACCUUUCUUCGGUCGCCUUGACGGGAGAUUGCUCCUCCAGGACCCGAACCAUUCUUCGGUCGCCUAUUAGAGCAAUCAGUAGUUUGUCUCGGACCCGAACCAUUCUUCGGUUGCCGUGAUGGGAAAUUGCUUCUCCAGGACCCAAACCAUUCUUCGGUCGCCUGUUAAAACAAUUAAUAAUUUGUCUAGGACCCGAAUCUUUCUUCUGUUGCCUUGAUGGGAGAUGCAUCGACCUUUCUCAAGGCAUCUCAUUUGUGGGUGCCUGAUUUGUAUCGAGGACACCAGUUGGUACCCGACCUUUCUCGGGAGGAUGCACCGACCUUUCCCAAAGCAUCGAUUUGUGGGGUGCCCGACUUCUGUCAAAGACACUGGUUGGAACCCGACUUUUCUCAGGAGGAUGCACCGACCUUUCUCAGGGCAUCGAUUUGUGGGGUGCUUGACUUUUAUCGAAGACACCAGUUGGAACCCGACCUUUCUCGGGAGGAUGCACCGACCUUUCUCAGGGCAUUGAUUUGUGGGGUGCCUGACUUCUAUCGAAGACACCAGUUGGAACCCGACCUUUCUCGGGAGGAUGCACCGACCUUUCUCAGGGCAUCGAUUUAUGGGGUGCCUGACUUCUGUCGAAGACACCAGUUGGAACCCGACCUUUCUCGGGCAGAUGCACCGACCUUUCUCAAGGCAUCGAUUUGGGAGAUACCUAGACAUUCACAGGCAUAUUAAAGAGUACCUGGAUAUUCACAAGUAUUAACAUGAAGGAUAUUUGGGCCUUUGCAGGCGUCGAAAUGGGUAUUUCGCUGACCAUAGGCAUUGAAGGGGUAUUUGGAUGAUCACAAUUAUGAAUUCUUGGGGCAUACUUGGACAUUCACAAGUAUCGAAGGGGUACUUGAUAAUUGGAAAUAUUGAGAACAUACCUUGGAUAUUUGUGAAGGUGUCCCACCUCCUAGUAAUUGGGAAAUAUCGAGGGCGUACCUGGGAUAUUUGUGAAGGUCUCUCACCUCCUAGUAAUGGGAAUAUCGAGGAUGGAUCUCGCAUAUUCGUGAAGGUCUCUCACCUUCUGGUAGUUAGAAUAUUGAGGACGUGCCUCAUAUAUUCGUGAAGGUCUCUCACCUCCUGGUAGUGGGAAUAUCGAGGGCGUGCCCCGCUUAUUCAUGAAGGUCUCUCAUCUCCUGGUAAAGGGGAAUAUCGAGGACGUACCUAGGAUAUUCGUGAAGGUCUCUCACCUCCUGGUAAUUGGGAAUAUCGAGGAUGUGCCUUGCAUAUUCAUGAAGAUCUCUCACCUCCUGGUAAAGGGGAAUAUUGAGGACGUACCUGGGAUAUUCGUGAAGGUCUCUCACCUCCUGGUAAUUGGGAAUAUCGAGGGCGUACCUGGGAUAUUCGUGAAGGUCUCUCACCUCCUGGUAAAGGGGAAUAUCGAGGACGUACCUGGGAUAUUUGUGAAGGUCUCUCACCUCCUGGUAAUUGGGAAUAUCGAGGGCGUACCUGGGAUAUUCGUGAAGGUCUCUCACCUCCUGGUAAUUGGGAAUAUCGAGGGCGUAUUGAGAUAUUUGUGAAUGUCUCUCACUUCCUGGUAAAGGGGAAUAUCGAGGACGUACCUGGGAUAUUCGUGAAGGUCUCUCACCUCCUGGUAAAGGCGAAUAUCGAGGACGUACCUGGGAUGGCCUCUCACCUCCUGGUAUUGCAAAUGUCGAGGGUGUGCCCCGCGUAUUCCUGAAGGUCUCUCACCUCCUGGUAUUAUAAGCUUGAAUGUGGCACGCGGCUUACCUGGAUGGCUGCAGGCACUCAAAAGGGCUAGAGCACCUGGGUAGCUACAGGUGUACAAAGCACUAGAAUACUCGGAUGAACACAAGUAUUUAAUGAUAUGAUCUAGGACCACUCAGGCUGGUUCAAGUGCUAGAGAGCAUACCUGGAUGGCAGUGCCAAGCAAAGCAAUGGAAUGCUUGAACAGCUGCUAUAUUAUUUGGGGACAACUCGGGCAGGUUGAGUGUCAUGAAAAGGAAGUACCUAGACAACGGUGGGUACUUGACGAUAUAGGGAUACCUAGACAGCAGUAGGUAUUCCAAGAGAUACUUGGUCAGUCACAAGUAUCAAUACUCUGGGGACAAUUCGAAUCGGUCGACUGUUAGGAAAAUGGAGUAUCCGAACAGUGGCCGGUACUCAAAGACAAUGGAGAUACCUAGACAACAUUAAGCACCCAAAUUCAAAGGACGACUCAAAUAGGUUGAGUGCCAAUAAGAGAGUACCUGGACAGUGAUAGGUACCUUAAGACAAAUGGGGAUAGAGAUAUGCUUACUUGGCAAUAUCUCUGAUCUCUAAGAGUAUGUUUACUAUUUGCACAAUAUGCACACAUGAUUGUAUAUGCUGUAAAUUCAUGAGUUCAAAUGAGAUUUAUGCAUGAUAAUUUUGUCAGUUCUGCAUCUUUUGAUUUCCACUGGGGAAGAUUUUGAAAGACAACCUUCAUUUAGAAUGUAGAUGUCUUGAGCAUGCUAGAUGAGGGACUUUCAGUCUGAAAAGACUUUCCGCUCACUCUCAUGGAAAAGGCUAUCCUGACCAUUGAUGUAGGAUUUAUAAGGACCACACUAUCUCACUAUCAUCAUGUUAGCAUGGGUCCGAGUAUUCUCGCAAACAGUACGACUUUACCAAUGUGAGAGGUCUUUGUUGAAACUGCGAUGAAGUCUUGGUCAGCGGCUCAUCGAAGGGGACCAUCAAGGUCAAGGCUUAUGAAUGGAGUGUCGCACGAUUGUCUCCGGGUUUGCAAGUCAAGAAUCCUGCGAAAAGAGAUAGAGUAAUCUUACUCAUACUUCUUCGAGCGAUGUUUAUAGAUAUAUGAAAUCCUACGUUAAUUGAAGUGCCCUAGUUUGAAGAGACUUUUACAAUGGGAUGUAACGUAGACUUGGCUCACAUGUAAGAGGGUGAGAGUUGGUGAUUGUUUUGGCAUUUGUCACUAGUCUUUCUUGUCAGAUGGAGGUUCUAUGGACCACAACAAAUUUUCUUUGCUGUAUUUUUUACUAGGGGGCAUUGGCCUUGCUUUUACCAGGCACGCUGCUUUUUUCAUGCCUCUAUUUUUAUUCUAGUUCUUCUUUUAUGGGCAUUGACCUUGCUCUUACCAGGUACACUGCUUUUUUAUGCCCCUAUUUUUUUCAUUCUUGUCAUUAGAGGAACUAGCCUAGGCAAGUUCAAUCACGAUACUGUUGUUAGACUCUUGAGUCUUUGUCUUCAGCUAGCGCUCCGAGCUAUGCUGUUUAAAUGGUAGUAACUUCUGUUUUGCCUCCACGUGAGGGUGAAAUUACAGACUCAAUUGGGUUGUACAAUGAAUACAAGUGCGUAGAGAAAGAAUUACUCUUCAUCAUUCUAAGGCACUUAAAUUAACGCGAGUGUUCAUAUGCAAUAAAGACACCCGAAGAUUGAUGCAAGUGCGAGCAAGAAAAUUUCUAUCUCUCUUCUCACCUUGUGAUGCUGCUUUGCCUUCGCUCUACCCCAAUGUGGGGUGGUUCUUGACGAGGGUAUGAGAGAAGCUUCACCAGUGUAUGGGGCUUGAUGGGGGUGAGCGAUUGAAUGCCUCUCACUAUUUGGUUAUCGUACCAUUCGUGAGAGAACUCUUUACCCUGCAGCCAUGGAAUCUUUUGCACUCAUCUCACAAGUGUAUAGAUGGGGGGGGGGGGGAUUGUGUGUAGGAUAUGGCUUGCCUUUCAUCAUUCUGACGCGCCUCAUCUAGCAUGCUCAAUUAAUCUUGUAUUCUUCACUUAGCUGUCUAUUCUAAUAAUCCUUAAUAGAAUCAAAGAUUUAGACAGACAAAAUUGCCAUGCAAAAUUCACCUGGAAAAAGGCAUGCGGCAUUUUAAAUGUGAUGGAGUUUGUACUCUCAGAACAAAUGAAUGGUGUUGGCUCAAAAAGUCCUUCUUAGUACCUUUAAGGGUCAACAGAAUGGUGUUUCCAAAUAUGUUAGAUUUUGAACAUCAAAAAGAUUAUUUGCAAAUGGGUGUCGAUGAUUGUCCCUAUUGAUUAGGGAUAUGACACAUGAAUGAUCAGCCAAGGAUUGGGAAUCUGAUUGGGCAUCUCUGCUUUUGCUCCUGCAGAAGAGAAGAUGUACAAGCAGAUCAAUUAGUCUGGCCAAAAUUAAACUGUGAGUUGAGGCUUGAAGAUUUUCUAUCAUUUGCUUUGGCGAUUACUCAGGACGCCAUUUCGUUUAGGGGAGUUUGUCAUGCCUCUCAUUGAUUUGUUAUUUGUGUUUUUGACAGUCAGGUGAGCCUGCAACAAAUAAGACAUGCUUCUCACUGAUUUGUUAUCCUUGCUUUUGACAGUCAGGUGAUCCUACAACAAACAAGAGGGAAUGUAUUAGUCAUGAACUCUUUCAAGAGUCGAAUAAUUGGAAUCGAUACAACUUUACCCUUCACUGGUUUGCAGAUGAUUGGGUGAGCCUAAAGUGAGAGGGAGACAUGAAGUCCUAUGUCUCUUGCUUCGUUAGGUCAAUUAUUCUCUGAAUUGACUCCUGGAUGACACGUCCUUUUACACGAAGCCAGGUGAAUUUGAUGUGGGUCAUUUCCAUGUACUAGCUUGGCCAAUAUUGAUUUGCCAAACCAUCAAAUUUGGCUCUUGAAUCCUGGUGCUUCCUGCCAAUAUGGGGAAUAUGUCAAAAGUGAAUUCAAAGAGGGGGGAGUAUUGGAAACGAUACCAAAUUACUCUUCUCCAAAGUUUGUAUUUGCUGACUCCUAGGGAUAUUUGAAUGUUGAUGACAGCCUUUUUGUCUUGGCAUAGUUUGACAUUUCUUUCAAUUGGCAUUCCUCACUCAUGGUCACGUAUGCAUGAUUAAUGUUUGUCGAUUUAUCUUCAACGCCAUCAUUCUAUGGAAUUUUCUUCUGUCUUUGACUAUAUGACCAUUAGCAACAUUGGGCAAAGUUAUGUACUUCAAGCUUCUAUGGAAUCUGAGAUGGACAAUCAAAACUUCAAAUUCUCUGAUGGAAAUCACUUCUUGGGAGAGCAUGUGUCUGGAGCACGAAGUGAGGUUUCUAGGUCCUAAGUCAUCAUUUGAGAUAAGGGGCUAGAGACUGCCUCAACUGACUAGAUUUUCUCCCUGUUGACAGUAGCCAAUUCAAGAGGAGAAAUUCUUUUUUUGUGCUUCUUGGCUUGUCAAAGCUGGAAAUCACAUUGAUGAAACCACAGCAUUUAGUUGCUCAGGCAUGUUGUGGGGAAAAGAUGUUGCUACGACUUGAGAAGGAGUUGGGCAAGAGCAAUGUGGAGUGUACAGAGCUCUUUGGGAACGGCUUGAUUUCAACCGUAUGCCUGUACCUAUUACGUCCUAUUUUCGUUUCCUGUAAAUAGAAGAGAAAUGACAUCAUUUCCAAAUUAUAUUCAGAGAAUAAGGCUUACCCUUUUUUGGUGUAGGAUGAUUCUUUCUAUUUGCCCUUGUUUUCUUGGCAAGUGUCUUUGAAUUUGGCGAGUUCACCUGAUGCGCUUGCUUCAAAUGCCCUCUGUCACACUAAGUCAAAGGGGACGUGAAUGAUCUUCUGAGACAUGAAGUGAGUGAGUCAGAAAGACAAACAUGAUUAAAUUUAUUAUCUUGUUUUAACAAAAGCUUUUGGCUAGUGAAAUAUUUUUUAUUUUCAAAAUACGUCUUUGGGGGAGAAAAAGCAUGAGGAAGCCCAGCCCUCAGUAUUCUCCUUGGAUGAUAUUUUCUUUUCAUGGUUGGAUAACAUCACCAGGCUGGUUUGGAGUACCGCCUCAUGCUCUUAAAAAAAAAUAUUAUAACAGUACAAUAGAGUACUUGGAAUAGAAAAUACAACAGUAGCACACUAGACAAGAUAAGAAACAUGAAAUUAUAAAAACAAGUAAAAUCCAUGAAAACUCCUAUGUAAGGGAGUGCUUUGAUAGUGUUGGUUCUGAAAUCAAGCGCCUUUGAGUUCCUCGCCUCCAGUAGACUAGAAGUAUUCGCAUGAGAGGACCACUUCAUUGAAGCUAUGGAAAUGCAACCCAUGCAACCAACAACGAUGCUUUCGAGGUAAAGCCCCUAUGAAUAGCUUUAUCAUUUCUUCUUCGGCCAGCUGAGGGUAAGUUUGCAUCAUAAAAUCCUCCCACCUCCUUGCAUAUGCUCGGAAACCCUCCAUUGGUCUUCUUCUGAAGUGAACUAAGUUCUGACAAGGUGCUUCAGUCCCAAUCUGGCUUUAAUACUGAAGCAUGAAUGCAGAAGACAGCUCAUUCCAAUCUCUCAUGAGGUAGAUAUCUGCUGUGAUGAACCAUUGUAAUGCAGAUCCCGUAAGACUUUCUUGGAAUGCCUGAGUUGUGAAUGACAUCGGGCCGUAGUACCGACUCAUUUCAGCGUGGAGGUACUGCAAAUGAGCCACGGGGCAAGUUGUGCCAUUAUACUUACGGAGAUUAGGUAUCCACAUCUCUCCAGGGGUCAUGAUCCUAUGAAUGCAAGACGGGCUUGAUGUAUCCUGGUUAGGCCACUGGUUUUCCCAGUGCAUAUUUGUUGUAGUGGUGAAUUUUUCUGUUUCAGGGAAGUUGGACUCUACCGAGAUUACCCCUGUCGCGACCUCCUCGAAGCAGGUUGGACCACCUAAGGGUUCGGCUAAUGGAUUGUUAAGCCUAGACUUAACUCGGGCUCUCCCAAGCCCAUACCAAUUCGCGACUUAGGUUCAAGUUCUUAAUAUGCAAAUGAUUUUUAUCAUGGAGUCGCCACUAAUCUAUUUUGGGUGGGUCGAUUAGAAACCCAAGUAAAGUAAUGGGAGAAUUACUUCACUCCUACGAACCAGAGAUUAAAUGAGUUCGGGGACUUGAUUACGCUAGAUUUCUCUAACGCCCUUUCGGUACCUUUUCCUUUUUUAUUUGAAAAAAUAUUUUGCAGGCAGCUUGAAUUGAUUUUAAUUUAUCCUCCUAACAUGUGAGGUGAUCAUGCGGAUGCGCAAACCACCAAUUUAACACCCAAGAAAGCGAUGAAUAAAUUGCAGGACUUACCUCAUAGCAACGAAAGCAUCUGCAUUGUUAGAUCAGAAUUCACAUCAACAGACCUAGAUAUGAUUUCUAAUUAACAGGCAAUUUCCCUUUUUUUUUUGUUUUUACUUAUUUAAUGAGAAUCAUGCAAUAUGCAAUGCAUGCUACUAAUCUAACAUGGAAUGGCAUGACAAUGUUUUCUAAACUACAUGAUGUGAGUAAAAUAUUUUUUUUUUUUUGUGUUUUCUUAAUGAACAUGCAAUAAUUAAGGGACAUGCUAUCUCUUCUAAAACAUGCAUUUUUUAAAAGAAAGCCUAUUAUGCAACCUACAAAAAACUAGCAUCCUAAAUUAAUUAAUUUUUCUUGGGAUUUUUUUUGUAAAAAUUUGAAAUCAAAAAUCCUAUUCUAAAAUGACACAUGCAAUUCUUAAGAAAAACUAAUAUCCUGAAUGCAUUUUUUUUUUGUUAUUUUUUAAAAACGAAAUAACUAAGUAUGGUAACCCUAGCCCUAAUCUAACUUGCAUUUUUUAAAUUUUUUAUGCAAAAUAUCCAAUUCAAUCAAGAUAAGAUUCAUACCCAAAAUUGACGAACCAUAUCUCGCGCAUGAGAUCGGGUUGGUCAAUUUUAAAUUAAAUCGCGAAUCGAAUCUCGGGCAUGAGAUUGGAUUGUCGAUUUUUGUACGAGAUCGUGCGUCGGAUUUCGGGCGCGAAAAUCAAACUCCUAAUCCCUAGUUUGAGGGGUUAUUUUACAUUGGAAUUUCAAUCAUACGCUAAUGAAUAAUAACGCUAAAAAACUAUAUAAAAACAAACUACAAACUAUAUAACAAAAAGAUAAAAUAAAAUAACAUAACUACCUAAUGUCCCCCUUUUGUUUUUUCUUUUCUUUUCCCACGAUAGGCUUGGGCUCGUGCGGCUUUUGGUGGGGGUCACCGUCGGAAUGGGUGUAGUCGUCGGAGCUCAAGCAAGGGCGGACCGGCGGCAUUGGCAGCAGCGGACUCGAGCGAAACAGCAGCGGCACUCGGACGGAAGUCUCGGGUGAGACUCGGAUCUGCACAGCAGCGGCUUCGUCGAGCGGAGUAGAGUCACUGGGCUAGCGGAGGCGGCGCGGCGGUCAGCAGCAUGUGGUCGUGUUGCGGCGCGGUGGUGCUCGGAGAAAGGCGAGCAAGGUGGUCGUCGGCGCUGGGUCGCAGCGAGGGAGACGGAGGCGCUGCAGCAGAGGAUAGAGCGGCUCGGCAGGGGCGAUUCGGCGUCUACUCGGGCUCGGGCGAAGCAGGGAGAGGCGGAGUGGUGGUGGAUGCUGGUUGUCGUGGACGGUGCGAGCUGGCGGCUGCUGGCGUCGGAGCUCAGGCGAGGGGACCAGCGGCGGGCAGAGGCAACUGCCGCGACUGGUGCAGCGGCAGAGGGCGGAGCAGCUUGGGACGCCGGGGCGGGAGUGCAGGUGCGGGCAGCGGCGACUUCACGGGCUGCUGGUGUCGCGAGGGACUGAGCGGCGGUGGAGAGCAAUGGCGUCGUGGCUGGGUCGCGAGUGUGCAGAGGCGCGGCAACAACAGGGACGGUGGUGCUGCGACGAAGGAGCUGGGGCGCAGUGAUGGGUGCUCGCGGCGUCGGGCGGUGGUGCAGGCGCGGGCUGCGAGCGUCAGGGUCGGCUCAGAUCUGGGCGACGGCAGUAAUGGUGGCGGAGGGGUUGUCGCGACCACAACAGGGGCGACGAGGGGCAGUGCGAGCUCGUGGGUGGUGCUCGCACGAGGGCGGCCGGCGGUGCGGUGGCUCGGCUGCUGGUGCACCGGCGAGUGCAGCGGCGCAGACGCGGGCGGAGUAGCAGAAACCGGUGGAAAUCCAGCAGCGAAGAACUCCUGGAGAAGAUGAACAGUAGGGGUCUUGUCUUUGCUUUUUUUCCCCCUCUCUCUCUUUCCUGUCUUCAGUCUCUGCCGUCUCUCUCUCUGUUUUUUUGUCUUUUUUAAUCUCCUCCCCCUGACUUCAUAUUUUCUUCUUUUUUGGUUUUUCUCUGACACACUCCCUUCCCUUCAGUCGUCUAAUCGAAAGAGAAGCCUUUCACAAUGAAAUUUUUUUCUUUUUCGCCCUCCCCCUUGACGCGGCUUCUUGUGGUCUUAUUUAUAGGCCGUCCAUUGCCUCUUGAAGAUAGCCAACUUUAUUGUGACAAGAUGCAGCCGCAACUUUUCCAGAAUUUAAGCUGAACUUUGCCCUUUUUUAAUCUUCUCUAGUCCUUUCUUUCGGCCACCACUCCGCUCUUCCGCGGGGAAAUCUUCUUGCAGGCACCUGUAGGAUUUUUACGCCCCCCAUUUCGUGCGUGUAUGUGCAUGCAUUAAUGAGGAGGUUUCUUCUUCAGUGAAUUUUCAUUGCGCCAUCAAAGCUGACAUAUUAUAUAAUAUUAUGGGCAUAUUAUAAUAAUACAAUAUGGGCAUAUUAUAUAAUAUAUUAUGGGCUGCUUUUGCUUCUUUCCUCUUUUUUUUCUAUGCGUGUUCAGACCAGCGAAAGAGGGACCAUCCUUUUAUGCAUGCAAUCGACCGAGAGCCCCUGCUUCUUGUUGUCCUCUUAGUACCGAUGCAAAUGCGACUACAUGAAAUGCAAUUUUACUAUUUUUUUUAAAAGGAGUUAAAGAUUAAUCCCUAAUUUUCUAUGCAAUUAAUUACUACAUGAUUAGUCAAAAUUUAGGUGUCAACAGCUGCCCCUCUUUGAAGGUGAGCUCGCAGAGGUUGCAUUCAAAGACAAUAUGAUACCUAAAUUUUGACCAUGAACAUGCAAUGGAUGAUAUUUUGGCGGGACUAUGGAUCCCUUUUUUUUUUUUUUUUUUUGAAAUGCAAUUUAUAUGAUGCAUGGAAAUGCUAAUGCCAGUGAUAAAAGGAACUUACCUGGAAUAACUUACCUUCGGGGAAAGUAGAGUAACUCGAGAUAAUUGGUGUUACAUGUCCAGGACCCGUACCAUUCUACGGUCGCCUAGAAUAGUAACAUGACUUUACAAAGAGACUGCUUUCCCAGGACCCGUACCAUUCUACGGUCGCCCAGUAUAGCAUUGCUUGGUUGUGUCUAGGACCCGUACCAUUCUACGGUCGCCUAAACGAGGAAAAUUUUUAAGACAUCCAGAUCCAGCCUGAGAUGUCAAGAAUUUGGGAACUUAACCAAUAGACACUCAAUGUUAGGUGAGAUGAAUAUUGGAUUAAGAGGGUUCGAAAUACCUAGAUCCAUACUAAGGUAAAACGAGAAAGAUCAAAAAACAUUCACAUCCAGAGUGAAAUGUUUAACGAAGAGUUUUCAGACAUCCAGAUCUAGACUGAGAUGUUAAGAAUUUUGGGACUUAACCAAUAAACACUUGAUGUUAGGUGAGAUGAAUAUUGGAUUAAGAAGAUUCGAAAUACCUAGAUCCAAACUAAGGUAUAACGAAAAAGAUCGAAAAACAUUCACAUCCAGAGUGAAAUGUUUAGCGAAGAAUUUUGACAUCCAGAUCCAGACUGAGAUGUCAAGUAUUUUAGGGCUUAACCAAUAGACACUCAAUGUUAGGUGAGAUGAAUAUUGGAUUAAGAAGAUUCAAAAUACCUAGAUCCAGACUAAGGUAUAACGAAAAAGAUCGAAAAACAUUCACAUCCAAAGUGAAAUGUUUAACGAAGAGUUUUGAGACAUCCAGAUCCAGACUAAGAUGUCAAGAAUUUUGGGACUUAACCAAUAGACACUCAAUGUUAGGUGAGAUGAAUAUUGGAUUAAGAAGAUUCGAAAUACCUAGAUCCAGACUAAGGUAUAACGAAAAAUAUCGAAAAACAUUCACAUCCAAAGUGAAAUGUUUAACGAAAAGUUUUGAGACAUCCAAAUCCAGACUGAGAUGUCAAGUAUUUUGGGGCUUAACCAAUAGACACUCAAUGUUAGGUGAGAUGAAUAUUGGAUUAAGAAGAUUCGAAAUACCUAGAUCCAGACUAAGGUAUAACGAAAAAGAUCGAAAAACAUUCACAUCCAAAGUGAAAUGUUUAACGAAGAGUUUUGAGACAUCCAGAUCCAAACUGAGAUGUCAAGAAUUUUGGGACUUAACCAAUAGACACUCAAUGUUAGGUGAGAUGAAUAUUGGAUUAAGAAGAUUCGAAAUACCUAGAUCCAGACUAAGGUAUAACGAAAAGGAUCGAAAAACAUUCACAUCCAAAGUGAAAUGUUUAACGAAGAGUUUUGAGACAUCCAAAUCCAGACUGAGAUGUCAAGAAUUUUGGGACUUAACCAAUAGACACUCAAUGUUAGGUGAGAUGAAUAUUGGAUUAAGAAGAUUCGAAAUACCUAGAUCCAGACUAAGGUAUAACGAAAAAGAUCGAAAAACAUUCACAUCCAAAGUGAAAUGUUUAACGAAGAAUUUUGAGACAUCCAGAUCCAGACUGAGAUGUCAAGUAUUUUGGGGCUUAACCAAUAGACACUCAAUGUUAGGUGAGAUGAAUAUUGGAUUAAGAAGAUUCGAAAUACCUAGAUCCAGACUAAGGUAUAACGAAAAGGAUCGAAAAACAUUCACAUCCAAAGUGAAAUGUUUAACGAAGAGUUUUGAGACAUCCAAAUCCAGACUGAGAUGUCAAGAAUUUUGGGACUUAACCAAUAGACACUCAAUGUUAGGUGAGAUGAAUAUUGGAUUAAGAAGAUUCGAAAUACGUAGAUCCAGACUAAGGUAUAACGAAAAAGAUCGAAAAACAUUCACAUCCAAAGUGAAAUGUUUAACGAAAAGUUUUGAGACAUCCAGAUCCAGACUGAGAUGUCAAGAAUUUUGGGACUUAACCAAUAGACACUCAAUGUUAGGUGAGAUGAAUAUUGGAUUAAGAAGAUUCGAAAUACCUAGAUCCAGACUAAGGUAUAAUGAAAAAGAUCGAAAAACAUUCACAUCCAGAGUGAAAUGUUUAACGAAGAGUUUUGAGACAUUCAGAUCCAGACUGAGAUGUCAAGAAUUUUGGGACUUAACCAAUAGACACUCAAUGUUAGGUGAGAUGAAUAUUGGAUUAAGAAGAUUCGAAAUACCUAGAUCCAGACUAGGGUAUAACGAAAAAGAUCGAAAAACAUUCACAUCUAGAGUGAAAUGUUUAACGAAGAGUUUUGAGACAUCCAGAUCCAGACUGAGAUGUCAAGAAUUUUGGGAUUUAACCAAUAGACACUCAAUGUUAGGUGAGAUGAAUAUUGGAUUAAGAAGAUUCGAAAUACCUAGAUCCAGACUAAGGUAUAACGAAAAAGAUCGGAAAGCAUUCACAUCCAGAGUGAAAUGCUUAACAACGAGUUUUGAGACAUAUAUCAAGAAUUUGGGAAUACCUAGGACAAACCUGGGAUAUUCGUGAGGGUCACUUACCUAUUUGUAGACAGAAAUUUUGGAACGUCGAGGAUGUAUUUCAAAUAUUCAUGGAGGUUUCUCACCUCGAGGCUUCUGAAAGGAAACAUAAAUGUCAAGAGCUCUUGGGUCUUCAAGGAAACAUUACCUGUCAGACAUGAUUAGAGCAAAAAUACAUGCAUUUGCCAAAGAAGUAAGCAAUUCAGCACACUCCAAAAUCCACUGAAGCUUUUAUCCAUUCCAUCAAGAUUUAUGCAUGAUGGUUUUACCAUAUUUACACCACCAAAUUCCCAUGGGGAGAAUCAUCGUUUAAGACAAUUUUCACUCCUGACAUGGUUUUCAAGAAUACCAAAUGAGAGACUUUCAGUUAAAAAGGACUUUCACUCACUCUCAUUAAGAAGGUUGUUUUGUCCCAACCGUUAAUGUGGGAUCAUAGGAAUCACUCCAUCUUACUUUCAUCAUGUCAAUAAGGGUUCGAGUAUUCUCGCAAGCGGUACGACUUUGUCAAUAUGAGAGGUCUUUAUCAGGAUUGUAAUGUAGGCUCGGCCAAUGGCUCAACAAAGAGGGACUCUUCGAGUCAAGGCUAAUGAAAGAACAAUACUUCGCAAUCAUCUUCAGGUUUACAAGUCAAGGAACCUGCGAAAUGAGAUAGAAAUGGUCCUGCUCGCACUUCUUCGAGCGAUGCUUUUAAGCAUAUGAAUUCCUACGUUAAUUUCGGUGCCCUAUUCUGAAGAGACUUUGUAAGGGACGUAACGUAGGUUAAGUUCAUGGGUUGAGAAGUGAAUGGAUCAUUAGGCUCAAAAUGUGUAUAGGGGGAUGAGAAUUGGUGAUCGUCUUGGCAUUGUCACCGGUCUUCUUUUUCACCAUUGGGAUUUUCCUCAUAGGUACUAUAAAAACUUGGCAUUUGGGUUCUUUGAGUACCACUCCAUUGGGAAUACACCCUUUUACAACUGAUAAUCAUUUAUCUUGACUCUUUCUUUCAUUUUCUAUGGGCAUUGGCCUUGCUUUUACCAGGCACACUGCUUUUUCAUGCUCUUUUUUUUUUUUUUUAUAACCACGUAAUGCUUUAACAUUUGGGUUCUUGAGGAGUUUUCAUUUUUUGUCAGCACUCGGGAUUUUGCUGCUUGAACAUUUGCCUUUUGCCUUGCCCCAGUGUGGGGGAUGAUCACCAAUUGGGUUUAAAUGAAACGAAUUUACAGGCUCAAGGGGCUACGCAAUGGAUAAAGUGUGUAGGAUAGAGAAAGAACUGCUCUUCAUCAUCCUAAGGCACUUGAAUUAUCGUAUGAAUUCAAUGUAAUAGCAAUACCUGAAGAUUGAUGCAAGUGAGAGCAAGAAUAUUCCUAUCAAAUUCCUCACCUCAUGAUGUCGUCUUACCUCCAGCUUGCCCCGAUGUGGGGUGGUUCUUGACAGGGGUAAUUUAAAAUUAUUCACGUGCGUGGGCUCAAAAGGGUUUAAACAAUGGAUGAUCGCAUAGUGUUUGGGAUAGAGAAUGAACCGCCUCUCAUCAUUUCGAUCAUCGUACCUUUCGCGAGAAAACUCUUUACCUUAGAAACAUGGAAUUUCCUACACUCAUCUCACCAGUAUAUGAGCAAGGGACUGUGUAUAGGAUAAGGCUUGCCUUUCAUCAUCCUGAUAUGUCUCAUUUAGCAUGUUCAAUUCAUUCCACAUCAUUCAUUAACUUGAUCGAUGGUGACAAUCCUCAGUGGAAUUGGUAAUUAAACAAGUAAAACUAUCACGCAAAAUUCUCCUUUGAAAGGUCACAAGUACUUCAUGAACUCAUCAGCUUUGAACACAAAGAGUUUGCAGCUCAAGAAAGAAAAAGGAUUGGUAAAUUUUAUUUUUUUUUGCAAACUUUUUGCCAUUUCCAGGGAUCGAACCCUGGUCGUUCUCGGACCCUUUCAUUCCCCAUGCCACCAGGCCGAGGCGCUGGUGGUGUCCUCAGGGUAUUUCUUUUUUUAUUUAAUUGAACUGAUACUGGGUCAACACGUCUGAUAUACCGAAUCAAAUGAAUUCGAUAUGUGUAUGGAAUAUGGCCUACUUCUCAUCUCAUUCAAUCCAUUCCCACACAAUUCAACGAAGAAAUGAGUACCUUCAACAAAUUCUUUCAAGGGUAAUACUUCUUCAUAGCAUCAGAGUUAACAGGUUUAGAAAACUCACGACCAUCCAUUUUUGCAAGGAUUAAGGCACCUCCAGGGAGUACCCUCUUCACCAUAUACGGGCCGCUAUAAUUUGGAGCAAAUUUGCCUCCAGGAUCAGGAAAAAUCGGCAACACCUUUCUUAGAACUAGAUCAUUAACUUCAAAGUGUCUCGGCCGUACCUUCCUAUUGAAAGACUUGGCUACUCUUUGUUGAUACAUCUGACCAUGGCAAAGAGCUUUUAACCUUUUCUCAUCAAUCAGAUUCAACUGCACGAACCUUUGUUGUGUCCAUUCCGCUUCGGACAAUUCCACUUGGGAUAAGACUCUCAAAGAGGGGAUUUCUACUGCCACAGGCAAAACCGCCUCCAUGCCAUAAACCAAGGAGAAAGGGGUUGCCCCAGUGGAUGUUCGGAUCGAUGUCCGAUACGCCACUAGAGCAAAGGGUAACCUGUCAUGCCAAUCUCGAUAAUUCUCGGCUGUCUUAGCCAGGAUCUUCUUGAUGUUCUUAUUAGCUGCCUCAACAGCUCCAUUCAUUUGCGGGCGGUAUGGUGAUGAAUUCAAAUGCCUGAUUUUGAACUCACUGAACAACUCAUCAACGAACUUGUUAUUCAGAUUUGUCCCAUUGUCAGUGACAAUUGCUUCGGGGACACCAUAACGGGCGAUUAUGUCACGCCUGAUAAACUUCACAACAUUUCGGGCCGUAACAUUAACAUAUGAUGCGGCUUCAAUCCAUUUUGAAAAAUAGUCUAUCGCCACCAAUAUGAAUCGGUGCCCAUUUGAAGCUUUGGGAUUUAUUGGGCCAAUCACAUCGAUCCCCCACAUUGAGAAAGGCCAUGGCUCAGAUAGCUGGUGCAACUCCGUUGGAGGAACAUUUAUUUUAUCUCCAUGAAUUUGGCAACGAUGGCAACUUCUAACAUGCUGUAUGCAGUCACUUUCCAGUGCAAGCCAAUAGUAACCUAGUCUCAUGAUCUUCUUGGCUAACAUGUGCCCAUUCAUGUGUGGGCCACAAACUCCUUCAUGCACCUCUUGCAUGAUGUGGGUGGCUUCUGCUUCAUCUACGCAUCUCAAUAAAACUGAAUCAUAAGAUCUCUUGUAUAAAUUCUUACCACUGACGAAGAACUUUGAGGCCAUCUUCAUUAUGUAUUUUCUAUCGGCUGGAGUGCUCCCUUUAGGAAAUUCCUGCUUUUGGAUAUAGUUCAUGAUGUCGCAAUACCAUGGCUUCUCAUCAAGCUCUUCAUUCACGACCAUACAAUAAGAAGGUUUGGCUAGAACCUCAAUUUUCAAAGGUUCAACUUCUAAACCAUCAAUGACUUGUAACAUAGAUGACAACGUUGCGAAGGCAUCGGCGAACUGAUUAUGAGAUCUAGCCAAGUAGUCAAACGAGAUUUCAUCGAACUCCUUCACCAACUCUUCGAGGUACUUGUGAUACGGCAGUAAUUUGGCAUCCCUGGUCUUCCAUUCACCUACGGUCUGGAGUAUGAUCAGUGCAGAAUCUCCAUAUACUUUCAAUUUGGCCACUCCCAUUUCAAUUGCGGCCUAAAGUCCGAGAAUACAAGCUUCGUAUUCAGCAAUAUUGUUAGUGCAUGGAAAUAUUAGUUUCGCGGCUACUGGGUGGUGUUGUCCGUCUGGGGAUAUUAGUACUGCCCCAGUACCAGAACCGGACAAGUUCACAGCUCCAUCAAAGAACAUAGACCAUGCAUCUUCGUUUAUGGCCAAAAUACGAUCAUCCAAAGGACAAUCAUCAUCAUUCAAGUUUCUAGGAUUCUCAGCCAACAUAUCAGCAAUUACUCGGCCUUUAACUGAUUUUUGUGGCAUGAACUGCAUGUCGAAUUCCGAAAUCAAGACUUGCCAUUUGGCUAGCUUACCCACCAAAGCUGGUUGAUUAAAUAAAUACUUGAUGGGAUCGUUCUCGGUCACGAGAAACGUCUGGUAAUGCAAGGUGUACUGUCGCAGUCUAUGCAAUACCCAUACUAACACAGCACAAGUUUUUUCAGCAUCAGAAUAUUUUAGCUCCGAGACAGUGAACUUUUUACUGAGGUAAUAAAUGGCCCGUUCCUUCUGAUCCACAGGACUUUUUUGAGCUAACAUCGCACCGAGUGACUCACUAUGAAUUGUGAGGUACAAAAUCAAAGGAUGCCCCGAUAUUGGUGGGACAAGGACUGGCGGAUUCAUCAAAUAUUGCUUCAGCUUAUCGAACGCCUCUUGACGUUCAUCAUUCCACUCAACUUGUACGUUUUUCCUCAAGAGUUUGAAGAACGGCUUAGCGGUCUCAGAGAGUUGGGAAAUGAAUCGUGCAAUGUAAUUCAGUCUCCCUAGGAGACUCCGGACCUCCUUCACUGUCGACGGAGGUUGCAACUCACAUAUUGCCUUGGCUUUAGAUGGGUCAAUUUCGAUCCCUUUACUACUCACAAUGAACCCAAGUAAUUUACCCGACGCUCCCCCGAACACGCACUUGGCAGGGUUUAAACGGAGCUUGAAUUCACGGAGCCGGUCGAAUAACUUCCUGAGGGUUUCAACAUGACUUUUCCCAGGUCGGGUUUUUGCAAUCAUAUCGUCGACAUAUACCUCGAUUUCUUCAUGCAUCAUGUCGUGGAACAACGUAACCAUGGCUCGCUGGUAAGUUGCCCCUGCAUUUUUGAGUCCGAAGGGCAUGACCUUAUAAUGAAAGGUUCCCCACGGGGUGAUAAAUGCUGUCUUCUCUUUGUCUUCAUCCUUCAUUCUUAUCUGGUUGUAGCUAGAAAAGCCAUCCAUGAAAGAGAAUAAUUCAAAUCCGGCAGUACUAUCCAUGAGAACAUCGAUAUGUGGCAAUGGGAAGUCGUCCUUUGGGCUGGCCUUGUUCAAAUCCCGAUAAUCAACACACACUCGGACUCGACCGUCUUUCUUCAUGACCGGUACUAUGUUGGCCACCCAUUCAGGGUAUUGCGAGACUUCGAUGAAUCCCACUUUGAGGAGUUUCAUUACUUCCUCUUCUAUCUUUUUCGAGAGCUCCGGUUUAGUCCUCCGAAGCUUCUGCUUCUUAGGGCGCAUGUCUGGAUUGGUGGGCAAACAGUGUUCCACAAUUGACGGAUCUAAACCUGGCAUAUCAGCAUACGUCCAGGCAAAGAUAUCCUGAUAUUCUUUUAACAACUGAGACAAGUGCUCGGCCUCAUCUUUGGGAAGAUUUGCCCCAAUCUUUAUUUCUUUAGGAUCCUCGUCAUCACUCAAAUUGAUGGUGACGGUUUGCUUGGAGGUAAGAACUUUGGGUUUUUCAUGUUGCCCCCAACUUUGUUGUACUUCAAUGGAGUCACCAUUUGGAUCAUCAGGGUCAUCAUCGUCAUCACACAUGGCAUUGGAUUGGACCAUUUUCACCUCCUUACCUGCCAUAAGGCUGCUCCUGAAACAUAAAAUGGAUAGUUCAGAAAGACAAACAGGGCUAAACGGCAUGGAUUUCUUAUCUAUUUUUCGAAUUUUUUUUUUUCGAUUUUUUUUUCAAAUUAUUUUUAAAAAAUUUUGGGCAAAACAUUUUGGAAAAGCUUUUUUUGUCACGAGGAAGCAUGAUGAAGCCCAGGCCUCAGAAUUCUCCUUGGAUUUUUCUUUUCUUUCAUCGGUUGGAUAUCAUCAACGGGCUGGUUUGGUAUACUCCAUCAUGCCCUCAAAAUAAAGUUUGUAAUUGUAAUUGAUAUUCAUCAACCAAAUUACAUUUAUUGGAUUGAAAAGUACGACAAAGUGAAAUGAAACCCUAACAAUCAAACCCUAGCAAACAUCCACUCCUAACAAACGAUAUGCAAAAUACGAUAAGCAAACCCUAGAAAGCAUCAAAUCCUAAAAGCGAUAAGAUUCCGCGCAGGGGAGUAUAGAAAAGUAAACAUGUUACUCUUGUGGGCUAGCACCCGUUUCCUCCGAUGGUUCUUCAUCAAUGGCUCCUAUGAGGAGAUCAUCAAAUAGAGUCGUGAUCCCUUCCAUCCCAUCAUCUGGAUCCUUUGUCUUUGAAGUUGUCGGGUCAUCCAUGCAGCUCGAUCCAUCAGGUACGAUACCUCGGGUGGCGAUCACUCCUCCUUCAUCAUGCAUCAUUCUAGUAGGGCCGGGGAAUGUCUCGCGGAUAUUGAGGAGUAAUGAGUUUUUCCUCUCUUGUUCAUGUCCUCCACCUUUUCCAUGGUACCCUAAUCCGGCGGAACGAGACCUCCGAGGGGCUUCAAUAGGGUUCCGGAUACCCUGUUCUUUUUUACCAAGUCCACGGCCAGGAAUAAAGCCAUUUCCAACCAUCACUCUUGCUACCAUAACUGCUGCAUUUGACACAUCAGGGAUAGGUGCUGUCGAUCCUCGAGAUGCAUGAAUAGUGGAUACGAGCUCAAACGAUUGGUAGCUCGACUCCUCCCUACAUUCCGGCUCGACAUAGGGGAUAGCCGUCUCAUGAUAGAUCCGAUGAUCCUCCUCGCCAUGAACAAUGACUAGCUUUCCUUUGACAGCAUUUCACGCUUUGGUGGAGACUUGAUGGCACAGCUCCAGCAGUAUGAAUCCAAGGACGCCCUAAUAGGAAAUUGAAUGCGAUAGGAAUGUCCAUCACCUAGAAAAGGACGUUGAACAUCACCGGCCCUAUUUGCAGAUCAAGGUGGGUCUCCCCUAUCACCUCCUUUCUCGUACCAUCAAAAGCUCGGACGGAGGUCUUCGCAGCACUUAUUUUUGAAGGAUCUAUUUUCAGGCGGUGAAGAGUCGCCAAUGGACAGAUAUUCAAGGCAGACCCAUUAUCAAUGAGUACUCGAGCCACAUGGGAAGCCUUGCACUUGACGGAUAUAUAUAAUGCCUUAGUAUGUCCCCUCCCCUCAAGAUGAAAUUCUUCAUCAGAAAGGCUAUUAAAUCCUUAAGAAGAAUCGAUCCUACAAAUUCCUCCAACCUAUUUACCUCGAUCGUCUCUGGUACACGAACUUCACUUAAAACCUUCAUUAGAGACUUUUGAUGUGUAGGAGAUGUUUGCAAGAGUUCAAGUAAAGAGAUCUGAGCAGGCAAUUUCCGCAACUGGUUGACCACGUUAUACUCACUUGCUUUGAUUAUAGCCAGAAAUUCUUUGGCCUCUUCGUCAGUAAUUGGCUUUGCAGGUUGGGCAUUAGCUUGAGCAUAGGUCCGACCAGACCUUGUAAUCAGGUCAACAUCUAGCUCGUAUGACCAAGGGACUGCUUUGUUAUCCUUGUACUCAUACAGCUGGGGCAUCUCAAUAAUUAUUUCUUCAUCAGUUGAAGGCACUUCCACUAUCAAACCUUCAUGGUCGGAGGCGUCCUCAACUGGGGGCAUGUCCUCGAUCAAUGGAUCUGGUUCACUCUUUUCAGCACUUAGCUUAGCUUUCAAAUUCCUUCUCCCAAUCAAUGACGACUUCGGAGAUAGUUGACACUGUUCUAGCUUGGUCAGCAUAUAUGAUCAUGUCAGCCUUAACCAUUUCUUGAACCCUUUCCUUCAUGGUAGGCAAGGGAGGAUUCUCAUAUGUCGGAUAAUAACCAACUCUAACUAAUCCGCUAUAGAUAUCUUUGACAGACACCUUCAAGUUCAUCUUUUUGCCAGCAUUGAACUCGAAGAUUGCAUUCACGUUUCCCUAAUGUUCCGGUAACGGAUUCUUCUUGACAUUCGGUUGUGUGGUACGGAAGGAAAAUGCCUUAGUAUCCAACAAAUUUUGGAUCUUGUGCUUCAAAGUCAAACAUUCAUCAGUUGAAUGGCCGACCUCUCCCAUAUGAUACUCACAUUUUUUGGAGGGGUCAUAGUUGGAGAAUUUUUCAGCAUUGGGCCACUUUGGUUCGUGGGAGAUCAAUCCUUUGUUUUGGAGUAUCGGCAAGACCUGAGAUAGAGGGCCAGGAAGAGGAGAGAAUUGCCUUUUGGUGAAUUGCCGCUGUGCAGGCACUUGGCCUCCAUCUUGCUGAUUCCCGGGGACACGAACCAUCGGAGGCUUACUAGGGGCUGGUUGCACAUAUGCAACAUUGACUUCAGUGGUUGGUUCUUUAUCUUUCUUCAUGGUGAACCUUUUGCCUUGAUGAGUUGGUUCAUUGAACCAUCCAUCCCUUAGGCCAAUCUCGAUCUGUUCACCCACUGGGAUAAGUUGGUUGAAGUUCUCAAUGUAUGUGCUAGCCAUCUGGUUACGGAACUCAUACGGGAGAGUUUUGAUGAACAACUUCAUCAACUCCUUGUUUGUAGGCUCAGGAGUGAUUUGAGCCGCCAAGUUUCGCCACCUUACAGCGUACUCCUUAAAUGACUCACUUUUCUUCUUCUCCAUCCGCUCAAGAUCCUCUCGGGAAGGUGCAAUGUCCAUGUUGAACUUAUACUGCUUUAGGAAAGCGUCAGCCACUUCAUUCCAGGUGUCGAGAAGGUUUACAUUCUUCAUUAUGUACCAGUUGAGUGCGGGCCCCGUCAAGCUUGCAUGAAAUGAUUGGAUCAUGAGAGGCUCGUUCUUGACGUAUUGGGCCAUGCGUACGUGGUACAUCUGCAAAUGAGCUUUUGGGCAGGAAGUACCAUCGUAUUUCUUGAACUCCGGCAUCUUAAACUUCUUCAGCACUUUGACUUUCUCAUAAACUGACAAGUCGAACGGGAGUUAAUUCCGCUAUUCUUGCAAUUGUUUCAGUUUCUCUUCAAGUUUGGCGAAGCGUUCAUCUUGCUCCACCUUAGGGACAUUGUCGGACUUAGCCUUUUCAGCUGUGAUGAACAGUGGGUCAUCCUCCAGUUCCGGCAUGUCAUCAUCACCCAUUUGGGCCUUGUUCGUCUGCUUUGGGACUACUAUCUCGGGGAGAGCGGAUGCAAGAGUCUGAUUCAUUUGGAGGGAUUGCAUUUGAUCUGUCAUAAGUUGCAUAGAAGUGAGCAACUGCUGGAGUUGGCUUUCCAUAGCGGUCAUACGAUCACGCAUUUCGAUUUGGUCGGCCAUUUUUGCUCUCGAUCGUGUAAUGAUGGGCGAACGUGGAGGAUCCGUUAUCACCUAAUUUGAAGAAACGGACAAAAAUAAGUAUCUCAUAUGAAAUACACCGGUCCAUGGCAAUGGUCUAAAACUUUUAUUCAUUAAUGGAGUUUUUGACAAUCCUAUCAAAAUAGAAGCAAGAUUGAUUCAAGCACUUCAUUAAUGAAAUAGAAGCUCGAAAUGCCCUAAACAAAAAACUAGGAAAGUAAAUGACUCAACUUCCUAAACAUUAAUCUAAAAAUGAAAACAACAAGAUAGAUUCAAACACUUCAUCUAGCUUGAUCAAUAUACACUCGGGACACCACUCGGCGCAAUCGUUUAUUCUCCUCUUGAGCUUUUUCAGCAACCCUUUUGAGGCGUUUAUUCUCAGCGCGGUUGGUGAUCUUCAACGGCACCUCUGGUAUCUUUGGAAGUAACUCCUCUGGAAUCUCGUGUUGUUGAAUGUACUUAAUUGAGGCAUAGUACUUCAUUCCUUUGCCCUUCAACUCCUCCUCGGGCCACUUGAGUUUUCGUGGCUGGCACAUAUCCCACAUUGAUUUAAUUGUGAGAAUGGAAUCUUCAUGGUCUCGGUCUCCAUCAACGAAGUUGGCUUGAAGUGGAUUUGCUUGCAAUGCCGGGGGAAGUUCUUGCACAACUUGAUACUGAUGGGUCACUCUAGUUGGAUAGUACUCCGUUGCUCCGGUGAAUCCCAGUAGAGGGAUUGGGCCAACACCUCCACAUGAAAGUCUCGCCGCACGAACUUGGAACCACUUAGCAUGCCAUAAGAAACCCUUAGAAGUUGGUUUUUUCAUGAAAGCUAGCCACCUAGAAUAAUGGUAAUCCGGUGCAUGUUUUUGGUUGUUCUCAAAUCUCAUAAUAGGGUGAUUGGAGUUAUUAACAUCAUGUAUAGUCAUUAAACCACCAAACCCUUUUAUAUGAGAAAGAAACCAAAUUUGCAAAAGCUCAGGAGAGGAAUGGAAAGUCUUAUCACUGCUUCCUUUAAAUCGGGUGAGGGAAAGAAAGGUUUCAGCCAUAAUAGUGUUUACGAAAUUUUUUCCUCCCAACACUUGUUCAACUAAGUGAGCCAUCAAAGGGUUAAUAGCAUUCUUGCAAUGAGGAAAAAUUAUAAACCCAAAGAAAGCUAAAAGGAAAACCCUUCGCAUUUGAAAUGAAUUGCCAUUUUCAAAACAUUCUUUUAGAAAAGAUAAAUGACAUGUAUUGCGGUGAGCUUUUAAAACCUUUCUUACAUUGUCCUCCUUAAUUCUCAGAAAAUCGGAUAAGGCCACAAUGGGGUCUAUUCCGAUAGGUGGACUAAUUAAUUCAGCUUUCAAAGGUUUCCCUAUGGCAAUGCUAUACUCUUCCAAGGUGGGCGUGAGUUCAUGCUUACCGCCGAAGAUGAAAGUAGAAGUCUCAGGGCACCAACAAUGAGCAAGUGCUUGGAUGAGGCCGCCAUGGAUGUUGACACGUAGCAAUGGAAGUAAUCGACUAACGUACGACUCUACAAAUUGACGGCCAGGUUGGUCUAACUUAUCCCAUCAUGCGCUAAGCUCUUCCUUUGGAGGGAGAAUAAUUCGAAUGUCCGGUAUUCCCAUUGUAUAUUGAUCAAGACUCGGGACAAUCCUAGUGCCAUGGACCGACAAAUAAUACGGUAAAGUAAGUAAAUUGCAAAGGUGAGAAUUUAGAGAACUUACUUUACCAAUAAACAAAGGGCAAACACAUAGACAUGCGCAUGCUAAGUGGCUCGAUUUCUAGUCUAUGAGGCUUAACAAAGUGAAGCCACAAGGAUGAUCAGACUAGCUGCGGGCGUGCGGACUAAGUCGGGUCCUCAUGACUUCGGCUUGGUCAAAGAGCCGUCCUGGGUUGCGGGCAUGCGAACCGAGGUGGGUACUCUUGACACCAAAAAAGAAACUUCGGGAUUGGGAUGGGCGACUCGUACCGCGGGCAUGCGGUCGAAGUGGUAUCCAUCUCAAUACCAUCCUAGAUGAUCCUAUGUGGCCCAGGUCCGGCGGCGGGUUGUGUGUGCAAUAGUGUAGUGUAAAUGCAUAGGCAUGCACAACAGUUUAUAUCAAACAACGCUUCGUUCAUGAAAAUAAACCAUACAUUCCUACACCUCCUUGCAAAACAAAGGUCAGCAAACACUUCCCCUUAUACCUCCCAUCAUGCAAAAAAAAUUAACACCUUAAAUGUUAGGGACGUACCUGGAAUCCUCGCUGCCAAACAAAAACAUUUUUCAAAAGAAAAUAAAAAUUGGCCUAAGUCCACUAAGAGUUUUAACUUAAGUCCACAGUGGAGUCGCCAAGCUGUCGCGACCUCCCCGAAGCGGGUUGGACCACCUAAGAGUUCGGCUAAUGGAUUGUUAAGCCUAGACUUAACUCGGGCUCUCCCAAGCCCAUACCAAUUCGCGACUUAGGUUCAAGUUCUUAAUAUGCAAAUGAUUUUUAUCAUGGAGUUGCCACUAAUCUAUUUUGGGUGGGUCGAUUAGAAACCCAAGUAAAGUAAUGGGAGAAUUACUUCACUCCUACGAACCAGAGAUUAAAUGAGUUCGGGGACUUGAUUACGCUAGAUUUCUCUAACGCCCUUUCGGUACCUUUUCCUUUUUUAUUUGAAAAAAUAUUUUGCAGGCAGCUUGAAUUGAUUUUAAUUUAUCCUCCUAACAUGUGAGGUGAUCAUGCGGAUGCGCAAACCACCAAUUUAACACCCAAGAAAGCGGUGAAUAAAUUGCAGGACUUACCUCAUAGCAACGAAAACAUAUGCAUUGUUAGAUCAGAAUUCACAUCAACAGACCUAGAUAUGAUUUCUAAUUAACAGGCAAUUUUCCUUUUUUUUUUGUUUUUACUUAUUUAAUGAGAAUCAUGCAAUAUGCAAUGCAUGCUACUAAUCUAACAUGGAAUGGCAUGACAAUGUUUUCUAAACUACAUGACGUGAGUAAAUUUUUUUUUUUUUUUGUGUUUUCUUAAUGAACAUGCAAUAAUUAAAUAUGCAAAUCAAAAUGAUCUAAUUAUAAUGACGGGCAAUUUUUAAUUAAAUGAGCCUAAUCCUACAUGACGUGCCCAUGAUAUUUCUAUUCCUAAAAGUGCAAUUUAUCCUAAAAAUUGAAAUUAAUUUAUCUAAAGACAAAUUUAUGAUACUCGAAAUUAAGACAGAUGCAAAAAUUACCUAGCUAAAUUAAAAUUCCAUCCAAUUUAAACUUAGGAUUAAGUCAUGCUAAAUCCUAAUUUAAACUAAGACGUUAUUUUAAUCUAGCAAUUUUUAACCUAAGAUGCCAAUUGAUCUGAACUUAAAAUGAGACAUGCAAUUCUAUUCUAAAAUGCAUGAUGAUUUUUUAUGAAAAUUCGUAAUUAAAAAAAAACACUAAAAAAAAAACUACUAGAGUGAAAACUAAAGGGACAUGUUAUCUCUUCUAAAACAUGCAUUUUUUAAAAGAAAGCCUAUUAUGCAACCUAUAAAAAACUAGCAUCCUAAAUUAAUUAAUUUUUCUUGGGAUUUUUUUUGUAAAAAUUUGAAAUCAAAAAUCCUAUUCUAAAAUGACACAUGCAAUUCUUAAGAAAAACUAAUAUCCUGAAUGCAUUUUUUUUUUUUGGUUAUUUUUAAAAAAUGAAAUAACUAAGUAUGGUAACCCUAGCCCUAAUCUAACUUGCAUUUUUUGAAAUUUUUAUGCAAAAUAUCCAAUUCAAUCAAGAUAAGAUUAAUACCCAAAAUUGACGAACCAUAUCUCGCGCAUGAGAUCGGGUUGGUCAAUUUUAAAUUAAAUUGCGAAUCGAAUUUCGGGCAUGAGAUUGGAUUGUUGAUUUUUGUACGAGAUCGUGCAUCAGAUUUCGGGCGCGAAAAUCAAACUCCUAAUCCCUAGUUUGAGGGGUUAUUUUACAUUGGAAUUUCAAUCAUGCGCUAAUGAAUAAUCAUGCCAAAAAACUAUAUAAAAACAAACUACAAACUAUAUAACAAAAAGAUAAAAUAACAAUAAAAAACUACCUAAUGUCCCCCUUUUGUUUUUCUUUUUCUUUUCCCACGCUAGGCUUGGGCUUGUGCGGCUUUUGGUGGGGGUCACCGUCGGAGUGGGCGUAGUGGUCGGAGCUCAGGCGAGGGCGGACCGGCGGCGUUGGCAGCAGCGGACUCGGGCGAAACAGCAGCGGCACUCGGAUGGAAGUCUCGGGUGAGACUCGGAUCUGCACAGCAGCGGCUUCGUCGAGCGGAGUAGAGUCGCUGGGCUAGCGGAGGCGGUGCGGCGGUCGGCAGCAGGUGGUCGUGUUGCGGCGCGGUGGUGCUCGGAGAAAGGCGAGCAAGGUGGUCGUCGGCGCUGGGUCGCAGCGAGGGAGACGGAGGCGCUGCAGCAGAGGAUAGAGUGGCUCGGCAGGGGCGACUCGGCGUCGACUCGGGCUCGGGCGGAGCAGGGAGAGGCGGAGUGGUGGUGGAUGGAGCAGGGAGAGGCGGAGUGGUGGUGGAUGCUGGUUGCCGUGGACGGCACGAGCUGGCGGCUGCUGGCGUUGGAGCUCAGGCGAGGGGACCGGCGGCGGGCAGAGGCAACUACCGCGACUGGUGCAGCGGCAGAGGGCGGAGCAGCUUGGGACGCCGGGGCGGGAGUGCAGGCGCGGGCAGCGGCGACUUCACGGGCUGCUGGUGUCGAGAGGGACUGAGCGGCGGUGGAGAGCAAUGGCGCCGUGGCUGGGUCACGAGCGUGCAGAGGCGCGGCAACAACAGGGACGGUGGUGCUGCGACGAAGGAGCUAGGGCGCGGUGACGAGUGCUCGUGGCGUCGGGCGGUGGUGCAGGCGCGGGCUGCGAGCAUCAGGGUCGGCUCAGAUCUGGGCGACGGCAGUAAUGGUGGCGGAGGGGUUGUCGCGACCACAACAGGGGCGACGAGGGGCGGUGCGAGCUCGUGGGUGGUGCUCGCACGGGGGCGGCCGGCGGUGCGGUGGCUCGGCUGCUGGUGCACUGGCGAGCGCAGCGGCGCGGACGCGGGCGGAGUAGCAGAAACCGAUGGAAAUCCAGCAGCGAAGAACUCCUGGAGAAGAUGAAUAGUAGGGGUCUUGUUUUUUGCUUUUUUUUUUCCCCCUCUCUCUCUUUCCUGUCUUCAGUCUCUACCGUCUCUCUCUCUGUUUUUUUUCUCUUUUUUAAUCUUCUCUCCCUGACUUCAUAUUUUCUUCUUUUUUGGUUUUUCUCUGACACACUCCCUUCCCUUCAGUCGUCUAAUCGAAAGAGAAGCCUUUCACAAUGAAAUUUUUUUCUUUUUCGCCCUCCCCUUUGACGCGGCCUCUUGUGGUCUUAUUUAUAGGCCGUCCAUUGCCUCUUGAAGAUAGCCAACUUUAUUGUGACAAGAUGCAGCCGCAACUUUUCCAGAAUUUAAGCUGAACUUUGCCCUUUUUUAAUCUUCUCUAGUCCUUUCUUUCGGCCACCACUCCGCUCUUCCGCGAGGAAAUCUUCUUGUAGGCGCCUGUAGGAUUUUUACGCCCCCCAUUUCGUGCGUGUAUGUGCAUGCAUUAAUGAGGAGGUUUCUUCUUCAGUGAAUUUUCAUUGCGCCAUCAAAGCUAACAUAUUAUAUAAUAUUAUGGGCUGCUUUUGCUUCUUUCCUCUUUUUUUUUAUGCGUGUUCAGACCAGCGAAAGAGGGACCAUCCUUUUAUGCAUGCAAUCGACCGAGAGCCCCUGCUUCUUGUUGUCCUCUUAGUACCGAUGCAAAUGCGACUACAUGAAAUGCAAUUUUACUAUUUUUUUAAAAAGGAGUUAAAGAUUAAUCCCUAAUUUUCUAUGCAAUUAAUUACUACAUUAUUAGUCAAAAUUUAGGUGUCAACAACCCCAUUGCUUUCUUCUUGGUCAAAAUUUCCGAAUGAGGAUGAAGUAUUGAAGCUAUCCUCAUGGUCAGAGGACGAGCUUAGUACUUCGUUAGGAUCGUAGCAGAUAAAGACAUAUGCUUCCUCUUCUGACAGGCCUUCAUCCCCGGGUGAGAGUAGGAAACAGUUAUACGAUGAAUCGUCAGUUUCAUUGUCGAAAUAACACUGGAAGUCCUUGGGAUCGUAUUCCAGGGCCGGGAAGUCUUCAGGGUUGUACUCUAGAGGAUGGUAGCCUUCAAAGUUGUAUUCUUGGGAAUGCUCGAAGCUUUGGUGUGGUAGCUCGUCGGCAGAUGCUGAAUUGAUCUGCUUAGGCUUUCUUUUCUUGGCCCUUGGUCCAGAUCUUUUGAGUAGGGCCAUUCAUUUUGCCAGCUCGAUUCUGUCAAGGGAAGUGAGAUAUAUUAGAGUUUCACUGUCUGAUUCACUUUCCAGAUUGAUAGGGGUUGGUAUUCUUUGGACCCUAGCUUUUGGAGUAAGCUUAGGGAGUUGUCUAGUCGUGCCCCGCUCUUGAACAGGCUCUAAGUUUAUGAUUUCGUACAAAGGCUCGUUGCCUUUCCUAGUGGGAAAUUUUCCAGUAACAGGAUGUUGCUCAGCUGCCCAUUUAUCAUGCAAGGCUUCAUUGACAUGUUUUUCUCCUAUCUCAGCGACUAAUGGCUCCUCGUGCUCUGCGAUCAUCGGCUCUUCGUAGGGCAAUGUGAUGUCAGAGGUGAUGUCAAUAUCAUACUCUUGGUGAAAAACAUGAAUUAGUUCCCUCCAGGUUUUAAGAGGACUAAUCUUCCUAACAAUGUACCAUCGCAAGGCAGGGCCAGUCAAGCUCGAUUGGUACGAUUGAAUCAUCCUUCGAACCAGGUAGGCUUGCAAGUAGGUCUUUGGGCGGGAGGUAUUAGCAUACCUUUCGCAUUCAGGUGCUUUGAAUUUUUUAGGGAUCUGGUGUAAUUGGAUAGGCCCAUGGGAUUCUGCUCUUGCAGCUGGCUUAACUUUUUCAUGAUCCUUUCAAACUGCCUAUGGUACUAGCUAUUUUCUGGCAAAUUUACGGGUGUCAUUAUGAUGUUUAAGGCAACUACAGAGUUGAGCUCAGCUUGAAUAGAUUUCAUUUGUCUCGAGAGUCGUUGAAGGACAAUAGACAUCUGUCUUACGUCGUCUUCAAUGUUAAUGAGGCGAUUUUGUACAUCAUUCUGAUCGGGCCUUAUUGCAUGAGGCCAUUCACGGGCGAUUGAUGGCCGUCAAUUCAUAAUUACAUGUUCAUUGCGAAAACAAUGAAUGAGCACGAAAGUAAACGAGGAUUGACCCAUGGCAAUGGUCUAACUGCUUUUUUAUUUAUCAAAAUAGGAUUUUAUAGACCACAGACUUCUGACAUCUAAAACUUGAAAUUGAAAAGACAAAAUGAAAUACUAGAUAUUAAACAAAAGUCCCUAAACAAUAGGACAAAACUUUCACACUAUUUACACUAAGGGGCACAUGAUUGCCAAUUUAUAUGUGACGGGGAGCCUUGUUCUUGUGAGGACGCCUGCUUCCUUGAACUGGCUCUGAGGUGUGUAUCCAGUUCAUUCCCAAAUCCCUCUCCAUGAGCUCUGCUUGCUCGUGUUGGUUGCUCUCGCUGAUUGAGUGAGGGAUUGACGGCUUCCAUUUUGUUGGGAUACGAUGGUUGUGGAUGUAGGACAUGGAGGCGUGGUGGGCUUUUUUUUCUCCUUCAAGCCCUUCAGGUAUCACGAUCCUUUUGUGAUGGCACUUGUCACAGGUUUCCUCAGCGGUAGAGAUUUCGAAUGCAUAGUCACAGCUUGUGUUGAAAAGAACUGGAGGGAUCAUCAUCUUGAAAGGCGGUGGGAUCUCCUCAAGGGCUCCAUAUUGUCGUGUUACCCGAUAUGGGUAGUAGGGAAUGGCGCCAGUGAGGCCGAGCAACGAAAUUGGGCGAGUGCGUAUGUAAGCAAAGCAGACCCUCUUUUCAUGGAACCAACCGGCACACCGUUGGAAUGCCUCAGGAGCUGGGUUUCUUAGGAAGUUUACCCAAUUUAAAUAGCUUUGAUUGGGAAUAUACGGUUCUAAAAUCAUAAAUUUUUGUAACGGAUUCUCAAAAGCAUUUAUUUCAGACGAUCGCAUGAAGUCUCGAAAUUCGCUUAGGUGAGAAAAGAACCAGACUUGUAAAAUUUCAGGAGAGGCUCACAUGAUUUUCUCUGAUUAUCUUUAAAACGAUUAAAGGACAAGAAUGUUUCAGUUAAAAUCAUGUUGACAUAAUUCCCCCCUCUUAAGAUCUGAUCAACUAUCCAUGCCAUCUUGGGACUUAUGACAUUUCUUUGAUGGGGGAAGAUGAUGAGCCCGAAAAAGGCCAGGAGUAAAAUCUCACUUUUCUGGGUCAUAGGCUGAUUUUGGAAACAGACAUUCAUAAAUUCUAGUGAGCAGGUAUUAUGGUUGUCUUCAAGAAUUUGUCUCAUGACAUGGAUUUUGGUUCCUAAAAGUCGUGCUAACCUGCGCCAUGGGAGGGCGCCUAUCGAUGGCUUGACAAGCUUUUUCUCAAGAGGCAUUCCAGUGAUGAUAUUGUAUUCUUCCAGGGUUGGGCUUAGCUCAAACCUACCAAAUAUGAAAGUAAUUGUCUUCGGGCACCAAAAGUAUGCCAUGGCUUGUAUGACUUCAGGACGAACAGUGAUUUGGAUCAACGAUAGGAGAUGACCGAUUUUGGCUUUCAUGCGCUCUUGGGCAAACUGAUCCAAUUGACCCCACCACAUAUAGACUGGAACUUUGAAAAGCUUAUCCUAAAUUGCCAUGGGCCAAUAAAAAGACUAAGUAAAAGUAAAGAAAUCAAUUUGCUUUUAAAUAAAAUGGCAAGCACAAAGACAUGCGCAUGGGACGUGCGGCUCGAUUUCUAACUCCGAAGGCUUGAUGAAAUUAGAAAGGUAUCCGCCCGUCGCAGUCUCGCAUUAACAGCAUACCCCCUUAACCUCGGCUAAGAAAUUCGGGGAAAAGAAAGGCAACCUCUACAUCGCAGUCUCGCGUUCGAAGUCGUAUCUUUCUUAACACCAUCCUAGAAAUCUUAUGGUGGCCCAGGUCCGGUGGUCGGGUUGUGUGUGCCAUGUGUAGUGUUUAAAACAGUAAAGCAUGCACAACAGUUUAUAAUCACAAGAUAAUCUAUUUUAAGCAAAAAUUAAAAUAAACUUCUAAGCUACUGACCUGCAUAAAAAAACUAAAAUAAGUCAGUAAAGUGUUUAAACAAGAUAGAAUGGCCUAAAUCCUCAAAUGUCCCUAGCGGAGUCGCCAAGCUGUCGCAACCUCUUUUUUUUCGGCGCCCACAUCUGGAGCGAGUGCCUUGCGGAGGCUAAUCGCUCGGCUGAAAUUAGUUAUACCCGAACUCUUCCAAGUCCACCAAUUCACGACUUUAAUGGUCUGAGUUUUUAACCUGUAAAUCAAUUUUUAAAAUGGAGUCGCCACUAAUCGAUUUGGGGUAGGUUGAUUAGAAACCCAAGUGAAGUAUCGGGAGAAAUACUCACUCCUGCGAAACCAGAGAAAUUAGGAUCGGGGACUUGAUUACACUAGUUAAUCACUAAUGCCCUUUCGGUACCUGAUCUUGUUUAAACCCCAAGGCUUUUUGGAUUUUGAGGGAUUUUCCAUGCAUUUUUUGGGAGGAAAAACAUUUUCGAGUAUUUUUCUAAUUUUUUCGAUAUAAAAGGGAUUUUUUUUUCGGACCUUUUUUUGUAUUUUUGGAAAAAUACAAGUCUUUUUGGCUUUUUCUGAAUUUUUUUUGGCUUUCAUGAAUUUUUGGUUUUUUUUUUGGUAUUUUCUGGAAAAUAUGAAAUAUUUUUUAUUUUUUUAUUUUUUUGGAAAGUAGAUAUUUUUUGGAAAUAAAAUAUUUUUUGAUUUUUCGGAAAAUAAAAUAUUUUUUACUGUUUUUCUUAAUAUUUUCGAAAAUAAAACAUUUUUUGAUUUUUUUGAAAAUAAAUAAAUUAUUUAUUAUUUAUUAUUUAAAAUAUUAUUUUAUAUUAAAAUAAUAUAAAAAUUGACUCAGGUCGGAUCCGCGGGGUGGGUCCGACCCGGGUCGACGACCCAAAACGCGUUGCGGGCCCGACUCAGAAUUUUUUUUUCUUUUGCUUAAAAACUGAGCCCACACACACGGAAUUGGGCCUAUUAAAAAAAGGAUGCCCGGCCCGCGAAGAAGCUGGCCUUGCGUAACCCUAGAGCGCCGGGUCACACGCCCGACCUGAUGACCCGCUUCCCGCCGCGAAACCCUACCCGACCCGGCUCCAGCACCCGACCCGACUUCCUCCGCCCCUUAAAUCGCAGAAACCCUACCCAUUUUCCAAACCCGAAUCCGCUUCGUGAUCCGGAAAUCGCAAACCCUAGGGUUUGCGAAUCCACGGCGCUGAAGGGGGGGGGGGAAACAGGAGCACUCCGACGGCGAUGGCGACGGUGGUGACAGCAACGACGACAACAGCGACGGCUAUGGAAGGGGGCUACGAUGAACAGCAGGGACGACGGCUAUGGGCUUUUUACCUUUUCUUGAACGGGGGCAACGACGGCGACGGCAGGGGGCGAUUUGCGACGGUGAAAGCCACGACGGUGACGGUGAGGCCUAGGUUUGGUUAGAUCUAGCCGGGGCUCUCUCUCUCGGGCUCGGGAUCGCCCUUCGAGCUUCGGAGGAGAAGCGGCUCGUGGGGGGAUAGUAGCAGCAACUGGUGUCGGGAUCUCGUGGUGUCGGCGUCACGGAAGGGCUCGGUCCCCCCUGAUCUGCGACGCAGCUCUCGGCUGGACCCUCCUUAGGCUUGAUCUUCUCUCACUCAGGCUAGAUCCGAGCCUCCACCGGCCGGAUCUGACCUUCUCAAAGUCGCUCGCUGCCGGCCUUCCCCGAAGUCUCUCGGUGGAGGGUGGGCUGAGCUCGCGACUCUAGUUCUCUCUCGCUCGCUCUUUGAUUCCUCCCCCAAAGUCUCUCAGUGGGAAUAUCUCAGAGCUCGCUCGUGUUCUUCGACGACGGAAGCGCUCCACUAUUUAUAGGCGAGGAGGUCUGUUCUUCGUCUCGCCAUUUGUUCCAUAAAAGCCUGUGAUUCUGCUUCCGGUUGAUGGAUACCAAAAGUACUUCCCAUCGCCCUCCUUGCCGUAGCGACCGCGUGUUCCUCUAUUACUGUAAAAUGUGAGCGAUUUGAUGGCACCAUCCUCUCCCACAUAACCAGAGAUCGAUGUUAAGUACUCCCGUGGAUAAUCCUUCAAUUGAACCUGCGCAAUCUCAAUAGAGUCUCUUGGUGUGGGACAGGAGGUGAAAACAAGACCAAUUUGUCGAGUUUAAUUUACUAAAUCACAUGACCGGACACAUACUCAGAUCAUCUCCGCCGAUGAGAUUAAUGUAAAAGUGAGAAAAAGAAACCUGUUUUUCCCCGAAGACUUCUCCAGUCCACUUACCGUGAAUACGUUCGAGACCUUCUUCACUACCGUUAUCAAACAGAAACCUGAUAUAACGGAAACCACUUUGGUCGGGCAUGGGCAUUACGUAAAUUUCCCUCACACCGUCAAAUUUAUUUUCCUCCCGAUCCUCUUCACCUGCAAAUGGCUGCCCUUCGAAAUAUGCUCCAAUUCCACGAAGCUUUCCAAAAUCCCACCCGUAGAAUCCGACAAUUUUGCCACCCGUUGGGAGACAGACUCUGUCUCCCUCGUCGAUUCCAUUCUCAUCACCAAUAGUUUUGGACCUAUUUUUGUUAGUCCGAAACCUGAGACGUUUAAUGCCAUGUUCCGUCCAAUAUCCGGACAUUAAAGUCAGAUACUCCCCUGUACCCUGCAAUAAUAGACAUAACCAUCAAAACUCAUAAAUAAAUUCUCGAAAUGUUCUCCCACCGUCAUCGUAGGUAAUGCGAGUUUCUUGAGAAUUCUAAAAAGCAUAUGUCCAUGUGGGGGACGUACCAUUUCAAUCGACUUCUCCUUCUUUCCACCCUUGACCCCAUGCGUCUCCGAUUGCCACGUUCCUCCAUCCUUCUCUUGAUACUCAAACGUGAUUGACUGGAUGAAUCGCCCUCCCUCUUCAAGUUCAUAAAUGAUUUUCCUUACGUCGGUGUGUUGAUUGCCAUCAUCCCACUUUGAAUAGAUUGACCUUAUUUUACUCCCGAUUAAACCCACAGACUGGAUACUGGCGGCACAGGACUUAUCAGACUGUAGCUCGACACGUGCUCCAAUAGAUGUGAUAAAUCCAUUAUUACGACUCACCAAAAGCUUUACAACUUUCCCUCCUUUGGAUGGUACGGAAAAGAAUUCCCCUUUGAAUUUCAUUUUAUUAGUAGGUCCCAAUAUCCUUUUAUUGGUUCGAAAUGUGAGAGAGUCGAUUCCCUUAUAAACACCACACACAUUUUCGAAAUAUCCAGAAAAAGAAGUUAUGUACUCUCCUUUUUCUAAUUUAACCUGCAAACAAGCCGCAAAAAGACAUUCGACUUGAGGGAUUAUAAGUUCCAUCAUUCAAUAAGCAAAAUAAAUCAGCAGUUCAUUUUUGAAAUACGGUUCAUUAUCGGUACAACAGAUAAUAUCCUAAGAUUUGGGUAAAUUAUGUUUCCUAAUAUUUGGUAGUAAAUUUCAAUUUGUACAAUCAGAAGUUAAUUUACUCUUUGUUUGUGGCUGGAUUAAUCUUGUUUUCAAACAAUCAUAUUGAUCCUCAUGCAUCGCGGGUAUGAGAAUUUCAUGUCGAUUUGCGCAGUCGUUAAGAAUCUCAAGCUUCAUAAUUCCACGAUUGACUAAUGUUUUGAUAAGUUAGAAAGACGAACUUAUGACAUUCAAAUAGAAACGGAAAAAGACAAGAAGGAAAGAGUCUAGAUGCAAACCAUGAAAGGACUCUUCCCGUCAUUUUGCGGUUUGGAGCUGAUCUCCUCGUGGACUUUAACGGACUUAAUGAAGUCUCUGUACUCAACAUGAAUCUCCUUUUCAUCAAUCUUCUCUGUAUCAACAGUUUCCCAUUUACUUUGACCUUCGCCUCCGAAAGGCCCGAAGGUGAAAUCCUUACCAGAAUAUCGAGAAUGGAUCUCGUUGACAAGGCGCUCGACUAUUAUGUCAAUGAGCUUCGAUUCAUUGCUGCCGUAAAGUGUUAAAAAAAAAAAAUCAUGAGCAAUAUGGAUAACUAAAAUGAACAUAAAAAUAUACCCCAAGAACCAACAUACGACAAACGUUCUACGGAAAUUUUUACGUGGGUAUAUGACAUAUGAAUAGAAAAGAUCGAGCUUGACUAGAUCACCAUAGGCAUUGGCAUGUGUAAAAAAGAAACGGUGAUUGACUUAAGCUCUACCUUCAAUAGUGAACUCAUCCUGUGCGGCAGAAGAGGGUGCAUCGUAACAUGCAUGUAACACGCCAAGAAACAACACAUUUCUGAUUGAGGCCGGUAAAACAGUAAAUAUUAAGAGUGCGCUCAUUUUGCAUAACCAUCAAGAUUUGGAAAAUAUUUUUCAAAAUAUAAUCACUUAUUUUCCUUACUAAAAUGAAAGAAUGAAGCACAUUUGCGUCAUCAACGAAAAUAUUUAGACAUAAAUUAUUGUCAAAUGAAAAUAAUUUCCAUUGACUAAUUUUUUAAAGCAAUAUAACUAAUCAUUUUUUUAUUUUUCUUUUUUUUGAAAUCUUGAGUUUUGGUGAAAUGAACUCGCCACAAGUGAAAAAAAAAAGACAAAAGAGUUUCGUCAAUACUUUACUCAAUUUCUACUGCGUUAUCAUGUUUAUGGGCAUAAAACUCCAAAAUAUAGCCCACGAAACGUAUGAAAGCUAAAAAUCCAAAAUAAUCUUAGCGGAAGAAACAUAGCUUACCCCCAUUAUACAAUUUUUUACAUACGUCUCCCUUUAUAGUUCUCAUUUUAGUUUACCGAUUUUCAACAAUGUGCGCUGCAAACUUGGGGAGUAUUUAACACGUUUUGCUUUGGCUUUCUUAAAAUUUCACGGCAAAAUAUGAAAAAGCAUCUUUAUAUUUCAGCUUCAUAUUAAUUCGCAGAUUAAGUUUCGUAAACCUACCAUUAGCAUUCCGAUUACGUGUAAGAGCUGGUCAUAUCUACGAAUUUGUCAUUUUCCGUCCGAUCUUGCCACUUUCACCAUUUCAAAUUCACUCAAUAAAACUUCACUUGCUAAAGCCCUAACCUGUCGACCCACCCACUACGCCACUCCUCCCUUCCCAGCAUUGCCAAUGCAAGCUGCGCCGUCGCCACCCACGCCAACCCCGCUGAGCCACAACUUAGAUCUGUUGAGUUCGACUCAAAUCUGAGUCUCCAAAUCUAAGUCGAGCUCCAUGCCGAUCGUCGCCAAGAAGAGGAAUACAGAGAGAGAGAGAGAGAGAGAGAGAGAGAGAGAGAUGCACAGAGAAUUCAGUAGGGUUCGAUGCCGGCAUAGCGUUGGUCAGAGUCAAUGGUGAGAGCCCAUUGCAGGGAGAGAGCAAGGUGGGAGAAAGCCAGAGCAAGUGCGAGAAAAGAAAGAGGGAAAACGGGGGAAUGGUUCAAAGGUUUGGAUUAGCCAGAGGGUGGAUUGAUCUUUUUGAAUUCGAAGAUUUUUAUUUUCUUUGACGGAAUUUGAGGAUCAUGCUAAGAGGUGCAAAUUAUAGGUUUUCAAAAUCUAGGAUGAAAACUGAUAUUAUUUUCUAUUGUACAUCUAAAAUCUUGAAAUUAACAGGUAAAGUCACAUCAUGUUUUACAUAAUUUUUCUCAAAAUGGUAAUAAGAAUUUUCA
This 132179-nucleotide long non-coding RNA is filed under the name Eucalyptus grandis. RNAcentral describes it as "long non-coding RNA (EGRA_LNC003978)". Lineage: Eukaryota; Viridiplantae; Streptophyta; Magnoliopsida; Myrtales; Myrtaceae. The record is from RNAcentral.